This 129755-nucleotide long non-coding RNA is filed under the name Citrus maxima (pomelo). RNAcentral describes it as "long non-coding RNA (CMAX_LNC001174)". The stretch from base 80271 to 80374 matches the Rfam family "Plant small nucleolar RNA R71". Lineage: Eukaryota; Viridiplantae; Streptophyta; Magnoliopsida; Sapindales; Rutaceae. The record is from RNAcentral.
AAAUGCUAUUCUAUAUUCUGAUUACAAUGUUUUAACCUUUAAAUUAACUACCCCUAGAUGUUGGAUUUUCUAGAACUUCAAAAUGAUUAAUGGAGAAAGAUCCCAUUAUCGUUAUUGCUAUAUGAAAUUGAUUUAUGCAUCCAAAGAUACAUUAUAUAUUUCUGUGUCUCUAUUUAUAGAUGACAUUUAAGCAUCCAUAAACCGUCAGACAGAGGAAGGGGGUUCAGUGCAAAGAUUCUGUUGACCUAGGGUUGACUGCAUAAUGUCACUUGUUCGCAAUCUAUUAUUUAUUUUAUAUUUUGAAGAAUUUAAUGGGUAAUCCUAACUGUUUGUUUUGGCAGGUAUGUGUUGUUAUCUCCUUCUAUCUUACAGUCGUACCUAAAUAGCAUAGUUUCAUCUGUGUUACCAUGUGAUGUACAUAAUUUCACAUUUGCCUCAGAUUAAGCUUAAUUUCCCACAGAAUAGAGCUGUCGCGACUGGACUUAGGUUGAUGUCCAAAGAGGUAAAUUAUUGGCAUGCCUAGAUAAUUUGGCCAUUUCCUAAUUCAUAAGUCUACAUUAAUUUUGAUUUUGAGUUGACUGAUUUCUUUUCAAGGUCUGCUUCCUUAACGGAGUGACCAAUGUUUUUCAACUAAAUUUAUCAUAUGAUGCAGGAAGCAGGGCAGGAUAUGAAAUGAGAAGCUCAUUGGUGGAAGUAUUGCCAGUAACAGAACCCAAAGAAAAUGAAACUAUUUCAAGGCAGCAGUUGGCAGUUGCAAGUGAAUGGAAGCCCUUGACAAAAUUCUCAAGCGGUUGCAAUGCAAUUACGAUCAUCCUCAGCCUCAGGUAAUUUCUUCUCCUGCUUUGUAUUUAUUUGUUAUCUAAUUAGGAAGCGUAAAGUAUCUUGAAUCAUUUUCUGUAUCUGGAAUAUAUGCAAGAGUUUCUAAAAUUUUGAUAUGAGUGUAAUGAUGGUAAUUUCUGAUUUCUGUCUGUCAUCAAAUGUUAGAAAACUUUCAUUGAGACCCUUGAACCGAGUCAUUUUUGACAAGUGAAGUGCUGAAGAGUGAAGAGUAAGAAUGGUGCUAGAUUGGGGAAUAAAGCAAAAGGAGGUAAAUUAUUGGCAGCUUCUUCAACCUUAUUUUCUUUGGACCAGUGCCUAAUUCACAAGUCUCCAUAAUUCGGCUUUUGACCAGUUGAUAGAUAAAAUUUUAAUUUCAUUGGUGCUAAUGUACCCGUGAGGCAGGCAGAGAAGGACUGUGGAAAAGAGAAGGUUUUUAGUGAAAGCUUAAACUCAGGUAAUUCUAAAAAUUAUAUGUUUUGGCUGAUUUAUCUAAAUCAGGAAAUUUUAUUUCCAUCUGUUACAAUAAAACAGAAACAGAACACAAAGAAAAAUAUUCUACUUCUUGUGGCAAUCUUGCCUUCAUUCAGACUAUGAAACCAUUUCCUUUCACCAAUUUCUUCCAAAAGUUUGAACACGUUUCAUGGUUGGACAUAGUUAGCUUCUUUUUCUUUUGGUGCAUUUAGGUGCUAUCAAGUGACAGCCAUAAGUAUGAUUGCAUUAUUAGGAAAUUUUAGGUUUUGAUGGCUCCCCAUGUUAUUGCCAAGAAAUUUUAAGUCCUCAUGUCAGAAGCUGCGUUUCUUUUCAUCAGCCUGAACCCGAACCUGUCACUAUGGAUAACUGAGGUUUUUGUCAUCAACUAUAUCAUCUUUUUCACUGUUUUGAAACUCUUAAGAUUAAACUUCAGUAAAGUUGUUUCAGUUAUCCAUGUAAUCAGGCUAAGGAUAUUUAGCAGCUUAUUUAGGCAACUGCCAGAAUUCAGUUUGUUCGCUCGAAACUUGUAUGGUGACAAGGAUACUGGCAAGGAUAGUGAGAUAAUUUUUUGUGUGAGUGAAUUUUGAAAGCUUGGGUGUUCUGGGAUUUGCAAUUGCAAUCAUCCUCUGCUUUAGGUGAUUUCUUCUCCUGUUCUGUCUUUAUUUUCUCUCUAAUUGAAAGCAUUUCAAUCAAAUUCUGUACCAGGAAUACGAAAAAUUUACUAAUAUUUUAUUUCCAUCUGUUUGCAUUGAUAACUUGGCCGCAUAUGUACUAGUUAAAGAACAAACAGAAGCAGAGUUCAGGAAAAAGUUUCUUCGGCCACCAUAUUUGAAAAUGAAACCAUUUCCAGGAAGCAGUUGGCAGCAAAUUCAUACAAAGUAUAGACAAUGAUGAGCAAAAAGGUGAUUUGCAAUUUCAUUUUUUUAAAAUGAAAUUAUUUGUUAAGUUGGAGCGGAUAUUGUUAGAAGGCCAGAAGGCCACUGAGCCAACCUAUGACACUGCUUGCCUAGAUUGCAGGAGGUCAAGACUCAAAAGAUGCACUGAAUUUUAAAAGGCAUGCAAUAAUUCUUAUGGCCAUUUGUCAAUGGUGGAAUGCUUUUAGCUUCUUUUCCUUUCGUGCAUUUUGGGGUUCUAUCAAGCGACAGCCGUAUGUAUGGAUGGAUAUAGCUGAAGGACAACAUUUGUCCAUGAGGUUCCUAAAAUCGCAACUUUUGUGCAGUAAAAUUAAAACGGACGGCGGAAGCUCUAGAAACCUCGGAUCGGCUUCAUUCAAAAACGAAAAUCAAGAGGAAAGAUUGAAGUUUAAUUACCUCACUUGCAGUUUCGAAAAAGACUUCGUGAGGUAGGAGAAAACGACUGAAAACAGCAAGCUACGAACAUUGUCCAGAAAAUACAGCUCUGCACGAACAGCUUCUGUUUUGCCACGAUCUGAGAUCCUUAAGCACCCCAAUUGUGAUGCCUCUAAUUAUUCCACACUUAGAAAUGUUCUAGGAGUUCAGAGGAUUUGGAAUCACGAAAUUUCGUUUAGAAAUGAGAGAGAUAAUGAUGAAACAUGAAUGCUAGUUCAUGAUGAUUCCCCUUCCACCAAAUAAAGCACCAUUAUGUCUAAUAAUGGCACCAAACAUUAUCAUGUGCUAGACCCACCCACUUAGCUAUAAUUUAUUGAAAGUGAUCUUAUCACUUAAAUAAAUUAUUUAAUCAAAUUAAUAAAUAGCUAAAUUAAUUAAUUUCGUAAUUAAUUAAUUAACCCCAUUUUGAUCAAAUCAAAUGGUUAAAUGUGGGCUCAUUUUGUGACAUGUUCUAAUGCUUUCUCUUAAUCCAUAUUAGAUCCAAUAAAAGCCCAAAAUUCUAAACCUAAAAAUGGUCUAGAAGUCCAUAAUCAUAUAUGAACCCGAACAUGUUCAAAAUGGUCAUUUUACGUGCUCGAUAUUACAUAAUGUUUAAUGGAGGAUUUACGAAAUUUAUUUUGUUCCUUAAACUAUUUAUGGAACAUCUAAAUUUCUAUCUUAAAUCAUAUUUAAGAUAUAUUUAUAUAUAUAUAUUCAUUCUCAAUGAAUUAUAAUAUAAAUAUUGAUUUUCCUAAAAAUAGAAAAUUUAACUUCUCAUUUUUUAGUAACUCCUUUUUCAUUUCUAUUUAGUGUGUGACUUUUUAGGUUCUUAGUUAUAAGGUAGUAGAACUAUUUUAAUGAUAACUCUUUAUUCAUUAAAUGAUGCUAAACUCUUUAGUCAUCAAUUAGAACUCUUCUAAUGACCUUAAGAUGCAUUGAUAAUACGCUUUACCAAUAUUGAUCUUAAGGUUUCUACAAAUCAUGAGUGACACCUAGCAGUAUAUCACAACCAUCCAAAUAACAAGAAUUGUUGGAUCUAUAGAACCUAUUCCAUUGUAUCUCUAUGUCUUGGUCUCUUCAUCAUCCAUGUCUAGAGAAAAGCACGGCUUAUGGUUUAUUAUGUUAAGCACUUAUGCUUUAUCUCAAAAAAAAUCUAAAUGAACUUGACAUGAAAAUAUAAUUUGAACUCCUUCAAAUAUAUUUCACCUUGGCCAAGGAUUUCUCAUGCCAAUUCAUAUUAUCUCAUAGGGACAUCCUUUUUGUAUAUUACAAAGUGAUGAAUUCCAUAUUGGCCAUGCACUAGUCUUCAUACAUAUCCAACCAUGACAGUUAUUGCUAGAUAUCUUCCGUGAUUAGGAAUCAAUCAUUAUGCAUUCACAUAUUAGAGAUGUCUAUGUAUAAGACAUCUGUUAUGCCUCAGGUCUAAAGACCAUUACUAAACAUAGUGUCUAAUACAAUGUAUAAUAAGCCAUUAACACUCAAGACCAUAUGGCUUACUAUAUUUGGUCAAGUUCAGUAAACUUGUUCUCUCAACAAGUACCUAUGUGUUUGACUUGACAUCUCAUGUCAAUGAUAUGAAACUCACCAUCCAUUUUAGUAUCACAUACCAUAAGGAGUCAUAACACAUACUAGUGUUUAUAGGAAUUUAUAAUGUCCAAUCAUAAAUCCACCACUAGGAACUAUUUUAGAAGUAUAGUACAAAGGAUACACGUUUCAUAUUCUCGACAAACUCGAGAAUGUGUUCCUUAACUAUUUUACAUCUUGGACUAUAUUCAUUAAAUUAAUUAAUGAAUAUUGAUAACUUUGCCAUUUUAUAAAUAUCAAAAUGCUAUUCAAAUACGAUAAUUCCCUAAACAAACAAACACCUGAUUGGCCUUUAGGGCAAAUUACUAACAAUAGCUGCUGCGUUGAUUUCUAAUGCGGUGGAGUAAUCGUCGUUAGAAUCUGAAUGAUAUGUCUAAGACGUUGCAUGCAUCAAGAAAAUUGCAGAUGAUUAAACCUUGCCAUCUAUGCGUUGUAUGAGGUUAUAGCAACUAUCUAUCUGGUCACCGUUUUAAAAGAAUAAGACAAAGGGAAAAAGAGAAAGAAAAGAAUGAUUCGACAAUGGCAUUAAAGUUCAACAUACCCCAAGAUCUUGUAAUAAUGCCAUUAAUCAUUCUCUAGCUAGGCUAGCCUUAGAGAAAAGUGAAACUGUUGCACAGGUAGAAUCAAACCCCUCAGAGAUAUGAUGAGUUCGUGAUGCUUGCAUUUUAUUGAUGCUGAUGAUUCGUUGAAUGUUUUAUGUUUUUGAUUUUUAAGUAUUCCGGAUCGAAGUUUGUGUCUACGCGGAAAUUGUAAAGGCAGCAUAUAAAGUACUCGUCGUUCUUUAGAUUUUAUUGAGUACACUUUUGUCACAUUUAGCGUAUGCUAUACACUACUGAUUUGCGCAUUGACAUAUAUCUUAUUUUAUCAUUUUGAAUGAAUUGCACGGCGAGGCUUAUCAACUUUGGAUGAAUCCUCCAAUUGUCACAGUCCAAGACUGGCUGCAGUGAGUGAAAAUUUACCCAUAUAUGUGCUGGCUAUUUUUAUUGGCGACGAAUUCGUUGUAGUUGGUCCAUCUUGCUAUUCUCGGACAAUAUUAGAGAAAAUAAUCAUAUUAUUUCGCGUGAUGUGACCUUCCAUAACUUAUCAAUUGAAUUACUGUAAAAUUAUUGUGUAAGUUUAGGCCCAAUGGCACUUUAGUUCAUCACAUGAUAGCCUGGAUUUAAAAGGAAAACUAUAUUGCAUUGCUUCAAAAAAAAAAUUUAAUGUUUUUAAUAUGAAUAUUUUUAACUAUAUUCAGUUAAAAUAAUAUAUUCUUAAUAUUAAUAUUCAUAGAUGAAAUUCUUUUGCGGAUUUAAGAAUAAAAUAUCAAAUAGUUUUAUUUUUCUUUUGUUGUGUAACUUGGACCGAAAAAGAAAAUGAGCUUAACAUGACCCUCCUUCCGGCACUAUGCAUGUUUUUCUUAUAUUGAUGACAGUGCUCUUGGUGCUUCUCAUCUGCUUCUUGCUUUGGUUUCAAACAAGUCUUUCUCCGUCGAGACAUUUAUUGUAAUUUGAUUUGGAGACAUCUGUCGUUCAAAUAUAUUUCAUAUGCAAGCUGUUGAUAAUUCUGCUUGAGAAAGCCUACAAAGCAGCUGUGUGAUGUAAUAGAAGACUAUAUAUGCAAACGGUCAUCAGUUUCUCUUGAAUUCUUUCUUGAGUUUCUUUGAAUUAUUUGUGAAUGAGUUCUUAAUCGGCUGCUGCUCUUCAGGAAAAGGAAAGUGUUGCAAACUGGUGAAGCUGAUCGAUAAAAGCAAUGUACCAUCUUUGCUGCCAUGGAUCGAUGCCAGUGAGUUUUUUUUAUUUGUCAAACUACUAAUGAGUUCUCCAUGCAUAUGUGUUUCUUCAACUUGAAGCGGCAUAUAAGACGAAAGAAGUGAUCUUUAAAGCAUUCUAUCGCAUUAUCCUUUCCUAUUAUAUAUAUCCAAUUGCUCCAAAUUAUUUGUAAAUUACUGAACACGAAUGCUGAUGAAUAAACUGAUCGCUCUAUGUAUGUAUGCACAUGCAUGGAGAAAUUUUAAGUCAGACAUUCUCAUAUAUAACUCUUGGUACCAAAUCAUCAAAUAAAUCUUGAAAUCAAAGUAAUAAUUAAAUACAAAUAAAUUGCUCGAAUUGUACAUAUAUCUGAAUCAUGUAGUGAAGAAAAUACAACAACAACAACCAAUGGCUCAAAUCCCCCAUCAACCUCUGGUCUCAACACUUUUGAGUGUCAGAAGCAUUACUCUGUUACCAGUUAACAAACAUAUAAUUAGUAAUUUGCCAUUCACUUCCCUUUUAGGCCUAACACAUUUUCUAUAAAGGAGCCACAGAGUGAACUCAGCAGGAAACACUCAAUUUCAACCUACGUAGGACCAGGAAUUUCAACCAAAAAAAAAGUGUGCAAUUGCUUAUCCUAUCCUAUUGCUACUAGAAAGAAAGUGAACAAUUAAUUUCAGUGAAUAAAUUAAAAAAAAAAAUUACUUCUGCAGAUACUCAAGCUAAGAACACAUUAACCCAUUAAAGACUCCAAAUUGCAUCAAACAAAUUGUUGUUAAACAAGUAAAACAAAGAAAGAGAGUUAAGGAAGCUGACCUAGUAGUAGGGGAGCUGAAGAAAGACUGCCAGUGAAUGUAAGAGAAAAUAAAAUGCAAGAAAUGGUGAAGUGCAGCUUUUCAUGUCAACUUGAAAUUGUUUCUUCUGUUUUUUUUUUUAAUCUUUUGGAUUUUUAAAACAAAGAAAAUGAGGAGCAACCAGGGAGAUAAAAAGGGCGCCAAGGCAACUGUGUGUUGGGUUUAGAGCCAAAAAAAAAAAGAAGAAUAAGACAUCGUGUUCUUGUGGAGACCAGACCUAUUACGUAACGUCCCCUUCAAUACCACUUGUUCCGUAUCUGGUUUUUUCUUCGUCUUUUACAUAUUUAUCCUGUGAUUUUACAAUAACUAAAUAAUCCCCCCAUAGUUUGCAAUUUUAUUCAUUUGAGCCCUACAGAUUUCAGUAAUAGGAAUUAUUAAGGGACGAGCGCAAAACAGAAACUCUGUCCACUACUGAUGAUAUAACAACGAACCUUUGUUUUUUUCUUUUUUUUAAAAAAAAAAAAGAGUAACAAAAUAUCAUUAGACAAAUGAAAAUAUUAUCUAACAUCACCUUACUGAUGAUAUGAAAAUAUGUAUGUAUGUAUGUAUGUAUAUACAUAUGUAUGUAUGUACAUAUAUGCAUACAUCUGUUACAUUUCAUCUUUGCACAAUUACACGUAAAAUUCCACUAAAAGAAACUCUUGAGUUGCUCGCAAGCUAUAUAUCAUUAUCCAUUGAAUUCUUACCACAUACAUCUCACCUUUCAAUCAAUCACAUAAUAAUCAAUAUACAUAUUGUAAGAAUUCAACAAAUGGAGAACAUAAUAUACUAUAAAAGCAUCCAAAAUUUUUCCAUCUCAAAUUAUUACUAAACUUCUUGAACAAGUUGAAGAUUGGGGGGAAAAAGUGCAAGAAGGAAAAGCAUUAUUCUACUAGCUUCUAGGUUUCUCAUUUGAACAGAAAAAUUAAAUAAGAUAUUUGUGUAUGGCUGUAGUACUACACGGUAUCUGCUAGAAAGCAAAAUACCUUCUGCUGAUUGCACAUUGGAAUGGGAAUAAGUUGGUAAAUAUAUAAGUUACAUAAAUUAUUUUGGAUAAUUCUGCUGGUGAAUUAAUUAUCUUAAAAUCACCCUUUUAUUUUUUAAAAAAUCUUAAGUUAUUUUUCAUAUAUCUUAAGAAGACAAACAAACUUUCAUCAACUCUCCUUUUUCAGCUUUUCCCUUCAAUAAUGUUAGAAAUUCUAACAUUUGAGUCCUGCUUGAUCUUAAUACUAUAUAUCACUCAUUUAUUAGAUGAUGAAUUUUUUAAAUUAUAAAGUUAUUUGACUACCAUCCAAUGAAUGAAUGUCACGUCAUUUAAAACUCAAAGAAAAGUAUUCUACUUCUUGCGGCAAUCAUGCCUUCAUUCAGACUAUGAACCAUUUCCUUUCACCAAAUUCUUCAUAAACAUUGAGUAAGUUUCAUGGUUGGACAUAGUUAGCUUCUGUUUCUUUUGGUGCGUUUAGGUGCUAUCAAGUGACGGCCGUAAGUAUGAUUGCAUUAUUGGGAAAUUUUACGAUUUGAUGGUUCCCCACGUUAUUGCCAAGAAAGUUCUCAUGUCGGAAGCAGCGGUUCUUUUCAUCAGCCUGAACCCGAACCUGUCGCUAUGGAUAACUCAGGUUUAACAUCAGCAGGAAACACUCAAUUUCAACAAAAAAAAAAAGUGUGCAAUAGCUUAUCCUAUCCUAUUGCUACUAGAAAGAAAGUGAACAAUUAAUUUCAGUGAAUAAAUUAAAAAAAAAAAUCACUUCUGCAGAUACUUAAGCUAAGAACACAUUAACCCAUUAAAGACUCCAAAUUGCAUCAAACAAAUUGUUGUUAAACAAGUAAAACAAAGAAAGAGAGUUAAGGAAGCUGACCUAGUAGUAGGGGAGCUGAAGAAAGACUGCCAGUGAAUGUAAGAGAAAAUAAAAUGCAAGAAAUGGUGAAGUGCAGCUUUUCGUGUCAACUUGAAAUUGAUUUUUCUGAAUUUUUUUAAGCUUUUGGAUUUUUCAAACAAAGAAAAUGAGAAGCAACCAGGGAGAUAAAAAGGGCGCCAAAGCAACUGUGUGUUGGGUUUAGAGCCAAAAAAAAAAAAAAGGAUUAAGACCUAUUACGUAACGUCCCCUUCAAUACCACUUGUUCCGUAUCUGGUUUUUUCUUCGUCUUUUACAUAUUUAUCCUGUGAUUUUACAAUAACUAAACAAUCCCCGUAUAGUUUGCAAUUUUAUUCAUUUGAGCCCUACAGAUUUCAGUAAUAGGAAUUAUUAAGGGACAAGAGCGCAAAACAGAAACUCUGUCCGCUACUGAUGAUAUAACAACGAACCUUUGUUUGUUUGUUUUUUUUUUAAAAAAAAAAGAGUAACAAAAUAUCAUUAGACAAAUGAAAAUAUUAUCUAACAUCACCCUACUGAUGAUAUAACAACGAACCUUUGUAGUUUCUGCCUGUUAAUAUGAAUUGAUCGGGAGUGUUUCCUCACUUAAAAAUUACGAAUUUACAAAAUAUGUACGUAAGUAUGUAUGUAUGUACGUACGUAUAUAUGUAUGUACAUAUAUGCAUACACCUAUGUAACAUUUACUUAUCCAUUCUUUUGAGUUUAAAUCUUAAUACACAUUUUCAUGAAAUUUUUAUUUUAUUAAGUAUACAACUACAUACAACUACAUUAAUGUAUAUAUUUUUUACAUAAGACAUGCCGUCCUAUUAUUCAUAAGUAAACAAUGUGUUGUAAAUAGUAUUCUGUGUUUUCUCAAAGUUGACUUUUCGUCUUUUAUUUUCAGACGCAGACGAUACGUCAUUUUGUAAUCUUCAAAACAUAUACACAGCAGAAUUGGUGUUAUCUGAUUUUGUGAUGCAAUAAGAUUUGCACUUCCUGUGCAUUCAAUGGAAUCAUUUCUUUGUAACUAAUUGGGUGGUGGAAUGGUGGUCAAAUCUCGAACGAAGACAGAUCUAUCAAACUCCAGAAACAGGGAAACCAUGCCACGCUAGUAGACAAUAUGCUAGUUUGAACAAACUUGUUUGAAUGGCAAAAACGACAUGACCUGCUGUAGUAUUAGUUCUUUCCCGAACCAACGGGUGAUUUGCUACGUUGGAUCAUGAAAAUUGAAAAAAAAAAUUAACCAAAAUAAAAAUUCUUAAGGAAUUAGUUAGUUAAUUGAUUGAUCGAAUUUAAUCUAAAUUUGAAAAUGAUAAGAUAAAUUUAAAUUUAUUAUUAUAAUUAUUAUUUUAAACUGGGGUGGGUUUAUACAAUUUGAGCGGUGGAAAUAUCACUACUGAAUUAUUAAAUAUACAGUGUAAAAUUUUGACCUUUAAAAUAUUCCUGUUUUUUUAUUUAGCAUCUAUAAGUUAAAAAAUUUAACAUUGUACCUCAAUAAUUAAAUACAUUUAACUUUAAUCUUCAAAUAGUUACCUACAACAUUUGGACCUAAAUUUUUAAUCCGAUUCGGCCCCUGAUCCAAGUGGGAAGAAGAUCAGGCUUAUACCUAUCACCAACGUAACAUCUUCUGGAAAAUAAUAAGAUUAUUCACCUGCAAUUAUGUGAUCAAACUAAUGGUAACCAAAAUAGAAUAGCGUUAUUUGAGUCCCCUUUCAGUUUCUUUAUCAUUUUUCUUUUCCUAUUUAUAAGCUUAAUUCGGUUCAAAAUCGGCUAAUUCACUUUAAUAAGUUUAUUGGUUUGAACGCUGUUUCCUUUCGUGCAUUUUGGUAUGCUAUCAAGUGACAGUCGUAUGUAUGGUUUGCAUAUAGCUGCUGCUGGGAAAUGUGAGGAUUUCAUGGCUGGCCGUGUUAUUGUCUUAAAUUAGAUGUGAUAAGCUGUUGCUUGGAGAUUCUGUCACCAAGACUUUGCUCACAUCAGAAGCUGUGGAACCUCAACCCUUCUCUAGAUAUCAUCUUUUUCAUUGUUUUAAAACUCUCAGGAUUAAACUUGAGUAAAUUUUUCGGUUGUCUAUAUAAUCAUGUAUUGAGUAAACUCUCAGGAUACUGAGCAGGCAAAUGCCAUAACUCGGUUUGUUCUUCAAAAACUUGUUUAAGAUUCUUGACAAAGCUGCAUGAAGUGAAUCUUGGGAGCUUUGAGGGUGAGAGAAAUUAGAGGGUGUAUAGGGAUUUGGGUUUAUUAGGAAGUUAUAUAUGUAUUUCGUCACUUAUCAUUAUCAUUUUUAUUUUCACAGAAAACCUUCUGAUGGUGCUAAAUUUUCAAACACCGGUCCGAUUCAAAACUUCAUAUUCCAAUUAUAUUCAUAAGACAAAUGGAACACUUUGAACGGCUAGUGUCCGAGCAUUGUAGUUUGAUUUAUUUUGAUGAAAGUACCUUUUGACAUUGAGAUUCUUUCAUGAUUUAAACAUUCUUUUUUAAACCAAAUUAUUAAAAAAAGUAACUAACAUAUAUUAUUUUAUUAGUGCUUUUUAAAUCAAAUGUACAUAGGAGAACUGUAAUUCUUAUCAAUCAAUUUUCCACUAAAUACACCUGCAACAAACUAUUAAUAACAAAGUGAUAGAAAAUACCUGAUUUUUCAUACCUUUUUAAUUUCUUUUGGUCCUAAAAUAUGGGCAUUUGUGUAAUAAUACGCCCAUGUGGAUCUCUAUGCCAUGAGUUUGAUAAAUAGCUAUCAAGGAUCACAUAUUAAGCUAAAAAUAUUUGGAGGACAAAAUUGUAAAACUAAAAGGGUGGAGCAAAUAUGGCUAUCUAGGAUUAAAUAGUAAGUCAACUAUAUUUAAAGGAUAAAAUAUUAAAACUUGAACUGUGAUAUUAAAAAUAUCUCAACUAUUGUAUUAUUAAACCAUAUGUUCUAAUAGUUUUUUUUUUAAGCUUCAAAAUGUUCAGAAUUUUAGAUUGAAACAUUUUCAUUUGAAAUUAUUUGGUGCAGUCACAAGUUAAGAAAGAAAAAGUUGUCCCAUUGGUCAUUUCACAAAAAUGAAAGCCCUGUAUAACAUGGACUUGAAUGGAAGCCCAAUUGUUUGUGUUUGAUUAAUUGAUUUCAAGCUUUAUCGAACCUUUGGAUCUGGAUAUUUUACUGGAGUAAUGAUACAGACACAAACUUUUGUACAAAUUUAUUUUGUACAAACUGAUGUGGCAUGAUAAGAUUGGUUGAAUUAAAUAUCACUUGCCCCACAUGAUUUGUUUUUAUUAAUUUAUAUUUUCAUUCAACCAAUGAAAUCAUGCCACGUCAGUUUGUAUAAAAUAAGUUUGUACAAGAGUUUGUGGCUGUAUCAUUACUCUAUUUUACUGCGGCCUCUAAGCGCUAUAAAUUUUUUUGGGGAUAAACAGCGCUUCAAUGAGGGCAUCUCCAGUGCUUAACACUAUUUUGGUGUAACACCAAUAUUAAAAAUAUAUAUUUUUCACACUAAAUUACUAUUUCAUCUCCAACCUAUUUACACCAAAUUUUAUACCAAAAAAAAUAUUUUUCUUUUUAUUCUUUUAAUUCUCAAGAAUUAAUUCAAUUAACACAAUAAAUUACUAUUAAUAUAGAUAAUUAAGUAAUAAGUAAUUUGAUCAAUUAACAAAAAAAAUAGAAAAUUAUUAAAUUUGCAUUUAAUUAACUAAAUUAGUACAUUAUGAAAAUUAAACAUUACAUUAAUAUAGAAAAAUACAAUAACAAUAAUAAUAAUUUUAUAUCUAAUAUUUUGAUGAUAUUGGAGGAUCUAAUAAUGAUCUUCCAGAUUAUUAAUUUUUUAUUUUUAACUUUGUAAUAUGUAAUAUAGUAAUUAAUGUUAUUGGCAUUUUAUUUUUAUUAUUAAUUUUUGUGUUGAAUAUUUUUUAUUUAAAAUAUUAGUAUAAUAUUCAAAAAUUAAAAAAAAUGAAAUAAAAAUAACAACAAAAAUAAUAAUAAUAAUAAUAACUUAAAAUAUUAUAUAAAAAAGGACAUAUAUGUAAAUAAGAAAAAGUAAUAAAGAUAUUUAGGACUCUUUUUUCCUAGCACCAAAUGAAUAGUGUUACACCAUAUUUGGUGCAAUACUAUUCAUAACACCAAUUUGCUGUUCGUUUUGAUGUUACAUUGGAGAAGCAUUUUACACAAAAAAUGGUGUAAAAGGUAGUUUGGUGUUAGUUUUGGUGUCACAUUGGAGAUGGCCUGGAAAAACACUUGAAAACUUUGGAUUUUUGGUUCGUCCAGUUACGGUGUUAUGCUAAUGGGGUUAAAAGUUCCGAUCCAAUGAGUUAGGAUGGAAUAUGAAUAUAUAAAUUCCAUAGCAUGUAAGGACUAGGAUUUGUUUGUUCAUAUCAAGAAAAAAAAGAUCCGAAAAUUUGAUGAUCAGAAGAUGAAGACACGUUUAUUACAGAGAAACAAACGACAACAUGAUACUAGUAGUAGUUAUUCUUUUCAUCCGAUAUAUUACAUGGUAAUAUCACUACUCGUUCCACUGGUUUCAUAUACACCAUCGAUCAGCAACAUGAUAAUUUUGUGUCAGUUCAUUUUGUUUGUAGGAAAGAGCAGUGUAUUUCUUAGAGCUUGAAAAUAAUAAAAAGAUUUUAAAAUAUAAAUUGCAUAUUUGUUUAUUACAGUUGUUUGGUCUAAUUUCUUAUGUAGAAUUGCUUGUCAUUCUUUGGACGUUAUUGAUUAUAUUUUUGUCAGACUUGGCGUAUAUAUUCACACAUACGUUUUAUUUUGUCAUUUUGUAGAACAUUUUUACACGCCAUAUUAUCACGACUCUUCUCUGUCUGAAUAAGAAGAAAGCAUAAUGCGACCCUCCAAUAGCUUAAUCUAUGGAAUUAUCGUGUUUUGUAAGUUGAGGUCCAAUGGCGUUUUGGCACAUCAUAUGAUAGCCCACUAUAUUGCGUUGCUUUACAAAAGAUUAAUAUUUUGAAAAUUAUUAGGUAAGUUUAGGCUCAGUGGCACUUUAACUCAUGAUAUGAUUGUCCAGGUUUUCGAGGACCACUAUAUUCUAUUGAUUUAAAAAAAAUUAAUAUUUUUUAAUAUUAAUAUUCUAAAUUAUAUUCAGUUCAAAUAUUAAAUAUUAAAUACAUUCUUAAUAUUAAUAUUCUUAGAUGAAAUUCUUUUGCUGACUUAAGAAUAAAAUAUUAAAUAAUUUUAUUUUUCUUUUAUUCUGUAACGUGGACCCAAUAAAAAAAGGAAAUGAAUUUAAUAAAACCUUCAUUCAAAAUCUUCAUUCCGCCACCAUGCAUGUUAAUUGUUUCCAAAUUCCAACCUCCGUACUCUCUUGAGGAGUUUCCCAUUCAUCAAUUAUUAUUUUUUAUAAUCCAUACCAUCCUGAUAUAAUUAAACACCAUUAAUAAUGUACCAACCUUUAAAUAGUAAUUAAUUUAUUUAUCUAAUUCACCAAAUGUUUUUUCCGGUACAUAUCUCCAUUGGUAUCAAGAAGAAGCAGAACCCAAAGAAAUGUUUCUUGCAUCUUCAUAUUUGUGCGAAUUCAUCCUUUCAUUGAGAAUAACCAUUUCCAGGCAGCAGUUGGCAAUCAAUUCAUGCGCACGUCGAUGCUAUUCAUAGAUACUAAAGACAAUGAUGAACCAAAGGUGAUAAAUCAUAAAUGCAUAAUUACCAAACCUCCAUCCUUCUCUCAUUAUGAUUUGAUUUUAAAUGAAUUAUUGCUUGGUAACAUUAUUUCCAACCAUUGCAAGACCCUUUUUUUUGGAGAAAUUUCAAUUGAAAGUGAAACCUUUAGACAUUUACCUAAUGAAGUUAGUUAAUCGGGAGGGUCGGAAAAAAAAAGUUGACGCAAGUCAAUACACAAUAAUCAAUUAAAUCCGGAGUGACUAAAACAGAGCCACUACUUUUUUAAAAAUAUCUGCAUUCAUCACUUUCUCCAGCAACUAGUCAGCUACACACGAAUCAAUUUCUCUCCUCGUUUGUCAUCCAAAAUUAUUCACCAAUACCAUGGCUGAUGCAAUCGUUUCCACUAUCUUGGAGCAGCUGAUUUCCUUCGCUGCUGAAGAGAUAAAACAACAGGUGAUCGAAGUUUCACCCCUCAUAUUACAAAUACUUCCAAUGAUUUUAAUUGGCUUUGUUUUUAUCAAAAACAUUAUAUAUUUUUGCUUUUUUUUUAUUUAUCUGAUAAUUUUAUAUUUUGAAAUUUGAAUUGAAUUUAAUUAAAAGGUGAUGUAGUAACCACUCAUUUUUAUUUUAUUUCAUUUCUAUUCUCGAUAACUAACCAUAUUUUGGUAACUUAAUAUGACUCUCGUACAUAAGAAAUGAUCAAAACCCACAAUUUUAACUAUGUAUAAAUAUUCAACGUUGAGCUAAGGUUUUGCAGAACAUUCAAGUUUAUCAAAUAGUCAUUAAUUUAAUGUUUUAGUAAAACCUCAACUCAUCACUGAAUCCCAUAGCUAUUACUUAGACUCUAUGAAAAAUUUCAUAGUUUUCUUACGUUCUUUCAGUUUGGUAAGUGAUUUCAUAUAAUUUCUGUUCAAUAUAAAUUUUAAUUUGGUUUCUUAUAUACUCUCUUUGCUGAAUUUGUAUCUUUUAUGAUUCUUAGAUUUUGGGCUCUAACAUUUUAGGAUUUGAUAGUCACAUUUUAUGCCAUGCUUAGAUUGAUUUUCAUGAUUUUUACUACCCAUUAAGUGACUUAGAAUUUGACAAAAGUUUGAAAGGAAAUCUGCUUCAGGAUUCUGUUUUAAUUGACCUUUUAGUGGAAAUAGGAUGCUUAUAACUUAAUGUGGAUGGUUCGUAAAAUCAUGAAAUUUGGAUAGAAUUAACUAGAAAUAUGUACAAGACUCUCCAUGAAGUCUCAUAAUUUUUCAUUCGGUCUGGGGUGGUACAGGUGAAACUUGUGGUUGGUGUUGAAAAAGAAGUGAAAAGCCUUACCAGCCAUCUUCAAGCCAUUCAAGUUGUGCUCGAUGAUGCAGAGGAAAAGCAAGUGAAGGAAAAAGCUGUUAGUCUUUGGCUGGGUAGGCUCAAGUAUGCAUCCUACGACAUUGAAGAUGUGUUGGAUGAGUGGAUCACAACAAGACGCAAAUUGCAAAUUGAGGGUGGCAUUGGUGAAAAUGCUCUUGUUGUUCCUCAUAAGAAAAAGAAGGUAUGUCUCUGCUUUCCCGGCUCUUGUUUUGGAUUCAAACAAGAAGAAUUUGGUUUCAAACAAGUCUUUCUCCGUCAUGACAUUGCCGACAAGAUCAAAGAAAUCAAUGAAGAGCUACAUGAUAUUGCCGCUCAAAAAGACAUGUUUGAUCUUGUUAAGAGUGGCAAUAAAAGUAGUGAAAGACCAAGGCGUGUACAGAGUACCUUCUUGAUUGAUGAGGAAGAGAUUUGUGGCAGAGUUGGUGAGAGGAAUGAACUCUUAAGCAAGCUGUUGUGUGAGAGUAGCGAGCAACAAAAAGGCCUUCAUAUCAUCUCAAUCGUUGGUAUGGGAGGCAUAGGGAAAACAACUCUUGCACAACUAGCUUGUAAUCAUGACGAGGUGAAGAGAAAGUUCGACAAAAUUCUGUGGGUGUGUGUAUCAGAAACUUUUGAGGAGUUUAGGGUUGCCAAAGCGAUCGUUGAAGUUUUGGAUGGUCGUGAAUCUCAUUUAGCUGAAUUCCAUUCUCUUCUUCAACAUAUUUAUGAAUCCAUUGCAGGGAAGAGCUUUCUUCUUGUCUUAGAUGACGUGUGGGAUGGAAAUUACUUGAAAUGGGAACCAUUCUACCGUUGUCUAAAGAAUGGUCUCCAUGGAAGUAAAAUUUUAGUUACCACACGUAAAGGGUCAGUCGCAUCCAUGAUGGGAUCCAUAGAUAUUAUCUCCGUUAAGGAGUUAGCUGAAGAGGAAUGUUGGUUGUUGUUUAACAAGAUAGCAUUUUUUGAUCGGUCCAUCGAGGAACGUGAAAAAUUAGAACAAAUUGGGCAAAGAAUUGCAGGCAAGUGCAAAGGUUUACCUCUUGCAGCAAAGACAAUAGGGAGUCUCAUGCGUUCUAAACAAACUGAAGAAGAGUGGAAAAGAAUUUUAAAUAGUGAUUUAUGGAAAGUAGAAGAGAUUGAGAAAGAUGUUUUGUCCUCUUUAUUGUUGAGUUAUAAUGAUUUGCCAUCUAGAGUAAAAAGAUGUUUUUCAUAUUGUGCUGUCUUUCCAAAAGACUACAAUAUAGAAAAAGACAAACUAAUCACGUUAUGGAUGGCUCAAGGUUAUCUUAGUGCAGAAGAAGAUGAAGAGAUGGAGACAGUAGGUGAAGAGUAUUUUGGCAUCUUAGCUUCUCGCUCAUUUUUUCAAGAGUUUAAGAAAAGUUAUGAUAAUCGAAUUAUAGAGUGUAAGAUGCAUGAUAUGGUACAUGAUUUUGCCCGAUUUGUAAGUCAAAAUGAAUGUUUUUCGAUGGCAAUUAAUGGUAGUGAAGAACCAAACGCCACAAACUCUCUUGAUGAGAAGGUCCGUCAUUUAAUGUUAAUCUUUAGUAUAGAGGCUUCAUUACCUGUUUCCACUUGUAGAGUUAAAAGAAUUCGUAGCCUCUUAAUUAACGAUAGUAGAUCUGAUCAUUCAUUAUUAAAUGGUGAGAUCCUAGAAGAAUUAUUUAGGGAAUUGACAAGUUUAAGGGCAUUAGAUUUUUGCAAAUCGUAUAACGCAAGUUGGUUUUCGACUCUGGAGAUUCCGAGAAACAUAGAAAAGCUGGUACAUUUAAGAUACCUUAAUUUGUCUUAUCAGGGAAUAAAGAAACUACCGGAGACAUUAUGCAAGUUGUAUAAUCUAGAAAAGUUAGAUAUUAGUUAUUGUUAUAAGCUAGAAGAAUUACCUGAAGGGAUUGGGAAGUUAAUAAACAUGAAGCAUUUACGAAAUAGAGGUACUAGUUCUUUAAGGUACAUGCCAGUAGGGAUUGGGAGAUUAACGGGUCUUAGGACCUUGGGUGAGUUCCACGUUAGUGCAGGAGGAGGUGUUGAUGGUAGGAAAGCAUGUAGGCUUGAAUCUCUUAAAAACUUGGAACACCUUCAAGUAUGUGGUAUAAGUAGACUGGGUGAUGUAUCAGAUGUGGGCGAGGCUAAGCGAUUAGAACUUGACAAAAAGAAAUACCUCUUCAGUUUGACCCUUGAGUUUGAUAAGACGGAAAGAGGAGGAGAAAGGAGGAAGAACGAGGACGAUCAACUUCUUCUUGAAGCCUUGCGACCACCCCUGGAUUUAAAGGAAUUAGAGAUACGGUACUACCGAGGCAACAUUGUUUUCCCCAGCUGGAUGGCGUCAUUAACCAACUUAAAGAGUUUACAUCUCCAUAGGUGCGAAAAUUGCGAGCAGCUGCCUCCUUUGGGAAAAUUGCCGUCCGUUGAAAAUCUCUACAUAUGGCGCAUGGAGAGUGUGAAGAGAGUGGGUGAUGAAUUUUUGGGGAUAGAAAGUGAUCAUCAUGACUCAUCGUCAUCUUCAUCAGUUACUAUUGCCUUCCCCAAAUUGAAAUCACUCACAAUUUAUUCGAUGCUGGAAUUGGAGGAGUGGGAUUAUGAGAUUACAAGAACAGGAAACACCGUCAUAAACAUCAUGCCACGUCUUUCUUCCUUGACAAUUGUUGAUUGCACCAAAUUAAAGGCACUGCCCGGCCACAUUCAUCAAACGACAACGUUGAAGGAAUUGAGCAUUUUUAUGUGUUGGCUUCUGAACAAACGUUACCGCAAGGGGAAAGGAGAAGACUGGCCUAAAAUAUCACACAUUCCCAACCUCCGUAUUGGGCUUUGACAAGUAAUUUCUUCUCUCACUCUGAUUUGCUUUGUUGUUGUUUUUAAUCUAAUUAAGAAGCGAAAAUAGCAUUUUGAAUCAAACUCUAUAUCAGAAAUCUGCAAUACUUACUUUCUAAUAUUCUGAUUUUCAUAUCCUAUGAAUAUACGAUUUUUAAUUUGUGAGAUGGGUAACGUUACUGUAAAAGAUUAUUAAUGCAAUAUGAGUAAUUCUUUUGCAGGACAAGUGACCUACAUUUAGUUUGGCUUUGGAGUUGAAUAAUAACCUUUCGUGGUCCCGACAACCAAAAAACAAAGCUUAAUUUGCCACAGAUUGAACGUAUUGCCAUUAUUGACAAUUUUCUGCACAAGCGUGACUGAACUUAGGUUGAUGUCAAAAGAGGUAAAUUAUUGGCAUGCCUGACUAUUUUGACCAUUACAUGAUUCAUAAGUUUACAUUAAUUUUGAUUUUGAGUUGAGUGAUUAGUUUUCUAGGUUUGCUUACUUUAACUGGGUGACCAAUUUCUUGUAACUAAAUGUAUGAUGUGAUGCAGGAAGCAGGGCAGGAUAUGAAAAGAGAAGCUUAUUAGAGGAAGGAUUGCCAGUAACAGAAUCCAAAGAAAAAGAAACCAUUUCGAGGCAGCUGUUGGCAGUUGGCAGUGAAUGGAGCCCCUUGAAAAAAUUCCCAGGCCGUUGCACUGCAAUUACGAUCAUCCUCGGCCUCAGGUAAUUUCUUCUCCUGCAUUUUUGUUAUUUGCUAUCAAGUGACUAUUUUAAGUAUGAUUGCAUUAAGCUGCUGCUGGGAAAUUUGAGGUUUUGAUGACUGCCCAUGCUAUUGUCAGAAGCUACGGUUCUUUUCAUCAGCCUGAACCUGGACCUGCCGCUAUGGAUAACUCAGAUUUUUUUUUUUUUAAUCAACUGCGUCAUCUUUUCCACUGUUUAGAAACUCUUAAGAUUAAACUUUAGUAAAGUUGUUUUAGUUAUCCAUGUAAUCAGGCUGAGGAUACUUAGCUGCCUAUUUAGGCAAAUGUCAGAAUUUAGUUUGUUCGCUGGGAACUGGUGUGGACUGGCAAAGGAUGAUGAGAUAGUUUUUUGAGUGAGUAAAUUUUGGGAGCUUGAGUGUAUUGGGAUUUGCAAUUACAAUCAUCGUCUGCCUCAGGUGAUUUCUUCUCCUGCUCUGUCAUUGUUUGUUCUCUAAUUCAAAAGCAUAAAAUAUUUCAAUCAAUUUUUAUGCCAGGAAUAUGCAAAAGUUUCUAAUAUUUUAUUUCCAUCUGUUACAAGAUCAAACUGAAGCAGAACUCAAGUAAAAGUAUGCUACUUCUUGCGGAAAUCUUGCCUUUGUUCAGAUUAUGAAACCAUUUCCAUGCAGCAAAUUCAUCCAAAAGUUUGAGUAAGUUUCAUGGUUGGACACUGUUGGCUUCUUUUUCUUCUGGGGUGCAUUUAGGUGCUAUCAAGUGACAGCUGUAAGUAUGAUUGCACUAAGCUGCCGCUGGGAAAUUUGAGGUUUUGAUGGCUACCCAUGUUAUUUUCAAGAAACUAUUGAUGUAAGAAGCUGUGGUUCUUUUCAUCAGCUUGAACCUGAAACUGUCGCUAUGGAUAACUCAGGUUUUUGUUAUCAACUAUAUCAUCUUUUUCACUAUUUUGAAACUCUUAAGAUUAAACUUUAGUAAAGUUGUUUCAGCUAUUCAAAUGAAAAACUCAUUGAUUUGAGACUUCCUUCAUUAUUGUUUCUAAUUACAAUGCUAACGAUCCAGAUAAAAUAAUAUUUAAUCGGCGAAGGUGUCCCUUGGAAGUACAUCCUUCUUUUUCUUUUAUUAUAUAAAUUCUUGCAAUGAGCUUAGUGAAGCUGUUGUGCUAAUCAUGCCACUGCAUAAUUUGGCCCCUAAUGUGGGUACUCUGUUACAUUGUUCUGCAAAUUCUCCAGAAGUUCAAAUCAAUAAAUUUUCUAUUAGCUCUAGUGCUUUGACCUAAAUGCUAUUCUAUAUUCUGAUUACAAUGUUUUAACCUUUAAAUUAACUACCCCUAGAUGUUGGAUUUUCUAGAACUUCAAAAUGAAUAAUGGAGAAAGAUCCCAUUAUCGUUAUUGCUAUAAGAAAUUGAUUUAUGCAUCCAAAGAUACAUUAUAUAUUUCUGUGUCUCUAUUUAUAGAUGACAUUUAAGCAUCCAUAAACCGUCAGACAGAGGAAGGGGGUUCAGUGCAAAGAUUAUGUUGACCUAGGGUUGACUGCAUAAUGUCACUUGUUCGCAAUCUAUUAUUUAUUUUAUAUUUUGAAGAAUUUAAUGGGUAAUCCUAAUUGUUUGUUUUGGCAGGUAUGUGUUGUUAUCUCCUUCUAUCUUACAGUCGUACCUAAAUAGCAUAGUUUCAUCUGUGUUACCAUGUGAUGUACAUAAUUUCACAUUUGCCUCAGAUUAAGCUUAAUUUCCCACAGAAUAGAGCUGUCGCGACUGGACUUAGAUUGAUGUCCAAAGAGGUAAAUUAUUGGCAUGCCUAGAUAAUUUGGCCAUUUCCUAAUUCAUAAGUCUACAUUAAUUUUGAUUUUGAGUUGACUGAUUUCUUUUCAAGGUCUGCUUCCUUAACGGAGUGACCAAUGUUUUUCAACUAAAUUUAUCAUAUGAUGCAGGAAGCAGGGCAGGAUAUGAAAUCAGGAAGCUCAUUGGUGGAAGUAUUGCCAGUAGCAGAACCCAAUGAAAAUGAAACUAUUUCAAGGCAGCAGUUGGCAGUUGCAAGUGAAUGGAGGCCCUUGACAAAAUUCUCAAGCGGUUGCAAUGCAAUUACGAUCAUCCUCAGCCUCAGGUAAUUUCUUCUCCUGCUCUGUUUUUAUUUGUUAUCUAAUUAAAAAGCAUAAAGUAUCUUGAAUCACUUUCUGUAUCUGGAACAUAUGCAGCAGUUUCUAAAAUCUUCAUAUGAGUGUAAUGAUGGUAAUUUCUGUUUUUUGUCUGUCAUUGAAUGUUAGACAACUUUCAGUGAGACUCUUGAACCGAGACAUUUUUGACAAAUGAAGGACAAUUGCUGAAGAGUGGGAAUGGUGCUAGAUUGGGGAAUAAAGACAAAGGAGGUAAAUUAUUUGCAGUUUAUUCAGCAUUAUUUGCUUUGGACCAGCGCCUGAUUCACAAGUCUCCAUAAUUUGGCUUUUGACCAGUUGUUAAUAAAUUUUUUUAUUCCAUUGGUGCUAAAUGUACACGUGAAGCAGGCAGAGCAGGACUGUGGAAAUGAGAAGGUUUUUAGUGAAAGCUUAAACUCAGGUAAUUCUAAAAAGUACAUGUUUUUGCUGAUUUAUCUAAAUCAGGAAAUUUUAUUUCCAUCUGUUACAAGAUAAAACAGAAACAGAACACAAAGAAAAAUAUUCUACUUCUUGUGGCAAUCUUGCCUUCAUUCAGACAAUGAAACCAUUUCCUUUCACCAAUUUCUUCCAAAAGUUUGAAUAAGUUUCAUGGUUGGACAUAGUUAGCUUCUUUUUCUUUUGGUGCAUUUAGGUCCUAUCAAGUGACAGCCAUAAGUAUGAUUGCAUUAUUGGGAAAUUUUAGGUUUUGAUGGCUCCCCACGUUAUUGCCAAGAAAGUCCUCAUGUCAAAAGCUGCGGUUCUUUUCAUCAGCCUGAACCCGAACCUGUCGUUAUGGAUAACUCAGGUUUUUGUCAUCAACUAUAUCAUCUUUUUUACUGUUUUGAAACUCUUAAGAUUAAACUUCAGUAAAGUUGUUUCAGUUAUCCAUGUAAUCAGGCCAAGGAUAUUUAGCAGCUUAUUUAGGCAACUGCCAGAAUUGAGUUUGUUUGCUCGAAACUUGUAUGGUGACAAGGAUACUGGCAAGGAUAGUGAGAUAGUUUUUUGUGUGAGUGAAAUUUGAAAGCUUGGGUGUUCUGGGAUUUGCAAUUGCAAUCAUCCUCUGAGUCAGGUGAUUUCUUCUCCUGCUCUGUCUUGAUUUUCUCUCUAAUUGAAAGCAUAAAGUAUUUCAAUCAAAUUCUGUACCAGGAGUACAUAAAAGUUACUAAUAUUUUAUUUCCAUCUGUUUGCAUUGAUAACUCGGCAUAUGUUCUAGUUAAAGAACAAACAGAAACAGAGUUCAGGAAAAAGUUUCUUCGGCCACCAUAUUUGAAAAUGAAACCAUUUCCAGGAAGCAGUUGGCAGCAAAUUCAUAUGGAGUGUAGACAAUGAUGAGCAAAAAGGUGAUUCGCAAUUUCUUUUUUUUUUUAAGUGAAAUUAUUUGUUAGAUUGAAGCUGAUAUUGUAAGAAGGCCAUUGAGCUAACCUAUGUCGCCACUUGCCUAGAUUGCAGGGGGUCAAGACUCAAAAGAAGCACUGAAAUUUAAAAAGCAUGGAAUAGUUCUUUUGCCAUGUGUCAAUUAAUGCAAGUUUGAAUAAGUUUAUUGGCUGAACGAUGUUAGCUUCUUUUCCUUUCGUGCACUUUGGUAUGCUAUCAAGUGACAGCCGUAUGUAUGGCUUGCAUAUAGCUGCUGCUGGGAAAAUUGACGAUUUCAUGGCUGGCCGUGUUAUUGUCUUAAAUUAGUUGUGAUAAGCUGUUGCUUGGAGAUUCUGUUGCCAAGACUUUGCUCACAUCAGAAGCUGUGGAAUCUGAACCCUUCGUUAUGUAUCAUCUUUUUCAUUGUUUUAAAACUCUCAGGAUUAAACUUGAGCGAAUUUGUUCGGUUGUCUAUAUAAUCAUGUAUUGAGUAAACUCUCAGGAUACUGAGGGUGAGAGAAAUUAGAGGGUGUAUAGGGAUUUGGAUUUGUUAGGAAGUUAUCAUUUUUAUUUUUAUUUUUAUUUUUUUCCCAGAAAAUCUUCUGGUGGUGCUAUAUUUUCAAACGACAGUCCGAUUCAAAACUUGAUAUUCCAAUUAUAUUCAUAAGCUUCUAUAGUUAUCUUCAAAAAGACAAAUGGAAGGCUUUGAACGGCUUGGGUCUGAGUAUUGUAGUUUGAUUUAUUUUGAUGAAAGUACCUUUUGACAUUGAGAUUCUUUCAUGAGUUAAACAUUCUUUUUAAAACCAACUUAUUAAAAAAAAAAGUAACUAACAUAUAUUAUUUUGUUAGUGCUUUUUAAAUCAAAUAUAAAAAAGAGAACUGUAAUUCUUAGCAACCAAUUUUUCACUGAGUACACCUACAACAAACUACUAAAAAAUAAAGUGAUAGAAAAUGCCUGAUUUUUCGUACUUUCUAAUUACUUUUGGUCUUCAAAUAUGGCGGUUUGUGUAAUAAUAAGCCCAUGUAUAUCUUUAUGCCAUUAGUUUGAUAAAUAGCUAUCAAGGAUAACUUAUUAAGCUAAAAAUAUUUGAAGGAUAAAAUGAUAAAACUAAAAGGGUGGAGUAAUAUAGUUAUUUAGGAUUAUAUAGUAAGUCAACUAUAUUCGAGGGAUAAAAUAUUAAAACUUGAAUAGUGAUAUUAAAAAUAUCUCGACUAUUAUACUGUUAAACCAUAUGCCGUAAUAAUAUUUUUUUAGAGCUUGAAAAUAAUAAAAAGAUUUUAAAAUAUAAAUUGCAUAUUUGUUUAUUACUGUUGUUUGGUCUAAUUUCUUAUGUAGAAUUGCUUGUUAUUCUUUGGACGUUAUUGAUUAUAUUUUUGUCAGACUUGGCGUAUAUAUUCACAUACGUUUUAUUUUGUCAUUUUGUAGAACAUUUUUACACGCCAUAUUAUCACGACUCUUCUGUGUCUGAAUAAGAAGAAAGCAUAAUGCGACCCUCCAAUAGCUUAAUCUAUGGAAUUAUCGUGUUUUGUAAGUUGAGGUCCAAUGGCGUUUUGGCACAUCAUAUGAUAGACCACUAUAUUGCGUUGCUUUACAAAAGAUUAAUAUUUUUAAAAUUUAUUAGGUAAGUUUAGGCUCAGUGGCCCUUUAACUCAUGAUAUGAUAGUCCAGGUUUUCCGUUUUCGGAUCGAGUUCACUUUAACUCUGGUCCCGUGUUAUUAAAAUACCAAUUUCGGAUCGAGUUCAGGCGCCAGAACAAUUUUCUAGAACCUGGCCCGAGUUUAUUUUUGGGCUUGGGCCGGACGACCAAGUCCGCCCUGAUUAAAAAUUUGAGACUUUUCGAGGUUCACAGGGAUUCUGGCAUCCCUAGUCGAAUCAACACCGAUGUGAUCUACACAACCAGUGUACAUACCAUUUGAUACUGAAUCACCAAAUACUUAGAUGUAAUCAGCAACAAUUACAUAUAUAUAUAUAUAUAUAUAUAUAUAUAUAUAUAUAUAUAUAUAUAUAACUAAUAUUAAAAAUUGUUACUUUAUUAUACUUUUCUUCAAUGUAUGCCAUCUUUUGGGCAGGCAUGGCAAUAAAUGAGCAAAAAUGAAGACAACACACACAUUACACACACACACACACACACACACAGAGUGUAAUUGAAGUAUCAAACUGGCAAGGACACAAAAUGAAUUUAAUAGUAUAUAUUAUCUCAUAAUGGCAAAUCUAAAAAACACAAACUUAUUUAACAGCUAGCAAAUUUAAAAAUCACGACAGCAUCAAAAAUUGCGCACACGAAUUUAAUUAAGAGGGACGUAAAAUGGAGUUGAUAUGAUCAGCAAUGUUUUGGGCAUCAGCAGCAGCUCCAUAGAGUCCUUUCCUUGACAAUCCAACGCAGUAUAAACCAUUCUUCCCUUUCCAAUGAUUUGGGUAACUUUGCUUUGGGAUUCCAUCAUCGUUCAGCAUAGAAUCAUCUCCCUACUCAACAACAACAACAACAACAACAAGAAGAAAAUAAAAAAUAAAAAAAAUCUAAGAUUGAUUUGUACUUUUUGUAACCAUUAACGCGAAAGAGUUACAUAUUAUUAUAGAAACAAUAAAAAAAUAAAAUGGUAAAAGGCGAUUUGUUUUGGGGGGGAGGCAAAGUGAGAAUCGUCGUCUUUCCAAUAUAUAUGUAUAUAAAUAUUAUAUUACCUUGAGCCAAACAUUUGUUGAUCUCUUGAAGCCAGUACAGAAAACAAUCGAGUCAAAGUGAUGGGAGUGUCCAUUCUCAAAUACCACCUGGUUGCCUCUAAUGCUCUCCAUUCCCGGCAAUACCUGUGCAGGAGGAAUUUUAAAUUAUAUCACAAGUAAUACAUCAAUCAACUAACUUAGUUAUAUACUACAUGUGUAAUUAAAAAAUUAAUAUAAUUACUGCUUACAUAUUAAUUUUUCAUAAUAUAUAUUUACCUGUGUGUGUAUAUAGGGAGAGAGAGGAUGGCCAGCCAGGUCAUUCAAAAAAUAAAUAUCUGAUCACCUUGUAAUUAAUUACCUGAAUCUGUCCAGACUUGAUUUUCUCACAGGUGCCGACAUCGAUAACCGGGUAUUUUCCAUAAGCAGCUUUCAUGAAAAAAGGACCCUCCCUGGGCUUGUAGAUCCCAUACUUGCUCAAAUCUCCAUAAACAAGCCUGCUAAGCAUCACCAUCAAUGUGUCGACCCCGCCGCAUGGAACAUACUUCAAUAAAACUAACCCCAAAUACACCAUCUCCCUCGACAGCACAUGAACCUGAUUAAUUAAUUAAUGGAGUGGAUAGAUAUAUAGAAAUUAAGUAAAAAAAAUAUGUGCAUGCCAAGUGAAAUAAUAAUGAAUUUACCCACCGGGCUACGGAUAACUAAAGAGGUUUUGGCGGCAUGGUUGGCUAGAUCCAGUGCAAUUUUCAUGCCAGAAUUUCCAGAGCCAACGACCAACACAUGCUUGCCGCCAUAAGGUUUUCCAUUUUUAUACUGAGUGGAAUGAAUAACUUCUCCAGUCCCGGUGGCACUACUGCAGAAAGAACUCAGUCCUCGAACAUCCGGCGUAAAAGGGUUGCUCGUUUCCCCACUUGCAACCACUAGAAACCUCCCGGAAUAAUAUUCCUCAAUCUCACGGCCGGGACUUAGUAAGUUGCUAGCCUUAACGUUCCACAUAUUGGUUGCCUCGUCGUAGCUCGCCGAUUCAACGGAUCUUUGGUACCGUAUUGACGGACCGAUGUUGAAAUGGGAAACGUAGUGAUCCAAGUAUUCAAUGAAUUGGGCUCUGGAGACAAACAUCGGAUAAGAAGAAGGGAAUGGCAGGUGAGGGAGCUGACAAAAUUGCUUUGCUAAGUGCAGACGUAGGCGAUCGUAGGAAUAUUUCUUCCAGAUGGACGCGUAACAAUUUUCUCUUUCGAGGAUUACGUAAGGGAUUGAUAGAAGGCUAAGGCAGGCCGCCGUCGCCAGGCCGGACGGUCCUGCCCCUACUAUUAUCACUUCUACUCCCGCCGCUUGCUCUUUCAUUUCUUCUUUUUCUUCUUCUUCAGGUUAAUUUUGAGUUAAGUUGAUUGUUAUUGCCCAUCUGGGGGUGCUUGUUCUAUUUAUAUACUGAAAUCUUUACGUUAUAUGUACGACUCCAAUCAAUUUUUAUUUUGAUACUAUUGAAGAAGACGUAUGUUACAAGACACUCGAUUCACGAACUCCACGUGGUCGGACUUUAGAGGGAAAAAUUGUGGUGUAAUUCUGGUACCGUAUCACAGUUGCACUCAAUCGUUGGAUUUUGAUAGACCCCACUCAUCUAAUAAAUCUAACGGUUGGAUGCAACUGUGGUACAGUACCACAGUUGCAACGUAGCCGGACCUUAGAGGAAAAAAUGGUGGUGUAAAUGUGUUACCGUACCACAGUUGCACCCAAUCGUUGGAUCUCGAUGGACCCUAUCCAUCUAAGUGGAUCCAACGGCUGAAUGCACCUGUGACACAAUACCACAGUUAUACCGUAGUCGGACCUAUAUAUAUAUAUAUAUAUAUAUAUAAAGUGGUUUCCGAAAUAUUUUAAAGUGCAAGAAAAGUUCAACAAAAUUUUAAAACAAUAGAAUUUAAGAAGUUUAAAACUUAAAACAAUUAAACUGCAUAAUUUAUGUUUUUUUUUCAAAUGUUUCUGCACUAUAAAAUUUUGAUUGAAACCUCUCUGUUUGUAUAUAUGUUCGCUGCCACCCCCACCGUUUUAAUUUUCUCAUUCUAUGUGAUAAAUCAAUAUUUUUAUACGUCCUUAGUGUUACGAGAAAAACUUUUUACGUAGGACCAAAUGAUUAGAGUACUACCAAUUUAACAGAUUGAUUGAGGUAAUAAUUAAUCAUGCACAAGUCUUUCUCCAAAGUUACCAUGCUGACUAUAAUAUCUUCUUAAGCGUGCAUUUUUUUUCUUCUCUUUAAUACAAAAAAAAAAAAGAAGUAUUACAUUUGCAUAUAAAGUAACAUUAUCUAGGUCAUGUUACUAUUAAGGAAAAUGCUAUUUGCAUAUGAAAAAUAAAGUAAGGAUACUUUUACACAAAGACAAAAUUAGUAAAAUGAAUAAGUUUGUUUAUAAUGAAAUGUUUCUUAUUUUUAAUGACCUUGUAUAAUUUUAUGUAUAAUAUUAUGUACAAAUAAUAUUACCUACCAAAUGGUUAUGCUACCUCGAAUGGACGCAAAAUUAUUGGAAUAUAUUAAAACCAUAAAUUGUAUAACUUUUUUUUUUUUGGUUUAUUUAAUUUUGGCUUAAGAGAGAAGAAACAGAUUAGCAUGCUUUAUUUGAUUGAAAAAGACAUUGAAAAUAGCAUUCUUUGUGUUUCCACAAAUGAAGUCAUCCUCCCAGAUUUCAGUUUAUUUGGAAAUUUGACAUCCACAUGUUCAUUUGGAAUUUCGACAUCCACAUUCAACAAUCCUUCAAAGGAAAUAAGUUGGAAGAUGAAUUUCCCUUUCUCAAUAACUACCAUACCUCAUCAAAAUUGAAGUCCCAACUCAUAAUAUAUGACGUACGGUCCAGAAAGACUCAACCAUAUACUUGUAUUCUUGAAUGGAUAAUUUUGCCAGCAUGUUUCCUUGUUUGUUGGGUCAAAAAUAAAAGAAAUUAGGGAAGAAGAAAAAAAGCAAAUUGAAUUUGUCAAUGGAAACGUAAAGAUUACUUGACGUUGCCAAUAAGGUAUUUGAUUGACAUCUCAACUCUGACGAACGGCACUCGAAAUUGUAAUGUGAAAACACAGAAAUGAAGGGCCAAAUUAAUUAAAAGUAAAGAGGCUUUUAUGAUGUGGUGCAAGGCUUUAUGAAAAAAAUAGUCAGGUGAUAUUCUGCUUAACUAUAUUAUUGUUAACGACAUGAUUGGAUUGGGUCUGCUUAACUAUAUAAUAUUCUGCUUAAGAAUUAAUGAAAUUAAUAAAAUAAUUAAAUAUUAUUAAUUUAAUCAGGUGAUAUUCGUUUUGGGUUUAUACAACCUCGAUCGAGUCGAUGCUUCUUGAAGUCGUCUUGAAUUGGGGGGAUCCAGGACGAACAAAUAUGAAGCAACAUGAAAGGCGAUAACGACUCUCACACACAAAAUCAGAUAGUAUAUAUAGGAGUAACGAAAUCUCUUUUCUAGAUAAAGUAAGAGAUAGGUUAAAUUGAAAAAUAAUAAUAAUAAUAAUAAUAGCACAGUGAGUGACUUCAUGAAUUUAUGAGAUAACCAUGUAAUGCAUCAGAACUUGAAAAAUAAAAAUCAUUAAAAAAAAUUAAAAAUCAAAGUUAUGCAUUUUUGUAAGGGUGUUUUAUGUGAUAAAUACACGUUUAGUCUCUAUAUUUUGGGUUAAGUACUCAUUUAGUCCUCAUAUUUUGAAAAACGUCUCCAAGAUUUGUUAUGCUUUUGUCCUUAUAUUUUUCGUCUCAACUUUUACAAAAACAUCCUUGCGGGGCAUUAAUAAAGGGGAGAAAAUAUUAAUUUGUCAAAUUAACCGCAAAAGUAAACAAAAAUUAAUGUAAAAAUUUCUUACUAUUAUUUUUAUUUUUAAAGUUAAUUUGAUAUUAGUUUGGUACUUGUAAAGAAAAUUAUUGUAAACUCCUACGCCCAUCGGAGAUCCUCCUUUCUUCUCAGAAUUAUACAAAAUAGUAUUAAAAUCUCCACCUAACAGCCAAGGACCCCGGACAGUCAAAGCUAUCUUUGCCAACUCAUUCCAAAGAUGUCUCCUGAUGCUUGGAUUAGGACUAGCAUAGAUUGCCGUCAUCCAAGUUAGCAGGUUAUUGUUCCUUGAAAUCUUGAGGUGAAUGAACUGAGUAUGAUUCCCCACUAUCUCAACUUCAAAUAAAUUUUUCCAAAGGAUCCAAAUGCCGCCCGAAAAACCCUCAGCUUCCACUCGGUGAGACUUGUCAAAACCACUAUUCUUGAUGAAGUUAUCCGCCUUGGAACCACUGAUGCGAGGCUCCAUUAACACCACCAUUACGGGCUUGUAAUUAUUAACCACAGCAGAGAAAGAACGACGAAAGGACGGUGAAGCAGCACCUUGAGCAUUCCAAAACAUAGUUGUAAUACACAUAACAAAAAAAUUUAAAAGGAGAGCCAGGGGAAAAACUAAGACAGCCCUAUGGCUUCAGCUUCAUCAUCCAUGAAGGUGUCAGGAACCCCUGAAUUAUCUUCAUCAGUUAAAGGCACACUCCUACCCGCAACAUCUGAAUCAAGCUCCCUAAAAGGUCCCCCCCGGAGAUUAAGACUAUUCAUGCCAUCCUCAUCGGGGGGCUCUUUAUCCAAAUUCUGGGCCAAAACUUCCUUAGGCAACUGUUCAUGGUGAGACCGAGAAUGAGGAAAUUGAAGCUGAGGGUUAGGGAAAGAAACUGCACUAUGGUUUAACGGGUUAAGGGUUACAUGAACAGGCAUCGGGGAAGCAGCCAUUGUGUUGGGAUGGGCAUGCAUGCCAUGCAUGGAGCUACAGGGAACAUCAGAGGUAGCACUUGGUUCAGAUGUGGUAAGACCCUUGAGAUGUGCGUGCAUGCCUUGCAUGGCUAGGGUAGGAUUAUGUGGUUGGAAAGGCUGGCCACGGCUAUGAUUAUUGGGGUUGAUAUUUUCAGCUAUGGAGUUGUUUGCCCGAACGGAAAUUUUCUUGGUAGGAUAUUUUCGUAUAAAGUGACUCACUUGUUUCUUUUUCAUGCUCCUGGAUUUUGGGGCUAAAGUGUUGGGAUUUUCUAAUGUUGGCUCUGGAAUUUCCUGAUGGAUUACCGAAGUGUUGUCCUGAUUUUGUGGUGCAAUUUCCUCAUUCAUCACUUUGCCUAAGACAUCAAACCGCGACUCAUGAACAUUUAGCCCCUGUUGAUCCUGAACCGAGACCUUAGGAGAAACCCUUUCUGAAACUCUACGGGGGCGAGGUUUACGGGUUACCACCAUCCACGAUCCAAACUUAGACGCAUUUCGGUUAGAACCCUCCUCCACUACAAUAUCCCGGUUUGCAGCAACAGGACAAGAAGUUGGCAGUUCAGCUUCCACAUGCGUGGUACCACCGUCAGGGCAAGCAUCUUGAUAAUGGCCAAACUUGCCACAGUAAAAACAAAUCAAGGGCAGAUUUUCAUACUCCACCUUUUGGAUUCUUCCCUCAAAAUUAAAUUGAGAAACCAGCGGCUUGUCAAGGUCUAGUUGAACCGCAAUGCGAGCAAAUUUUCCCCUUUGGGCUGCGGCAGUGAGAUAGUCUAUCUUAAUGACCGGGCCAACAAUUUGCCCUAACCGCCGUAUAAUAGUUUUAUGAUAAAAGUGAAUAUUCAUGCCAGACAAACGAAUCCAAGCCACAAUACGAUCAACUCUAUUCGUGAUAGCAUCAAACUCCGGCGUCCAUUGCUGAACAAAAAGAUAAUGCCCCAUGAUGGUCCACGGCCCCUCAGUAAGAGCAUAUUCCACAUCUCCCUCGUUCUGAAAACGGAUCAGGUAAUAGUCAUUAGCUAAGUCAAUGAUGGAGAAACCCAUUGUAGAACUCCAGAGUCUCUUCAAACGCUCGCUGAUAACUCUAUAUCCCAGGUUUCGUCCAAGAGUUUUAACGACAACUGAGUUUGCCCAAGGUUUUGCUAGUCGUUCGUGGACCCUCUGUGAGAAAGCAAUAUAGGGCAUAGAUUCGUCCUCCUUACAACAAACAUCCUCCUCUUCCAGUUCCCACUCGUCCCUCAUGCCAAAAACCAUAUUUGCAGAGCCCCCAUUCGCCUCCAUGGCGAUAUCACGGUAGGAUAAGGGCUUAGGGUUAUCUCCAUCAGCCCCUUCAGCCCUAAACUUUGUCUUUUUGGUGAAUCGGUCACUCGCCAGCGGCGGUGGAGAAGCUUUCGCGGAGCUCAUUAGGGCACGGAUUCUUUGUUUUGGACUCACUCAAAAUCUGGGCGUUUCACUACUCAUUCGGCUUACUUGGCUUUUUCGAAUGAUACCCCCAUGCAUGAUGACAGGCCUUGGCGGACGGUUUGGAGUUGGAAGGGUCCCCAAAGUGUGAGGAUCUUCUUAUGGCAAGCGUUUCACAAUCGUCUGAAAACAAAGGCCGAGUUAGUUCGUCGUCACAUCCCGGUAUCAACCUCCUGCGAUCGGUGUGAGGCUGCGACUGAGGAUGCUUUGCAUGUCUUGCGGGACUGUGCUUUGGUUAAGCGUUUUUGGCUCCUGAUUCUCCCAGAAAAUAAACGACAUCAAUUCUUCAAUUGGCGGCUCCAUGAUUGGCUUCGUAUGAAUCUGGGGAUCGUCGGAGGGCUAGGGAGUGUUUCUAAUUGGGCCAUCUUCUUUGGCAUUGCUCUCUGGAGACUUUGGUUUUGGAGGAACCAAUUCAUCUUUAAUCAAGUUUCUAUGGAUCCGAAUGUUGUUUUAAUGGAUGUUUUUCUGCGCACUGCGGAAAUGCAAAAGAUUCAUACUCAUCCGCUUACCUCAGGACAUACGAGGGUGAUGAGAUGGAUCUCUUGGAAACCUCCAGAUUGGCCUUGGUGCUCUUUGAACACUGAUGGUGCCCAUAACAGGGAGGGAAUUUCUACUGCUGGGGGAUUGAUUCGCGAUCACAUGGGUCGCUGGCUUAGUGGUUUUGGGAUGAUGAUUGGUUCCUGCUCUGUUACAGUAGCGGAGCUUUGGGGUUUGUAUCAAGGGUUGCAACUAGCUUGGAAUUCUGGUAUAAGAAAGCUUAAAGUGGAAAUAGAUAGUCGUUGUGUGCUGCAGUUGGUGACCAAGCCAACAUUGGAAAUCAAUCAUUAUGCUUCUCUGAUUCGAGCUAUCAAGGAUUAUUUAAAGAUGGAUUGGCAAGUUUCUGUCUCCCAUAUUUACAGAGAAGCUAACUUCGCAGCGGAUUAUAUGGCGAGCCUAGCUUUCUCCAUCCCUCUUGGUCUUACUAUUUACCAUACUCCCCCGUUGGGAGUUAGCCCUUUUUUGUUUAAGGAUGCUUAUGGGAUUGCCCAUUCUCGCUCGGUUGUUCUUUAGCUCUGCUUAGAGCCCUUUUUUACCAAAAAAAAAAAGAAAAUUAUUGUAAAAAUUGUUGUAAGAAUAUUUAGCAGUUAGAACUAAAUAGAAAUUUAAUUCAAAAUAUAAAAGGAUUAAAAAAAAAAUUCACCUAUAUUAUUUUUAGUGUUUUUGUAAUUCGAAGUAAAGCAUAUUUCAUGCUGUUAAAUCGGGUUGACGAUCCCAUCGGAAAGAAAAAGAAAAGAAAUAUGAGGUGGAUGAUGACUUGCAUUCUAAGUCAAAGGAAUAUGCUAAGUGCUAAGAUUUGGUUGUUCACUGGACGCGCUCAAAUUGGUACUCUUUUUUUUUUAUCAAUUCAACGAUUCAACCAACGGCAGCAUGCAUUGCAUGCACAGGUUCAGAUACCUGCAACUCACUCCGGCCCCCACCCGAAAAAGCCAAACCCUCAGCCCUCUUUGAGUCUUUUACUAGUCUAUGUCCGAAUGAUUGUGUGCAGACAAAGCAAUUUAUUUGGGUGUCAUCGAGGAAACGGCCAUGAAUGUGGGUUAAGAGAAAGUGGUUAAAAAAAAAAGGGGGGGGGGGGGGGGGGGGGGAAUUGGGAGAAAAUGUCAAAUCUCCAACCCUUUUUAUUAUAUCCCACUAAUUUUUUUCACAUCAAAAUCUUAACCAAAAAAAUUAAUUUUUAUUUUGUGGAUGGAAUGUUAACAUUAAGAGAGUAUACUGGAGGGGAUGGUAACAAAGAAUAAUAACGUAAAUUCUCAUUUGUAAGUAACGAUGUAUGUUAUUUUCGCUCUCUUUGUAAGUUCUCAUUUCUCAAAAGUACUGUAGAGCAUACUGUAAUAGAAUAACAACAUAGUCUGUAAGCUAAUUUGAAUUUUUUUUUCAACUUAAAUGUUAUAAUGGUAAUUAUAAUGGAAUAAAAUGUAAAUUAUGUUGUUGUUUUUAUGGUGCAUUUAUUUUUUAUUUUUGGAUCAAGGAAUUAGAAUCUCAAAUUGAAAUUAUUGAUAGUGUUUACUUGAUAAAGUGAAGGUGAAAAUAUAAGUGAAAGUGAUAGGCUUUGUUGGACCAAAAAUAAAAUAGGCCCAAUCAAGACCUAAAUAAAUUUAAUCCCAAUAAGACCCAUCUAAUAAAUUUACUCUCGAUUAAGUCCACAAAGCGUUGAACAAAUCACCUAUAAUAAUCCUCCUAAGUAAUAAAGCUUCAAAACCCAAAGGGUUCCAAGAUCCAAGACCAAAACUUAUUCUAGAGUCCUAAGAUCUAUCAUAAGACAAAUCACCUAGGAUAAUCCUCCUAAGUAACAAGACUUCAAAGCCUAAAAGGUCUCAAAGUCCAAGACUAAAAGAUUCUAAAGUCCUAGGAUCUUAUCUUAAGACAAACCACCCAAAAUAAUCAUCCUAGAUGACGAGGCUUCAAAGCUCAAAAGAUACUGAGAUCCUAGGCUUCUAUUCUAAGACAAACUAUUUAUGAUAAAUCUCCUACAUUCUAAGGUUCUCAUCAUCACAGAGUUUUAGUAAAAAUAACUUAAGGUUAAAACACUUCUUUCUUUAAUAUAUAGACAAACUUGCAUAUUCAUGUGUUAAUUAACAUGGCCACAAACAAACAAGUGUUGCCAGACGUGAUAAGAACAAUAACACUUGUCAUUAAAAUAACUAGGACUUAAGUCAAAUCAAUUUCGCCUAUAAAUAUGUCUUUUAUUCUCAGUAAAAGGUAAGAAAAAAUGGACUCAAACGGAAAAAUGAUAACUUUCACUUUCUAAUAUUUUUCUUUCUAAAUAUACAUUUCCAAAAGUCUGGUGACUAACUUGACCAUAGGACGGUUUAUGCCGGCAAAGCCGGCUUUCUGAUUCUUUUCUUGUGUUUGUAAAGUAUCACUAAAUAAGAACAUUCUCAUUAUCUAAAGAAGUGAACUCAGACAACGAUAUAUAAAGGCCUAUUAAGAUCAACCUAAAGGGUAAACUCACUAUCGUUAAAUCCAACAAAAAGUAACCCAAGUCCUAAGGGGGUCGUCCUCAGUUGGAAUUUCUACAUAAUAAGUUGGGACAAAAUUUGCACAAACAGGCUUCACACAAAUUUAAGAUUAGGAUUUGAAAGUUUGAUUCCCAAAGGGCUUAGGAUUUAGAUUCCAAUUCCUUUGACUGAUUAUUUUAUCCCCACCUAAAUUAUUUAACUUCAAUUUUAUCCUCCGUUAAAAAUAUUAUAUAUAUAUCUUUUUCACAAUUCCCAAAAAUCUGAACCACCAAAAUCACGUUGCCGGUCAUCACGUAGCAUCCGUUGGAAUUGUGCACUGAUUGUCAAUCUCGCACUACAGCAGACGUUCGUUGAUAGUUAGCCUUACAAACACUGUAUCUCUCCAUCAAAUGUGGAUUGAUAAUGAGAUUGUUGGUGGUGAUAAAUAUCGAUGGUGAGAUUGAUAAUGAUAAAGAAUAUUGAUGAUGCUGCAUCAUCAAAUCUGAUAAAGAAGCCAUAGUAGCUAGGGGAUCUUAUUCUUUAUCAUCGGGAAGUACUGAGGAUGAUGAUGAAGAAGAAAAUAAAUUAUAAUAAUACAUAAUAAUAAUAAUGAUGAUAAUAAUUAAAAGAUAUUUUAAUGACUUGUAACAUUUUAUUUCGAUCCUAUAAUAAAAUAAAUAUAUUAAUUAAAAUACAACAACUUAUUUUUAUUUUAAUUUAUGUAAUUCAAAUAAAUAACUUAUUUUUUAUUUUCAUUUCAUCUGAGUUCGAUUCGAACUUAUUUCUAAUUGCCUUUCAUUAUCGAAUGUUAAAUGCGCCUUAAAUUUUCUACACCAAAACCAAACGCCGAUAUGUCAUUAGUCCCUAAAUAUUUCAGAACCAGACUCCGUGAUCCAGGUCCACUGCCCUUUAAUUGAUUGGGUCCCACUAAUUCGAAGGUCGCACCCCACCCUUUUAAUUACUUUGGAUUUUCAAAAAUUUUUAGGACCGGCGAAGAGAUAAUAUGAAAAUCACAAGCAUGUUGUGCAUUUGAAAAUUGAAAUUGUGACGGGAUCAGCAUCCACCUAAGAGCAUUUAAUAUAAACAUAAAAAUUAUUAAGAAUCUCCACAAUAUAAUUAUAUAAAUAAUAAAAUAAAUAUAAUUUAAAAUUAUGUCUUAUAAAAUUAUAUGAAUAAAAUUAUAUUUUUAAUUUUUAAUUUCAAGUCGGGUCGGACAUGGUAGGACCAAAACUUUGACCCGAACUUUAAUCGGCCAUAAUGUUUUAGCCUGAACCCGACUUAAAAUCUUUAAAUUUAGGUUAAAGUCUGAAAAUUUUGGAUCACAUCAAUCAAGUUAAAAAUUAGGCCCGACCUUUUUAACCAUGCAUACCAUCUGCUGCAGAUUUAUUUCGUUUUUAUGAACAAACUUCGAAUGUUAUUGGUAAAUUUGUUAAUACGAAUCAAUAAAAAAUAGCCUAAAGAUUUGAGGAUUGGGCAUUUAAAUUCCGAAUAGUACAAAAACCAUUAAAUAUCCAAUUAGAAUAUGAGAUGCCGUACAAGUAAAAUCUGGACUCUGGCAUCGUCAAGGUAACAGGUUUCCUUUGUCCACCAAUCAAAAACACAAAUUAAAGUUUACCAGAGAAUUAGACAGACACCACCUCUGAUGCCAUUUAUAUUAAAGGUUACAAGCAACUUACCAUUUUUGUAACUUCAUUCCACUAUUGCAAGGAAUGGAGAAAAAUCCCCAUGGUAUACCCCGUAGGGGACCUAAUCCCUUGCGUUUUCAUAUUCUAAAUUAUAUUCAGUUAAAAUAUUAAAUAUUAAAUACAUUCUUAAUAUUAAUAUUCUUAGAUGAAAUUCUUUUGCUGACUUAAGAAUAAAAUAUUAAAUAAUGUUAUUUUUCUUUUAUUGUGUAACGUGGACCAAAAAAAAAAGGAAAAGAAUUUAAUAAAACCUUCAUUCCGCCAACAUGCAUGUUAAUUGUUUCCAAAUUCCAACCUCCGUACUCUCUUGAGGAGUUUCCCAUUCAUCAAUUAUUAUUUUUUUAUAAUCCAUACCAUCCUGAUAUAAUUAAACACCAUUAAUAAUGUACCAGCCUUUAAAUAGUAAUUAAUUUAUUUAUCUAAUUCACCAAAUGUCAUUUCCUGUACAUAUCUCCAUUGGUAUCAAGAAGAGGCAGAACCCAAAGAAACGUUUCUUGCAUCUUCAUAUUUGUGCGAAUUCAUCCUUUCAUUGAGAAUAACCAUUUCCAGGCAGCAGUUGGCAAUCAAUUCAUGCGCACGUCGAUGCUAUUCAUAGAUAUUAAAGACAAUGAUGAACCAAAGGUGAUAAAUCAUAAAUGCAUAAUUACCAAACCUCCAUCCUUCUCUCAUUAUGAUUUGAUUUUAAAUGAAUUAUUGCUUGGUAACAUUAUUUCCAACCAUUGCAAGACCCUUUUUUUUUUUUUUCUUUUGGGAGAAAUUUCAAUUGAAAGUGAAACCUUUAGACAUUUACCUAACGAAGUUAGUUAAUCGGGAGGGUUGGAAAAAAAAAAAGUUGACGCAAGUCAAUGCACAAUAAUUAAUUAAAUCCGGAGUGACUAAACAGAGCCACGACUUUUUCAAAAAUAUCUGCAUUCAUCACUUUCUCCAGCAGCUAGUCAGCUACACACGAAUCAAUUUCUCUCCUCGUUUGUUGUCAUCCAAAAUUGUUCACCAAUACCAUGGCUGAUGCAAUCGUUUCCACUAUCUUGGCGCAGCUGAUUUCCUUCGCUGCUGAAGAGAUAAAACAACAGGUGAUCGAAGUUACACCCCUCAUAUUACAAAUACUUCCAAUGACUUUAAUUGGUUUUUUUAUUAUCAAAAACAUUAUAAUUAUAAUUUUUUUAAAUUUGAAUUGAAUUUAAUUAAAAGGUGAUGUAGUAACCACUCAUUUUUAUUUUAUUUCAUUUAUAUUCUCGAUAACUAACCAUAUUUUGGUAACUUAAUAUAACUCUCGUACAUAAGAAAUGAUCAAAACCCACAAUUUUAACUCUGUAUAAAUAUUCAACGUUGAGUCAUUAAUUCUCAACUCAGCACUGAAUCCCAUAGCUAUUACUUAGACUCUAUGAAAAAUUUCAUAGUUUUCUUACAUUCUUUGAGUUGGGUAAGUGAUUUCCUAUAAUUUCUUUUCAAGUUAAAUUUUAAUUUGGUUUCUGAUAUAGUCUCUUUGCCGAAUUGUCUCUUUUAUGAUUCUUGGAUUUUGGACUUCAACUUUUUAGGAUUUGAUAGUCAUAUUUUAUGCCAUGCUCAGAUUGAUUUUCAUGAUUUUUAGUAGCUGUUGAGUGACUUACAAUUUGACGAAAGUUUGAAAGGAAAAAUGUUUCAGGAUUAUGUUUUAAUUGACCUUUUAGUGGAAAUAGGAUGCUUAUAACUUAAUGUGGAUGGUUCGUAAAAUCAUGAAAUUUGGAUAGGAUUCACUAGAAAUAUGUACAAGACUCUCCAUAAAAUUUCAUAAUUUUUCAUUCGGUAUGGGGUGGCACAGGUGAAACUUGUGUUUGGUGUUGAAAAAGAAGUGAAAAGCCUUACCAGCCACCUUCAAGUCAUUCAAGUUGUGCUCGAUGAUGCAGAGGAAAAGCAAGUGAAGGACAAAGCUGUUAGUCUUUGGCUGGGUAGGCUCAAGUACGCAUCCUACGACAUUGAAGAUGUGUUGGAUGAGUGGAUCACAGCAAGACGCAAAUUGCAAAUUGAGGAUGGCAUUGAUGAAAAUGCUCUUGUUGCUCCUCAUAAGAAAAAGAAGGUAUGUCUCUGCUUUCCCGCCUCUUGUUUUGGAUUCAAACAAGAAGAAUUUGGUUUCAAACAAGUCUUUCUCCGUCAUGACAUUGCCAACAAGAUCAAAGAAAUGAAUGAAGAGCUACAUGAUAUUGCCACCCAAAAAGACAUGUUUAAUCUUGUUAAGAGUGGCAAUAAAAGUAGUGAAAGACCAAGGCGUGUACAGAGUACCUCCUUGAUUGAUGAGGAAGAGAUUUGUGGUAGAGUUGGUGAGAAGAAUGAACUCAUAAGCAAGCUGUUGCGUGAGAGUAGCGAGCAACAAAAAGGCCUCCAUAUCAUCUCAAUUGUUGGUAUGGGAGGCAUAGGGAAAACUACUCUUGCACAACUAGCUUGUAAUCAUGACGAGGUGAAGAGAAAGUUCGACAAAAUUCUGUGGGUGUGUGUAUCAGAAACUUUUGAGGAGUUUAGGAUAGCCAAAGCGAUCGUUGAAGUUUUGGAUGGUCGUGAAUCUCAUUUAGCUGAAUUCCAUUCUCUUCUUCAACAUAUUUGUGAAUCAAUUGCAGGGAAGAGCUUUCUUCUUGUCUUAGAUGAUGUGUGGGAUGGAAAUUACUUGAAAUGGGAACCAUUCUACCGUUGUCUAAAGAAUGGUCUCCAUGGAAGUAAAAUUUUAGUUACCACACGUAAAGGGUCAGUCGCAUCCAUGAUGGGAUCCAUAGAUAUUAUCUCCGUGAAGGAGUUAGCUGAAGAGGAAUGUUGGUUGUUGUUUAACAAGAUAGCAUUUUUUGAUCGGUCCAUCGAGGAACGUGAAAAAUUAGAACAAAUUGGGCAAAGAAUUGCAGGCAAGUGCAAAGGUUUACCUCUUGCAGCAAAGACAAUAGGGAGUCUCAUGCGUUCUAAACAAACUGAAGAAGAGUGGAAAAGAAUUUUAAAUAGUGAUUUAUGGAAAGUAGAAGAGAUUGAGAAAGAUGUUUUGUCCUCUUUAUUGUUGAGUUAUAAUGAUUUGCCAUCUAGAGUAAAAAGAUGUUUUUCAUAUUGUGCUGUCUUUCCAAAAGACUACGAUAUAAAAAAAGACAAACUAAUCACAUUAUGGAUGGCUCAAGGUUAUCUUAGUGCAGAACAAGAUGAAGAGAUGGAGACAGUAGGUGAAAAGUAUUUUGGCAUCUUAGCUUCUCGCUCGUUUUUUCAAGAGUUUAAGAAAAGUUAUGAUAAUCGGAUUAUAGCGUGUAAGAUGCAUGAUAUGGUACAUGAUUUUGCCCGAUUUGUAAGUCAAAAUGAAUGUUUUUCGAUGGCAAUUAAUGAUAGUGAAGAACCAAAUGCUACAAACUCUCUUGAUGAGAAGGCCCGUCAUUUAAUGUUAAUCUUUAGUAUAGGGGCUUCAUUUCCUGUUUCCACUAGUAGAGUUAAAAGAAUGCGUAGCCUCUUAAUUAACUAUAGUGGAUCUGAUCAUUCAUCAUUAAAUGGUGAGAUCCUAGAAGAAUUAUUUGGGGAAUUGACAAGUUUAAGGGCAUUAGAUUUUGGCGAACCGUACGACACAAAUUUUUCUUUGACUCUGGAGAUUCCAAGAAAUAUAGAAAAGCUGGUACAUUUGAGAUACCUUAAUUUGUCUUAUCAGGGAAUAAAGAAACUACCGGAGACAUUGUGCGAGUUGUAUAAUCUAGAAAAGUUAGAUAUUAGUUGGUGUUUUAAUCUUAAAGAAUUACCUGAAGGGAUUGGGAAGUUAAUAAACAUGAAGCAUUUACGAAAUAGAGGUACUAAUUCUUUAAGGCACAUGCCAGUAGGGAUUGGGAGAUUAACGGGUCUUAGGACCUUGGGUGAGUUCCACGUGAGUGCAGGAGGAGGUGUUGAUGGUAGGAAAGCGUGUAGGCUUGAAUCUCUUAAAAACUUGGAACACCUUCAAGUAUGUGGUAUACGUAGACUGGGUGAUGUAUCAGAUGUGGGCGAGGCUAAGCGAUUAGAACUUGACAAAAGGAAAUACCUCUUCAGUUUGACCCUUGAGUUUGAUAAGAAGGAAAGAGGAGGAGAAAUGAGGAAGAACGAGGACGAUCAACUUCUUCUUGAAGCCCUGCGGCCACCUCUCAAUUUAAAGGAAUUAGAGAUACAGUACUACCGAGGCAACACUGUUUUCCCCAGCUGGAUGACGUCAUUAACCAACUUAAAGAGUUUAGAUCUCUCUUCCUGCGAAAAUUGCGAGCAGCUGCCUCCUUUGGGAAAAUUGCCAUCCCUUGAAGCACUCAGCCUAUUGAUUAUGCGGAGUGUGAAAAGAGUGGGUGAUGAAUUUUUGGGGAUAGAAAGUGAUCAUCAUGGCUCAUCUUCAUCUUCAUCGGUUAUUAUUGCCUUCCCCAAAUUGAAAUCACUUAGUAUUGAGGGAUUGAUGGAAUUGGAGGAGUGGGAUUAUGGGAUUACAAGAACGGGAAACACCGUCAUCAACAUCAUGCCACGUCUUUCUUCCUUGACAAUUGGGAGUUGUCCCGAAUUAAAGGCACUGCCUGACCACAUUCAUCAAACGACAACAUUGAAGGAAUUGCAUAUUUGGGAUUGCAGGCUUCUGGAAGAACGUUAUUGCAAGGGGGAAGGAGAAGACUGGCCUAAGAUAUCACACAUUCCCAACCUCCAUAUUGGGCUUUGACAAGUAAUUUCUUCUCUUACUCUGAUUUGCUUUGUUCUUGUUUUUAAUCUAAUUAAGAAGCGUAAAUAGCAUUUUGAAUCAAACUCUAUAUCAGAAAUCUGCAAUACUUACUUUCUAAUAUUCUGAUUUUCAUAUCCUAUGAAUAUACGAUUUUUAAUUUGUGAGAUGGGUAACGUUAUUGUAAAAGAUUAUUAAUGCAAUAUGAGUAAUUCUUUUACAGGACAAGUGACCUACAUUUAGUUUGGCUUUGGAGUUGAAUAAUAACGUUUUGAGGUCCCGACAUCCAAAAAACGAAGCUUAAUUUGCCACAGAUUGAACGUAUUGCCAUUAUUGACAAUUUUCUGCACAAGCGUGACUGAACUUAGGUUGAUGUCAAAAGAGGUAAAUUAUUGGCAUGCCUGACUAUUUUGACCAUUACAUGAUUCAUAAGUUUACAUUAAUUUUGAUUUUGAGUUGAGUGAUUAGUUUUCUAGGUUUGCUUACUUUAACUGGGUGACCAAUUUCUUGUAACUAAAUGUAUGAUGUGAUGCAGGAAGCAGGGUAGGAUAUGAAAGAGAAGCUUAUUAGAGGAAGGAUUGCCAGUAACAGAAUCCAAAGAAAAAGAAACCAUUUCGAGGCAGCAGUUGGCAGUUGGCAGUGAAUGGAGCCCCUUGAAAAAAUUCCCAAGCCGUUGCACUGCAAUUACGAUCAUCCUCGGCCUCAGGUAAUUUCUUCUCCUGCAUUUUUGUUAUUUGCUAUCAAGUGACUAUUUUAAGUAUGAUUGCAUUAAGCUGCUGCUGGGAAAUUUGAGGUUUUGAUGACUGCCCAUGCUAUUGUCAGAAGCUGCGGUUCUUUUCAUCAGCCUGAACCUGGACCUGCCGCUAUGGAUAACUCAGGUUUUUUUUUUUUUUAAUCAACUGCCAUCUUUUCCACUGUUUAGAAACUCUUAAGAUUAAACUUUAGUAAAGUUGUUUUAGUUAUCCAUGUAAUCGGGCUGAGGAUACUUAGCUGCCUAUUUAGGCAAAUGUCAGAAUGUUCGCUGGGAACUGGUGUGGACUGGCAAAGGAUGAUGAGAUAGUUUUUUGAGUGAGUAAAUUUUGGGAGCUUGAGUGUAUUGGGAUUUGCAAUUACAAUCAUCGUCUGCCUCAGGUGAUUUCUUCUCCUGCUCUGUCAUUGUUUGUUCUCUAAUUCAAAAGCAUAAAAUAUUUCAAUCAAUUUUAUGCCAGGAAUAUGCAAAAGUUUCUAAUAUUUUAUUUCCAUCUGUUACAAGAUCAAACUGAAGUAGAACUCAAACAAAAGUAUGCUACUUCUUGCGGAAAUCUUGCCUUUGUUCAGAUUAUGAAACCAUUUCCAUGCAGCAAAUUCAUCCAAAAGUUUGAAUAAGUUUCAUGGUUGGACACUGUUGGCUUCUUUUUCUUCUGGGGUGCAUUUAGGUGCUAUCAAGUGACAGCUGUAAGUAUGAUUGCACUAAGCUGCCGCUGGGAAAUUUGAGGUUUUGAUGGCUGCCCAUGUUAUUUUCAAGAAACUAUUGAUGUAAGAAGCUGUGGUUCUUUUCAUCAGCUUGAACCUGAAACUGUCGCUAUGGAUAACUCAGGUUUUUGUUAUCAACUAUAUCAUCUUUUUCACUAUUUUGAAACUCUUAAGAUUAAACUUUAGUAAAGUUGUUUCAGCUAUUCAAAUGAAAAACUCAUUGAUUUGAGACUUCCUUCAUUAUUGUUUCUAAUUACAAUGCUAACGAUCCAGAUAAAAUAAUAUUUAAUCGGCGAAGGUGUCCCUUGGAAGUACAUCCUUCUUUUUCUUUUAUUAUAUAAAUUCUUGCAAUGAGCUUAGUGAAGCUGUUGUGCUAAUCAUGCCACUGCAUAAUUUGGCCCCUAAUGUGGGUACUCUGUUACAUUGUUCUGCAAAUUCUCCGGAAGUUAAAAUCAAUAAAUUUUCUAUUAGCUCUAGUGCUUUGACCUAAAUGCUAUUCUAUAUUUUGAUUACAAUGUUUUAACCUUUAAAUUAACUACCCCUAGAUGUUGGAUUUUCUAGAACUUCAAAAUACAUAAACCGUCAGACAUUUAAGCAUCCAAAGAUACAUUAUAUAUUUCUGUGUCUCUAUUUGUAGAUGACAUUUAAGCAUCCAUAAACCGUCAGACAGAGGAAGGGCGUUCAGUGCAAAGAUUCUGUUGACCUAGGGUUGACUGCAUAAUGUCACUUGUUCGCAAUCUAUUAUUUAUUUCAUAUUUUGAAGAAUUUAAUGGGUAAUCCUAAUUGUUUGUUUUGGCAGGUAUGUGUUGUUAUCUCCUUCUAUCUAACAGUCGUACCUAAAUAGCAUAGUUCCAAAGAGGUAAAUUAUUGUCAUGCCUAGAUAAUUUGGCCAUUUCCUAAUUCAUAAGUCUACAUUAAUUUUGAUUUUGAGUUGACUGAUUUCUUUUCAAGGUCUGCUUCCUUAACGGAGUGACCAAUGUUUUUCAACUAAAUUUAUCAUAUGAUGCAGGAAACAGGGCAGGAUAUGAAAUGAGAAGCUCAUUGGUGGAAGUAUUGCCAGUAGCAGAACCCAAUGAAAAUGAAACUAUUUCAAGGCAGCAGUUGGCAGUUGCAAGUGAAUGGAGGCCCUUGACAAAAUUCUCAAGCGAUUGCAAUGCAAUUACGAUCAUCCUCAGCCUCAGGUAAUGUCUUUUAUUGGUACCCAACAAAAAUGCAAGGUCUGUGAGAAGACAGUUUGUCCAGUUGAGCAGUUAUCUACUGAUGGGGUUGUUUAUCACAAGUCUUGCUUCAAGUGCUCUCACUGCAAAGGCACACUCAAGCUAAGCAAUUACUCAUCCCUGGAAGGUGUUCUUUACUGUAAGCCUCACUUUGAGCAGCUUUUGAAGGAGUCGAGUAACUGCAACAAGAAUUUCCAAUUACCUGCAAAGUCAGCUGAGAAGUUAACUCCUGAGCUGAGAAGGUCGCCUAGCAAAGUUGCCAGCAUGUUCUCUGGGCCCAAUAAAAAUGUGCUUCUUGCAGUAAAACAGUGUGUCCGUGGGAGAAGGUAGCAGCGGAAAAUCAAGCCUCUCACAAGACAUGUUUCAAGUGCUCACAUGGUGGUUAUUCCAUUAGCCCGUCAAAUUACGCAGCCCUAGCAGGCAUCUUGUAUUGCAAACAUAAUUUCUCCCAAUUGUUCAAGGAAAAAGGCAGCUACAACCACCUUAUAUCAAAUCUGCUCCCAUGAAGCGUGCUGCAGUCUCUGUUCAAGAAGCUUGAACAUGUUAUGUUAUCUUCCAUAAAUCUUAUUUGGCGUGGGUUUUCUCUGGCUUGAGGGUGUGCUUUCUAUUUUGAUCCCUCUUGUUGUUUUUGCGGGGAACUACCAAACCUUCGGUUCCCUCUGCUUCUUUGGAUCAUCUUUGUUUGGACAAAUUUCAUGUAAUUAGAGAUACCGAUUUAUGGGAGGCAUAAUCCCAUGGUCGUAAAUUGACCAUUUUCUGGCAAGUUCUUUUUAAAAAGAUAUGAGCAGUUGUUUAAAAAAAAAAAAAUAGCUUGCCUUCAUCAUUGUAUGUUACCAAACUGCUAUGUAUAGCUGUUAACUAUGAGCAUCCGAAAAUAUGGUGCAUCGUGAUUCAUGUAGUGCAAUAUGGCUACCAACGCAUCCUAAAUGGAAUAUUACUCAGUUAGUCAGCAAAAUAAGACAACAUAACUGAUAUUAAAAAAAUAAAAACUACAUUAAUAAGUGGGCAAGAUCAUGCCAGUUUAACUUUUCGCGAGUCGCUGCUGGAGAUAAUCAAAUCGGGGCAGAGAAAAGGAGAAUGGAAUCAGAGGCUAAGAUUAAUAAGUGGGCUUCUGCUUGCUUUGCCCCUCUUUCUUAAACGAUUGGUAGACUGCUGCUUCCACCGAUUAACCGGGUCUUCAACCACUGCUUUUACUGCCUGCCAUCUUGUUGUUUGUCGAAGGGAUGAAUUCGAGUCGAAAAGAGAAAGCGCGCUGAAAAAGAUAAAUCACUAGUGGUUAACUGCUGACUCAGCCAAGUGUUGGCUUCACUUGAUUCACCGAUUGAGGUUAUUUUGUCUUCUAUCUAAUGCAGCGAAGAAGCUUUGCUGCUUAACAUGCUGCAAUGCAACUUUAUCCUUUGAAGUUCACACUUCAGGGCUGCGCACUUUAUGUAAUCCUAUGAGUAAAAAGAAUUUGUUUUCAAAUGUGAAAAAAGAAAAUGUAAGGUAGUAACUAAUAUAUUAUAGCAUCAAAGCAAGAUUUGAUAUGAAUUUAGUACAACAAAGAACAUCAAAUCUGUGAUUCCUUGUCUAAUGUCACCAUCGAGCAACAAAUUUAAAAGCCUACCUAUCAAAUACACGAGGCAAUAAACGGAGAAAAAGUUGAAUUACAAGAACAAGUUUACAAUUCUUGUCAAUGGUUAAUGAUUCGUGAACUGAGAUAGCAUUCAAGAAUCCAAUUUCAAUACAACAACGUAAAAGAUAAACAGAUGAUGAAUUUUAUGAGAUAAAGAAGGAGAUCGUGUUUUAUCGUAUCUCUAUUUUCUUUCUUUUUAAAUUUAAAAUAAGCUUUUCAACCGGUUUAUUAACCGGUUAUAAUAUUUUUUAAAAUAAUUAAAUAUUUUCAUUAUUAAAAAUAAUGUGUACCGUUGAUUACAUCUAACGGUACAUAUUUCUUACACUACUAAUACGGUAAAAAAAAAAAAAAGGGCAUCAUAAAGGGACCCUUAAAACAUUUUCAUUUGAAAUUAUUUGGUGUAGUCAAAAAGUUAAGAAAGAAAUAGUUGUCCCUUUGGUCAUUUCACAAAAAUGAAAGCCCCAUAUAACAUGGACUUGAAUGGAAACCCAAUUGUUUGUGUUUGAUUUCAAGCUUUAUCGGACCUUUGGACCUGGAUACUUUACUGCGGCCUCUAAGCGCUAUAAAUUUGUUUUUUGGGAUAAAAGGCGCUUCAAUGAAAAAGCACUUUAAAACUUUGGAUUUUGCCAAAACUUCAAAGCGGUUGGUCCAGUUACGGUGUUAUGCUAACGGGUUUAAAGGUUCCGAUCCAAUGAGUUAGGGUGGAAUAUGAAUAUAUAAAUUCCAUAGCAUGUAAGGACUAGGAUUUGUUUGUUCAUAUUAAGAAAAAAGAUCUAAAAAUUUGAUGAUCAGAAGAAAAUAGACUCUUCUCUGUCUGAAUAAGAAGAAAGCAUAAUGCGCCUCCAAUAGAGAGAAAAGGGACUUAAUUUCACUUGCGUCAAAUGUUCCUCAUUCUUUGAUGGAAGAAAAACUCUUAAUAGUCUAUUGUUUUUUUUUUUUUCAUUUUUAUUUAAGUUUCACAAUAUUUUAGUAGUUGAUCAAAUUAUUUAGAAUUAGACAUUUAAUCUAGGGACAAUGUGAACUUUUUAAAAAUCUAUCAGGUGAUUUCAUAAUUUUAUAAUUCAGUUGGGGUAAUUUCUCAAACUAUAAACAAAUUAUCGUGUUUUGUAAGUUGAGGUCCAAUGGCGUUUUGGCACAUCAUAUGAUAGACCACUAUAUUGAGUUGCUUUACAAAAGAUUAAUAUUUUUAAAAUUAUUAGGUAAGUUUAGGCUCAGUGGCACUUUAACUCAUGAUAUGAUAGUCCGGGUUUUCGAGGACCACUAUAUUGUAUUGAUUUAAAAAAAAAAUUAAUAUUUUUUAAUAUUAAUAUUCUAAAUUAUAUUCAGUUAAAAUAUUAAAUAUUAAAUACAUUCUUAAUAUUAAUAUUCUUAGAUGAAAUUCUUUUGCUGACUUAAGAAUAAAAUAUUAAAUAAUUUUAUUUUUCUUUUAUUGUGUAACGUGGACCCAAAAAAAAAAGGAAAUGAAUUUAAUAAAACCUUCAUUCCGCCAACAUGCAUGUUAAUUGUUUCCAAAUUCCAACCUCCGUACUCUCUUGAGGAGUUUCCCAUUCAUCAAUUAUUAUUUUUUAUAAUCCAUACCAUCCUGAUAUAAUUAAACACCAUUAAUAAUGUACCAGCCUUUAAAUAGUAAUUAAUUUAGUUCUGAGAAGGAAAAAAAAAACAAAAAAACUACUUUGACCAGAAAAAUUCCCCGUUCUAUUGCCUAUAUAUGAACUGAGCUGUGCAAUUGAUCAAUUUCAAAAACUUCCUCAGCUGACCAAUUUUGAGCAAUUACUACAUAACAUAAAACCAAAUGCUGGAUGAAUUGGCAUCUCUGAAAACCCCAGCUCACACGUACCGACAGAAAGAGACUCUAGAUGUAUUCAAACAUUAAAUAACUGCAUAUGCUCUUCAAAAGAUGGAAGGAACCAUGGAUUAAAAAGAAGCAACCAUCUAAACAAGAACUUAUAUUAAAAAGCAAAGGAAGUAACACAUUAAAUUGAGAAGUGUGAUCAUCACUAUGAAGCUUCUAUAAGUAAUUUAAGAAUAGUAAUAAAAAACUAUUCUAAUAUAAGUAAUAAAUAUGGGAGACAUCUUUGGCUAAUAUGUAAUAAUAAUCUCGAGCAGCAGACGGACUCUUAUUUGCUCCAAUUUGAAUGGUGGUGUUAAGCAAUUUAAAUGUGAAGCCACUCGAGGCUCUGAUUGUGACAGCGGAAGCUAUACAGGCACGGCAUCAGAACAAGAAGAAGGAGCCGAACAACAUAUUUCAGUUCUCAAGAGAAGAAUAGAUUCUCAAACAAACUUCAAUUUUGAGAAGAAGAAGAAGGAUUCAUUAUCAUGGCAAGCUCAAAAAUGCAUUGGUAGAUUUUUCUACGAAAUGGGUAUUGAUUUCAGUGUUGCUAAUUCUCCAAGCUUUCAAGACAUGAUAAAUGCUAGCCGUGGUAAGGAAAAGUGUGAGAUCCCCAGUUGUCAGGAUUUGAAGGGGUGGAUCCUUCAUGAAGAAGUGAUGGAAAUGCAAGAAUAUGUGAAGAGGAUAAGACAUUCGUGGGAAAGUACUGGGUGCAGCAUUUUGUUGGAUGGAUGGACUGAUGAAAAUGGUCGAAACUUGGUCAGUUUUAUUGUGGAUUGUCCUCAGGGACCUAUUUAUCUGCGAUCAUCAGAUAUUUCAGCCUUCGUUAGUAAUGUUGAUGCCCUGCAGUUAUUAUUGGAUGGAGUCAUUGAGGAGGUUGGAGUGAAUAAUGUUGUUCAAAUUGUUGCAUGUUCUACAUCAGGUUGGAUGGGGGAUGUGGGCAAGCAGUUUAUGGAAAGGCGAAGGACAGUGUUUUGGACUGUAAGUGUGUUUGAUUGCAUUGCUCUGAUGCUUGAGAAGAUUGGUACGAUUGAUUUUGCUAGGGAGAUAUUAGAAAAGGCCAAGACCAUUACAAAGUUCAUUCAUGGCCACACAACGGUCUUGAAACUCUUUGGAGAUUUUACUGGCAAGCGGAACCUUAUCAAGCCCUCUAAGUUGAGAUCAGCAAUGCCUUUCUUGACUUUAGAAAAUAUUGUGGCGGAAAAGAAAAACCUUAAGGCCAUGUUUGCCUCAUUUGAGUGGAAUAGAACUAAAUGGGCUUCAAGAACAGAGGGGAAGAGGAUAGUUAAUUUAGUGGAGGAUCGUUCUUUUUGGAGCACAGCCAGGAUGGUCCUAAAGGCAACUAUACCCCUUGUGCGUGUUCUGUGUUUGAUCAAUGGGGCUUAUAAACCACAAGUGGGUUACAUCUAUGAAACCAUGGAUCAAGCAAAGGAGACAAUUAAAGAGGAAUUUAAGAACAAGAAAACCCAAUAUUGGCCAAUUUGGGAAAUUAUUGAUGACAAAACGCUAUUUCCGCAUAUUAUUAUUAUCAGAUUGUGUCUAAUGUCAGAUAUUGCCGACCACCUACAAUGCCACACAGAGAACCGCUACAAAUUCCUGUAACUUCCUUCCUGUACUAAAAUUAAAGGAGUACCCCAUCCUCUGCAGUAAAUACAUAGUCCUACUUACGGUUCCUUGUUACUUCCUUUGCUUUUUCAUCUGCAGUAAAUAAGAUAAAGGUGUCUCCCACAGUUGAAGACGGACCCUUGUUGCCAAAGAAUAGUAAUAAAAAAUAAACCACUUUCAUCUUGUACUGAAGUCUAUACUUAAGCUUCUAUAAGUAAUUUAAAAAAGCAUUUACCAUUUUAAACAUCAUAAUGAUACAAUUAUCUUAGUUUUAUCAGUAUAUAAGAAUUACUUAUAGAAUAGUAAUAUAUGUUUAUAUUUAAAUUAGUACAAUUUUAUAUUGAUAAUAAUAAUAAUUUUCAAUUGAAAGUGAAACCUUUAGACAUUUACCUAAUGAAGUUAGUUAAUCGGGAGGGUUGGAAAAAAAAAAAGUUGACGCAAGUCAAUACACAAUAAUUAAUUAAAUCCGGAGUGACUAAAACAGAGCCACUACUUUUUCAAAAAUAUCUGCAUUCAUCACUUUCUCCAGCAGCUAGUCAGCUACACACGAAUCAAUUUCUCUCCUCGUUUGUUGUCAUCCAAAAUUGUUCACCAAUACCAUGGCUGAUGCAAUCGUUUCCACUAUCUUGGAGCAGCUGAUUUCCUUCGCUGCUGAAGAGAUAAAACAACAGGUGAUCGAAGUUACACCCCUCAUAUUACAAAUACUUCCAAUGAUUUUAAUUGGUUUUGUUUUUAUCAAAAACAUUAUAUAUUUUUGCUUUUUUUUAUUUAUCUGAUAAUUUUAUAUUUUGAAAUUUGAAUUGAAUUUAAUUAAAAGGUGAUGUAGUGACCACUUAUUUUUAUUUUAUUUCAUUUAUAUUCUCAAUAACUACUCAUAUUUUGGUAACUUACUAUAACUUCCAUAUCUAAGAAAUGAUCCAAACCCACAAUUUUAAUGAUAAGAUUGGUUGAAUUAAAUAUCACUUGGCCCACAUGAUUUGUUUUAAUUAUUUUAUAUUUUCAUUCAACCAAUGAAUUAGUGCCACGUCAGUUUGUACAAAAUAAGUUUGUACAAUAGUUUGUGGUUGUAUCAUUACUCUUUAGUAAAGAGUAAUGAUAUAGCCACAAACUCUUGUACAAACUUAUUUUGUACAAACUUAUGUGGCAUGAUAAGAUUGGUUGAAUUAAAUAUCACUUGGCCCACAUGAUUUGUUUUAAUUAUUUUAUAUUUUCAUUCAACCAAUGAAUUAGUGCCACGUCAGUUUGUACAAAAUAAGUUUGUACAAUAGUUUGUGGCUGUAUCAUUACUCUUUAGUAAAACCUCAACUCAUCACUGAAUCCCAUAGCUAUUACUUAGACUCUAUGAAAAAUUUCAUAGUUUUCUUACAUUCUUUCAGUUUGGUAAGUGAUUUCAUAUAAUUUCUUUUCAAGUUAAAUUUUAAUUUGGUUUCUGAUAUAGUCUCUUUGCCGAAUUGUAUCUUUUAUGAUUCUUGGAUUUUGGGCUCCAACUUUUUAGGAUUUGAUAGUCACAUUUUAUGCCAUGCUCAGAUUGAUUUUCAUGAUUUUUAGUACCCGUUAAGUGACGUACAAUUUGACAAAAGUUUGAAAGGAAAUAUGUUUCAGAAUUCUGUUUUAAUUGACCUUUUAGUGGAAAUAGGAUGCUUAUAACUUAAUGUGGAUGGUUCGUAAAAUCAUGAAAUUUGGAUAGGAUUCACUAGCAAUAUGUACAAGACUCUCCAUAAAGUUUCAUAAUUUUUCAUUCGGUCUGGGGUGGUACAGGUGAAACUUGUGGUUGGUGUUGAAAAAGAAGUGAAAAGCCUUACCAGCCAUCUUCAAGCCAUUCAAGUUGUGCUCGAUGAUGCAGAGGAAAAGCAAGUGAAGGAAAAAGCUGUUAGUCUUUGGCUGGGUAGGCUCAAGUAUGCAUCCUACAACAUUGAAGAUGUGUUGGAUGAGUGGAUAACAACAAGACGCAAAUUGCAAAUUGAGGGUGGCGUUGAUGAAAAUGCUCUUGUUGUUCCUCAUAAGAAAAAGAAGGUAUGUCUCUGCUUUCCCAGCUCUUGUUUUGGAUUCAAACAAGAAGAAUUUGGUUUCAAACAAGUCUUUCUCCGCCAUGACAUUGCCGACAAGAUCAAAGAAAUCAAUGAAGAGCUCCAUGAUAUUGCCGCUCAAAAAGACAUGUUUGAUCUUGUUAAGAGUGGCAAUAAAAGUAGUGAAAGACCAAGGCGUGUACAGAGUACCUCCUUGAUUGAUGAGGAAGAGAUUUGUGGCAGAGUUGGUGAGAGGAAUGAACUCUUAAGCAAGCUGUUGUGUGAGGGUAGCGAGCAACAAAAAGGCCUUCAUAUCAUCUCAAUCGUUGGUAUGGGAGGCAUAGGGAAAACAACUCUUGCACAACUAGCUUGUAAUCAUGACGAGGUGAAGAGAAAGUUCGACAAAAUUCUGUGGGUGUGUGUAUCAGAAACUUUUGAGGAGUUUAGGGUUGCCAAAGCGAUCGUUGAAGUUUUGGAUGGUCGUGAAUCUCAUUUAGCUGAAUUCCAUUCUCUUCUUCAACAUAUUUAUGAAUCCAUUGCAGGGAAGAGCUUUCUUCUUGUCUUAGAUGACGUGUGGGAUGGAAAUUACUUGAAAUGGGAACCAUUCUACCGUUGUCUAAAGAAUGGUCUCCAUGGAAGUAAAAUUUUAGUUACCACACGUAAAGGGUCAGUUGCAUCCAUGAUGGGAUCCAUAGAUAUUAUCUCCGUUAAGGAGUUAGCUGAAGAGGAAUGUUGGUUGUUGUUUAACAAGAUAGCAUUUUUUGAUCGGUCCAUCGAGGAACGUGAAAAAUUAGAACAAAUUGGGCAAAGAAUUGGAGGCAAGUGCAAAGGUUUACCUCUUGCAGCAAAGACAAUAGGGAGUCUCAUGUGUUCUAAACAAACUGAAGAAGAGUGGAAAAGAAUUUUAAAUAGUGAUUUAUGGAAAGUAGAAGAGAUUGAGAAAGAUGUUUUGUCCUCUUUAUUGUUGAGUUAUAAUGAUUUGCCAUCUAGAGUAAAAAGAUGUUUUUCAUAUUGUGAUGUCUUUCCAAAAGACUACAAUAUAGAAAAAGACAAACUAAUCACGUUAUGGAUGGCUCAAGGUUAUCUUAGUGCAGAAGAAGAUGAAGAGAUGGAGACAGUAGGUGAAGAGUAGUUUGGCAUCUUAGCUUCUCGCUCAUUUUUUCAAGAGUUUAAGAAAAGUUAUGAUAAUCGGAUUAUAGAGUGUAAGAUGCAUGAUAUGGUACAUGAUUUUGCCCGAUUUGUAAGUCAAAAUGAAUGUUUUUCGAUGGCAAUUAAUGGUAGUGAAGAACCAAACGCCACAAACUCUCUUGAUGAGAAGGUCCGUCAUUUAAUGUUAAUCUUUAGUAUAGAGGCUUCAUUACCUGUUUCCACUUGUAGAGUUAAAAGAAUUCGUAGCCUCUUAAUUAACGAUAGUAGAUCUGAUCAUUCAUUAUUAAAUGGUGAGAUCUUAGAAGAAUUAUUUAGGGAAUUGACAAGUUUAAGGGCAUUAGAUUUUUGCAAAUCGUAUAACGCAAGUUGGUCUUCGACUCUGGAGAUUCCGAGAAACAUAGAAAAGCUGGUACAUUUAAGAUACCUUAAUUUGUCUUAUCAGGGAAUAAAGAAACUACCGGAGACAUUAUGCGAGUUGUAUAAUCUAGAAAAGUUAGAUAUUAGUUAUUGUUAUAAGCUAGAAGAAUUACCUGAAGGGAUUGGGAAGUUAAUAAACAUGAAGCAUUUACGAAAUAGAGGUACUAGUUCUUUAAGGUACAUGCCAGUAGGGAUUGGGAGAUUAACGGGUCUUAGGACCUUGGGUGAGUUCCACGUGAGUGCAGGAGGAGGUGUUGAUGGUAGGAAAGCAUGUAGGCUUGAAUCUCUUAAAAACUUGGAACACCUUCAAGUAUGUGGUAUAUGUAGACUGGGUGAUGUAUCAGAUGUGGGCGAGGCUAAGCGAUUAGAACUUGACAAAAAGAAAUACCUCUUCAGUUUGACCCUUGAGUUUGAUAAGACGUAAAGAGGAGGAGAAAGGAGGAAGAACGAGGACGAUCAACUUCUUCUUGAAGCCUUGCGACCACCCCUGGAUUUAAAGGAAUUAGAGAUACGGUACUACCGAGGCAACACUGUUUUCUUCCAUGUUGGAAUUGGAGGAGUGGGAUUAUGGGAUUACAAGAACGGGAAACACCGUCAUCAACAUCAUGCCACGUCUUUCUUCCUUGGAAAUUGUUGCCUGCCCCAACUUAAAGGCGCUGCCCGACCACAUUCAUCAAACGACAACAUUGAAGGAAUUGCGCAUUGUGCAUUGUGGGCUUCUGGAAGAACGUUACCGCACGGGGGAAGGAGAAGAGUGGCCUAAGAUAUCACACAUUCCCAGCAUAGAUAUUGAUUAAGAAGGAGAAGAGUGACCUAAGAUAUCUCACAUUCCCAACCUUGAGAUUUGGCCUUGACAAGUAAUUCCUUCUCUCACUCUGAUUUGCUUUGUUGUUCUUUUUAAUCUAAUCAAGAAGCAUAAAUAGCAUUUUGAAUUAAACUCUAUAUCAGAAAUCUGCAAUACAUAUUUACUAAUAUUCUGAUUUUCAUAUCUUAUGAAUGUACGAUUCUAAUUUGCGAUAUUUAACGUUGCUGUAAAAUAUUAUUAAUGCAAUAUGAGAAAUUCUUUUGCAGGACAAGUGACCUACGUUUAGUUUGGCUUUGGAGUUGAGUAAUAACCUUUCGAGGUCGCCACUAUAAAAACGCGAAGCUCCAUUUGCCACAGAUUACAUGUAUUGCCAUCAUUGACAAUUUUCUGGAUAAGUGAUGAAGGGUGAGAAUGGUGCUAGAAUAUUGAAUAAAGCUGUCGUGACUGAACUUACGUUGAUGUCAAAAGGGGUAAAUUAUUGGCAUGCCUAGCUAAUUUGACCAAUACCUGAUUCAUAAGCCUACAUCAAUUUUGAUUUUGAGUUGAGUGAUUAAUUUUGAAGGUUUGCUUACUUAACUGGUAACCAAUUUCUUUUAACUAAAUGUAUCAUAUGAUGCAGGAAGCAGGGCAGGAUAUGAAAUGAGAAGCUUAUUAGUGGAAGGAUUAUCAGAAACAGAACCCAAAGAAAAUGAAAACAUUUCAAGGCAGCAGUUGGCAGUUGGCCGUGAAUGGAGCCCCUUGAAAAAAUUCCCAACCCAUUGCACUGCAAUUACGAUCGUGAGUAUGAUUGCACUGCAAUUUCGAAGCUUCUUCUCCUGCAUUUUUGUUAUUUGCUAUCAUCCUCUGCUUCAGGUGAUUUCUUCUCCUGCUCUGUCGUUGUUUGUAUCUCAAUCAAAUUCUAUAACUGGAAUAUGCAAAAGUUUCGAAUUUUUAUUUCUAUCUGCUUGCAUUGAUAACAUCGCGGCAUAUGCACUAGUUAAAGAUCAAACAGAAACAGAGCUCAGGAAAAAGUUUCUUCUGCCAUCAUAUUUGAAAAUUCAUGUAAAAUGUAGACAGUAAUCAGCAAAAAGGUGAUUCGCAAUUUGAUUUUUUUUAUGAAAUUAAUUGUUAGGUUGGAGUUGCCAAUUAACAAUUUUAACCCCCUUUGACUUUGAAGGAAUUAGAGAUAUGGUCAUACAGAGGCAACACUGUUUCUGCAAGUAGUCCUCUCUUUUCUUUUUAUUAUAUUUUAUUUAGUUAUUAUUUAUUAUUUAUUUUUUGGUUUACUCUGCUUCUUCUUUUUACGUUUCUCAAAUUUUGAAUUUCAUUGCUUUUGAACAUACGACAGUCUGUUAUGUGGCGACCCUGGUUCUUAAUUAAGGUUGUGAAAUAUUAUUGUAAAAGAUGAUUUAUUCAAUUUGAGUAAUUCGUUUGCUUUGAUAAUGAUAGUAAUUUUUUAUUUUGACAAUUUGCAAGGUGAGAAUGGUGCUGAUUGGUGAUUCAGGAUAUGGUUCAAACACCAUUGAAUAAAGCUAUGGACAUGGUGGCUCAACUUAGCUAGAUUGCUAUCAAAAUUGGUAAGUUGGCUUGUCAAUGUACCGAUGCUUUUGUUUUCUCUCAACCCUAAUUACCUUAACUUCAUUUAGUUUGGCUUUGGAGUUGAGUAAUAACUUAUUGUUCAAAUGUUAUUUCCUUAUUGUUCUAAUUCAUCAAAUGUUAUUUCCUUGUUGUUCCAUUGAUAUAUUGGUUGCAUAUCAAGCAGAAACAGAAUCCAAAGAAAAUGAAACCAUUUCCAGGCAGCAGUUGGCAGUGAAUUCAUGCAAAUGUUGAUGCCAUUCAUAGAUGUUGAAGACAAUGUUGAGCCAAAGGCGAUAAAUCAUUAAUGCAUAAUUCCCAAAACCUCUAUCCUUCUCUCAUUGUAAUUUGAUUUGAAAUGAAUAAUUGCUAGGUAAUUGAAGCCAAUGUUGUUAAAGACCGUGUUGAGCUACCCAAGCUAAGAAGUUAGUUGCCAAAAAAUGCAGGGGAUCAAAAGAAGCAUUGCAUUUGAAAAGGCAUGAGAUUCUGGUGGCUACAUGUCAACUCAUAUAUGUUUGAAUAAGUUUGAUGGUUCAAGAUUGUUAGCUUCUGUUUAAAUUUGUGCUACUGCAGUGCUACAAUGCUGCUACUGGGAAAUUUGAAUCCCAUAUUAGACUUUCCUCACAUCAGAAGCUGUGGAUCUUCGGACAUCAGGUUUUUUCACAGUUCUGAAACACUCAGGAUUAAACUCUAUUAAAGUGUUGUAGUUAUCUUGUUGUCAGAAUUCCCAUAUUAUUAUCUUUUUCAUGUAAAAUUAUCUUGUUGUCUUCGCCCAUGAAUCUAAGCUAAAAUUUGAACCAAUUGUUUGCUAUUAUAAAUUUCGUUGUUAAAUGUUAAUUGUGAUGUUGGUGUUGAGUUUCUUUUAAAGUCAGAGAAGCCUGACGAUUGAGUUCCAUGGGAUUCUGAGAAGCAGUAAUAUUUUGAACAAGUGAAGGUUCUUCGUUUUUAAUUACGUUCUGCACUUUUACAGUAUGUGCAGAUGUCUAAGAGGCAGGAUUUUAAUUUCUGUAAUGCUAAAUUUCGCAAAACAAUAAAUAAAUAAAUGCAUGACAGUGACUUCAAGAAUUUAGAUUAUUGAAUUUGGUCAUUUUAAAAUUGUUGGAAUAUUGAACUUAAGUAAUUUUGAUAAACCAGAGCUCAGAAAUGUAGAAUAUAAAUAUUGGAGAUUUGGACUUCAAUCAUUAGAUUUGAAGCUAAAGAGGUAAGCCAUUAAUUACAUCAAAGGAUUUGGAAAAUGGAGGGAUUGGAAAAAGGAAACUUUUUCAUAAACUACAAGCAUUGGGCAGUUUCAUUUGUCCGAUUCAAGAGGAACGUCACAGAAAGGGGUAAAGAAAAGAGUAGCCUAAGAUAUUUAAGACAAUGUUGAGCCAAAGGAAACAUAAAUCCCAACCAUUGCAUGCGAACAUGAUCACAAUAAGGUCAAGAACCUACCAAACCAUUUUUUUGAGAAUUUUCAAUUGAAAGUGAAACCUUUGGACAUUUACCUAGUAAAGUUAGUUAAACGAGAGAAAUAAAGGGGAAAAGAAAAGUUGACUCAAGUCAAUACAGAAUAAUUAGUUCAAUCUGGAGUAACUAAAACAGAGCCACUAUAUUUUCAAAAAUAUCUGCAUUCAUCACCUUCUCCUACAGCUAGUGAGCUAAACACGAAUCAUUUCCUUUUAGCAUUUUUGCAGCAUCAACUUCUCUCCUCGUUUGUCAUCCAAAAUUAUUCACCAAUACCAUGGCUGAUGCAAUCGUUUCCCUUCUCUUGGAGCAGCUGAUUAUCUUUGCUGCUGAAGAGUCGAAACAACAGGGGAAGCUGGUGAGUGUUGGAUGAGUGGAUCACAGCAUGCGCCAAAUCGCAAAUUGAUCAAUGCUCUUGUUGCUCCUUAUCUGAAGAAGAAGGUGCAAAUUGAGAGCUGCAUUGCACUGUCAUAACAUUUAUUGUAAUUUCAUUUGGAGAUUUUAUGGAUAAUGAUUUGGUAGACUUUAUAUGCCGUCUUCUUUCUUUUUGCAGUGAUAUGUUUGUAUUCAAUGUGCUUGUGCUUAUUCUGUGGUUUUUAAAGUAGGUGUUUUUAUGAUAAACUAGGUCUUGUGUAUUGUAUGUACUAUCUAGAGAAGAAUAUUGACUGGUUGCAGUCGAAAUUGGAACCACUUUUGAAAGGUAAGAAGAGGCCAUUUUCCUUCAUUCUAAUGCCAAUAAUGCUGUCAUGAGACUCAUAAAAAAUGUUAAAACAUUAAUGUUUUUGGUAUUUUGCAGAUCAUUAUCUUCUGUUUGAUUUUCCUGGCCAAGUUGAAUUAUUUUUUCUUCAUUCCAAUGCCAAGAAUGUUAUCAUGAGACUCAUAAAGAAGUUAAAUCUCAGGGUAUUGUUACAUCUUGCAUCUAUGAAGGGACUCAAAGAGUUGACAUGAAUUCAUCUUUGUUAUUUUGAUGCCAGAAUUGUGCAAUUCUCAGUUGGUUCCUUUCACAUGCAGUUGACUGCAGUGCAUCUAGUUGAUGCGCAUCUUUGCAGUGACACUGGAAAGUAUGUUAGUGCUUUGCUUCUCUCGUUGUCUACGAUGCUACAUCUGGAACUUCCCCACGUCAAUGUCUUGUCUAAGAUCGACUUGAUUGAGAAUUAUGGAAAGCUAGGUGUGGUUUUAAGUGUCUCCCUCCUACUUGUUUGUUUAGUUUGAAAUAUCAGAUAUUAUCACGAGCUCCUAUCUGCUACGUUUCCUCACCAAUCAAUUACUUUGGGUAUGUUGCAGCUUUUAAUCUCGAGUACUAUACGGAUGUGCAAGAUUUGUCAUAUUUACAGCAUGCUCUGGGUCAGGACCCUCGUUCUGCUAAGUACAGGUUUGAAUUCUAGCUGAAUCAAUGAUGCAAAUUAUGUCCAUUGCUAUUUUUGACUGUCGUUUCUAUCAUUUUCAAUUGUUACCUCCCCUUGCCAUCUACUGCCACACUGCAAUGCCUACACAAAUGUUAUGAAAUUUGUCAAUGGCAAUGCCAUCCUGUUUGUCCAGAGACAGCUCUUAGAUGCAAGUGAACAAUUUUUGGCUUUGGCCGUUGUACAGCCUUAGAUUUCAACUUGCCAUAUCUUGUCUCGGAAGUCAAAAGAAAGCGUAUAUGUUAGCCAAAUUUUAUUUGAAUUUAUUGAGUAACAAUGAAUGGUUCGGAAAAACAGUUCCUCUUUUGUUUUGAUCAGACUCAAUGAAUAAGUGUUUAAAAUGUGCCUGUCCUAGAAAUAUAGAUGUGUGGUUUCGCAAAAUUUUCUUGAUCUUAAGAAAGAGUUAUCUUGAAAAGAAGAUAACAUGGAGAAUUCAGCAACUAUACAGUCAUAUUGCGUCUGUCAACUUGGGUCAGAUGGUGUCGUUUGGAUGGAGAUGUUAGGUCCCAGAUGGUAUGCUUGUUAUCAAAUUCCAGUCUAAUUCAUUCAUGCUUUGAUGACAUAUGCGGUGCAGCUUCUUAUCUAAGACCUGCAUAUGUUCAGUCAUCAUUCAGUUCUGUAUUUGGCUGUCAUUCUUUCAAUGAAUUCAAACCACUUUCUGAAUACUUGCAAAUUCAUCCAGUGUUGUCAUUGAGAUUCCAAUAUGUAAAGGAGCAAUAGUUGCCCUUGAUAGUAUGCUUAUUGAUUGCCUCUUGCCUCACUCAGCCUAAGGAGUCUGGUUGUAUGGUGUUCUUGUAAUUUCAUUUGGAGAUAAGUAAUAUCUGUUGUUCAAAUGUAUUUUAUAUACAAGCAGUUAAUAAUUCUGCUUGCAGAAAGCUUACAAAGGAGCUGUGUGAUGUAAUAGAAGACUACAGUCUGGUCAAUUUUUCAACCUUAGAUAUUCAGGUCAUCAGUUUCUCUUGAAUUCUUUCUUGAGUUUCUUUGAAUUAUUUGUGAAUAAGAUCUUAGUUGGCUGCUCCUCUUCAGGAUAAGGAAAGUUUGGCAAAACUCGUGAAGCUGAUAGAUAAAAGCAAUGGGUACAUCUUUGCUGGCAUGGAUGCCAGGGCAGUUGAAUUCAGCAAGAUUGCCGUUCGCGAUGUGGAUUGGGAUUAUUACAGGUAUCCUUCUUUUCACCUAUUUUCAAUCUUGUGAUUCUCAUAUUCAUAAAACUUUCAUGGUUCAUUGUAUGCAUCUGCAUCUUCUAAUUUGUACGUUUGAGAGACUAAUUUUGCUGUUAGGUAGGCGUCAAAUUUGAUUCAUGCGUUUUUCAUAAAUUUACCAAAAUCAUGGAAACUUCUUUUUCCCAGAUAUUGUAUCCACACUUUUCCCAUGUAAUUCAGUCAGACAAGUUCUGCUUAACAAAGAUAUCUACAGUAGCUGAAGUGCAGGAAAAGUACAUUAAGGAUGAUGACGAUGUUAACUAAAAUGGGACACGAAGAUAUGUGGUGUGCAAACCGUAAGCAUGCCUCUUACUUUUGUGCAUGUUUACUUGCUUGUGAUUCAUGUUUGUUAAUCUAUUAUGCUCUUUUGUUGGGUUUAUAAAGUUUUCAAUCAAUCAAACAUUUGACUGAUUCAGACAGGACAAGCGGGGAAGAGGUGGUUUUAAUCAAACCACUACUAAUUAUGAUGUAUCUCGGACCUUUGUACAAUAUCAAGCGAUUUUUUUAGUUGAAUCAGCUGGUGUACACAAAUGUCGUUUAUUGAUUUUUCUCUAGUAUAGUUCGUAAUUUUGGUAACACAUCUACUCUAGUAUCGUUUGUAAUUACAAGAAACAAAGUAAUGAAAUUUAUCACUGCAUUCAUAGUUAUGCUUAAGCUCAAAGAUCACUGUGAAUAUCAUUUUGGGGCCUCUAUUUGUUCUAUAACAUGAUGUUGACACGUGUCAAAUUUUGAAGCUUGUGAUUAAAAUACUAUUCACAUAUAUAUUUUAAGUACCACUAAUAAUUAAAUAUAUUAAUAAAUAUGGGCAAUGGGGAUAAAAUAAAAUGGUUUUAUUUUUUGAAUUACUCAACUGCUUCAAACUUCUAAGAAGUAGAUUUACGAUGAGUGGAAUCUUAAAUUGAGUACGAGUUAGGGAUAACUUAUAAAAUUGGGAUACAAGCUUCAAAGAAAGUGUAUUACUAUUCAUAUGUAGAUUUCGAAUUAAGAAGAUAUGCCAGCUAAUUGUAUAAGAAUGUAAAAAUUGAUCACAGGCAUAAUCGCAAAUGAUGAAAUGAGCUACCUUGAUCAAAAGGUCAAGAACCUACCUUACUUCUCUUAGGGAUAAGUUGCAUCAACCGUUGUGAUAUUGAUAUUUAUCUUGAGCCAGUAAAAGUGAAAGCUUCCCAAUUGAAGGAAAGUGAAGAGAAGAUUCUAUGCUCUAAUUAUUAUUAUUAUUAUUAUUUGUUAGAAUGAAGUGCGAAGUGAGCACAUCAUGCAAGCUCAGCAGAUGUGAUAAGGUGACUUGUAACUCAGCUGGCACAAGAGACAAAGUGUAGUGGAGAAAAGUUUCCCAAUUGAUGGAAAGUGAAGGGAAGAUUCUAUGCUCUAAUUAUUAUUAUUUGACAAUGAAUUGGCAAAUAAAAACAAAAUAGCAGGCCUGUAAAGUAAUGAAGUGGAGACAAUGACCAUGUGAUUGAUUGGUAAAUAAAAACAAAAGAGCAAGCCUGUAAAGUAAUAUAAAUUAUAGUGUAUAUUCAAGUUAAAGUAAUGGAAACAGUGUGCAUCCACAAAAAAUUCUUUUAUCUCUCGUUGUCUUAUUCUUUUCUUUAUUUACGUUUUCCAGAAGUAAAGCCAUACAUGUGAUGAAGCAUAGAUAAGAAAGCUAUCGCCCGAAAUUCAUUUUGCACAAACACUUCAAUAUCCUUUUGAUCACUUUUGCAAACAUCAAUUUGUCUCCUAUUGUAUUCACCAUGGCUGAUGCAAUCGUUUCCACUAUCUUGGAGCAGCUGAUUUCCUUCGCUGCUGAAGAGAUAAAACAACAGGUGAUCGAAGUUACACCCCUCCUAUUACAAAUACUUCCAAUGAUUUUAAUUGGUUUUGUUUUUAUCAAAAACAUUAUAUAUUUUUGCUUUAUUUUAUUUAUCUGAUAGUUUUAUAUUUUGAAAUUUGAAUUGAAAUCAUGAAAUUUGGAUAGGAUUCACUAGAAAUAUGUACAAGACUCUCCAUAAAGUUUCAUAAUUUUCAUUCGGUAUGGGGUGGUGCAGGUGAAACUUGUGGUUGGUGUUGAAGAAGAAGUGAAAAGCCUUACCAGCCACCUUGAAGCCAUUCAAGUUGUGCUCGAUGAUGCAGAGGAAAAGCAAGUGAAGGAAAAAGCUGUUAGUCUUUGGCUGGGUAGGCUCAAGUAUGCAUCCUACGACAUUGAAGAUGUGUUGGAUGAGUGGAUCACAGCAAGACGCAAAUUGCAAAUUGAGGAUGGCGUUGAUGAAAAUGCUCUUGUUGUUCCUCAUAAGAAAAAGAAGGUAUGUCUCUGCUUUCCCGGCUCUUGUUUUGGAUUCAAACAAGAAGAAUUUGGUUUCAAACAAGUCUUUUUCCGUCAUGACAUUGCCAACAAGAUCAAAGAAAUGAAUGAAGAGCUACAUGAUAUUGCCACUCAGAAAGACAUGUUUAAUCUUGUUAAGAGUGGCAAUAAAAGUAGUGAAAGACCAAGGCGUGUACAGAGUACCUCCUUGAUUGAUGAGGAAGAGAUUUGUGGUAGAGUUGGUGAGAAGAAUGAACUCUUAAGCAAGCUGUUGUGUGAGAGUAGCGAGCAACAAAAAGGCCUCCAUAUCAUCUCAAUUGUUGGUAUGGGAGGCAUAGGGAAAACUACUCUUGCACAACUAGCUUGUAAUCAUGACGAGGUGAAGAGAAAGUUUGACAAAAUUCUGUGGGUGUGUGUAUCAGAAACUUUUGAGGAGUUUAGGGUAGCCAAAGCGAUCGUUGAAGCUUUGGAUGGUCGUGAAUCUCAUUUAGGUGAAUUCCAAUCUCUUCUUAAACAUAUUUAUGAAUCAAUUGCAGGGAAGAGCUUUCUUCUUGUCUUAGAUGACGUGUGGGAUGGAAAUUACUUGAAAUGGGAACCAUUCUACCGUUGUCUAAAGAAUGGUCUCCAUGGAAGUAAAAUUUUAGUUACUACACGUAAAGGGUCAGCCGCAUCCAUGAUGGGAUCCACAGAUAUUAUCUCCGUUAAGGAGUUAGCUGAAGAAGAAUGUUGGUUGUUGUUUAACAAGAUAGCAUUUUUUGAUCGGUCCAUCGAGGAACGUGAAAAAUUAGAACAAAUUGGGCAAAGAAUUGCAGGCAAGUGCAAAGGUUUACCUCUUGCAGCAAAGACAAUCGGGAGUCUCAUGCGUUCUAAACAAACUGAAGAAGAGUGGAAAAGAAUUUUAAAUAGUGAUUUAUGGAAAGUAGAAGAGAUUGAGAAAGAUGUUUUGUCCUCUUUAUUGUUGAGUUAUAAUGAUUUGCCAUCUAGAGUAAAAAGAUGUUUUUCAUAUUGUGCUGUCUUUCCAAAAGACUACGAUAUAAAAAAAGACAAACUAAUCACAUUAUGGAUGGCUCAAGGUUAUCUUAGUGUAGAACAAGACGAAGAGAUAGAGACAAUAGGUGAAGAGUAUUUUGGCAUCUUAGCUUCUCGCUCGUUUUUUCAAGAGUUUAAGAAAAGUUAUGAUAAUCGGAUUAUAGCGUGUAAGAUGCAUGAUAUGGUACAUGAUUUUGCCCGAUUUGUAAGUCAAAAUGAAUGUUUUUCGAUGGAAAUUAACGGUAGUGAGGAACCAAACGCCACAAACUCUCUUGAUGAGAAGGUCCGUCAUUUAAUGUUAAUCUUUAGUAAAGGGGCUUCAUUACCUGCUUCCACUCGUAGAGUUAAAAGAAUGCGUACCCUCUUAAUUAACUAUAGUAGAUCUGAAUCAUCUGAUCAUUCAUUAUUAAAUGGUGAGAUCCUAGAAGAAUUAUUUAGGGAAUUGAAAAGUUUAAGGGCAUUAGAUUUUGGCGGAUCGUACGACACACAUUUUUCUUUGACUCUGGAGAUUCCAAGAAACAUAGAAAAGCUGGUACAUUUAAGAUACCUUAAUUUGUCUCUUCAGAAAAUAGUGGAGCUACCGGAGACAUUAUGCGAGUUGUAUAAUCUAGAAAAGUUAGAUAUUAGUUAUUGUUAUAAGCUAGAAGAAUUACCUGAAGGGAUUGGGAAGUUAAUAAACAUGAAGCAUUUACUAAAUAAAAAUACUAGUUCUUUAACGUACAUGCCAGUAGGGAUUGGGAGAUUAACGGGUCUUAGGACCUUGGGUGAGUUCCACGUGAGUGCAGGAGGAGGUGUUGAUGGUAGGAAAGCAUGUAGGCUUGAAUCUCUUAAAAACUUGGAACGCCUUCAAGUAUGUGGUAUACGUAGACUGGGUGAUGUAUCAGAUGUGGGCGAGGCUAAGCGAUUAGAACUUGACAAAAAGAAAUACCUCUCUUGUUUGACCCUUGAGUUUGAUAAGAAGGAAAGAGGAGGAGAAAGGAGGAAGAACGAGGACGAUCAACUUCUUCUUGAAGCUCUACAACCACCUCUGGAUUUAAAGGAAUUAGAGAUAUGGUACUACCGAGGCAACACUGCUUUCCCUAGCUGGAUGACGUCAUUAACCAACUUAAAAAGUUUAGAUCUCUCUUUGUGCGAAAAUUGCGAGCAGCUGCCUCCUUUGGGAAAAUUGCAGUCCCUUGAAAAUCUCCACAUAUGGCGCAUGGCGAGUGUGAAGAGAGUGGGUGAUGAAUUUUUGGGGAUAGAAAGUGAUCAUCAUGACUCAUCUUCUUCUUCAUCAGUUAUUAUUGCCUUCCCCAAAUUGAAAUCACUUUCAAUUAACGAAAUGGAGGAAUUAGAGGAGUGGGAUUAUGGGAUUACAAGAACGGGAAACACCGUCAUCGACAUCAUGCCACGUCUUUCAUCCUUAACAAUAAUUCUUAGCCACAAAUUAAAGGCACUGCCCGACUACAUUCAUCAAACGACAACAUUGAAGGAAUUGCACAUUUUGGGGUGUGACCUUCUGGAAGAACGUUACCGCAAGGGGGAAGGAGAAGACUGGCCUAAGAUAUCUCACAUUCCCAACUUCGAGAUUUGGCGUUGACAAGUAAUUUCUUCUCUCACUCUGAUUUGAAUCAAACUCUAUAUCAGAAAUCUGCAAUACUUACUUUCUAAUAUUCUGAUUUUCAUAUCCUAUGAAUAUACGAUUUUUAAUUUGUGAGAUGGGUAACGUUACUGUAAAAGAUUAUUAAUGCAAUAUGAGUAAUUCUUUUGCAGAACAAGUGACCUACAUUUAGUUUGGCUUUGGAGUUGAAUAAUAACCUUUCAAGGUCCCGACAACCAAAAAACGAAGCUUAAUUUGCCACAGAUGGCACGUAUUGCCAUUAUUGACAAUUUUCUGCACAAGCUUAGGUUGAUGUCAAAACAGGUAAAUUACUGGCAUGCCUGACUAUUUUGACCAUUACAUGAUUCAUAAGUUUACAUUAAUUUUGAUUUUGAGUUGAGUGAUUAAUUUUCUAGGUUUGCUUACUUUAACUGGGUGACCAAUUUCUUGUAACUAAAUGUAUGAUGUGAUGCAGGAAGCAGGGCAGGGCAUGAAGAGAGAAGCUUAUUAGAGGAAGGAUUGCCAGUAACAGAAUCCAAAGAAAAAAGAAACCAUUUCGAGGCAGCAGUUGGCAGUUGGCAGUGAAUGGAGCCCCUUGAAAAAUUCCCCAAGCCGUUGCACUGCAAUUACGAUCAUCCUCGGCCUCAGGUAAUUUCUUCUCCUGCAUUUUUGUUAUUUGCUAUCAAGUGACUAUUUUAAGUAUGAUUGCAUUAAGCUGCUGCUGGGAAAUUUGAGGUUUUGAUGACUGCCCAUGCUAUUGUCAGAAGCUGCGGUUCUUUUCAUCAGCCUGAACCUGGACCUGCCGCUAUGGAUAACUCAGGUUUUUUUUUUUUAAUCAACAGCCAUCUUUUCCACUGUUUAGAAACUCUUAAGAUUAAACUUUAGUAAAGUUGUUUUAGUUAUCCAUGUAAUCAGGCUGAGGAUACUUAGCUGCCUAUUUAGGCAAAUGUUAGAAUUUAGUUUGUUUGCUGGGAACUGGUGUGGACUGGCAAAGGAUGAUGAGAUAGUUUUUUGAGUGAGUAAAUUUUGGGAGCUUGAGUGUAUUGGGAUUUGCAAUUACAAUCAUCGUCUGCCUCAGGUGAUUUCUUCUCCUGCUCUGUCAUUGUUUGUUCUCUAAUUCAAAAGCAUAAAAUAUUUCAAUCAAUUUUUAUGCCAGGAAUAUGCAAAAGUUUCUAAUAUUUUAUUUCCAUCUGUUACAAGAUCAAACUGAAGCAGAACUCAAACAAAAGUAUGCUACUUCUUGCGGAAAUCUUGCCUUUGUUCAGAUUAUGAAACCAUUUCCAGGCAGCAAAUUCAUCCAAAAGUUUGAAUAAGUUUCAUGGUUGGACACUGUUGCCUUCUUUUUCUUCUGGGGUGCAUUUAGGUGCUAUCAAGUGACAGCUGUAAGUAUGAUUGCACUAAGCUGCUGCUGGGAAAUUUGAGGUUUUGAUGGCUGCCCAUGUUAUUUUCAAGAAACUAUUGAUGUAAGAAGCUGUGGUUCUUUUCAUCAGCUUGAACCUGAAACUGUCGCUAUGGAUAACUCAGGUUUUUGUUAUCAACUAUAUCAUCUUUUUCACUAUUUUGAAACUCUUAAGAUUAAACUUUAGUAAAGUUGUUUCAGCUAUUCAAAUGAAAAACUCAUUGAUUUGAGACUGACUUCAUUAUUGUUUCUAAUUACAAUGCUAACGAUCCAGAUAAAAUAAUAUUUAAUCGGCGAAGGUGUCCCUUGGAAGUACAUCCUUCUUUUUCUUUUAUUAUAUAAAUUCUUGCAAUGAGCUUAGUGAAGCUGUUGUGCUAAUCAUGCCACUGCAUAAUUUGGCCCCUAAUGUGGGUACUCUGUUACAUUGUUCUGCAAAUUCUCCAGAAGUUAAAAUCAAUAAAUUUUCUAUUAGCUCUAGUGCUUUGACCUAAAUGCCAUUCUAUAUUUUGAUUACAAUGUUUUAACCUUUAAAUUAACUACCCCUAGAUGUUGGAUUUUCUAGAACUUCAAAAUGAUUAAUGGAGAAAGAUCCCAUUAUCGUUAUUGCUAUAAGAAAUUGAUUUAUGCAUCCAAAGAUACAUUAUAUAUUUCUGUGUCUCUAUUUGUAGAUGACAUUUAAGCAUCCAUAAACCGUCAGACAGAGGAAGGGGGUUCAGUGCAAAGAUUCUGUUGACCUAGGGUUGACUGCAUAAUGUCACUUGUUCGCAAUCUAUUAUUUAUUUUAUAUUUUGAAGAAUUUAAUGGGUAAUCCUAAUUGUUUGUUUUGGCAGGUAUGUGUUGUUAUCUCCUUCUAUCUAACAGUCGUACCUAAAUAGCAUAGUUUCAUCUGCGUUACCAUGUGAUGUACAUAAUUUCACAUUUGCCUCAGAUUAAGCUUAAUUUCCCACAGAAUAGAGCUGUCGCGACUGGACUUUUUGAUGUCCAAAGAGGUAAAUUAUUGGCAUGCCUAGAUAAUUUGGCCAUUUCCUAAUUCAUAAGUCUACAUUAAUUUUGAUUUUGAGUUGACUGAUUUCUUUUCAAGGUCUGCUUCCUUAACGGAGUGACCAAUGUUUUUCAACUAAAUUUAUCAUAUGAUGCAGGAAGCAGGGCAGGAUAUGAAAUGAGAAGCUCAUUGGUGGAAGUAUUGCCAGUAGCAGAACCCAAUGAAAAUGAAACUAUUUCAAGGCAGCAGUCGGCAGUUGCAAGUGAAUGGAGGCCCUUGACAAAAUUCUCAAGCGAUUGCAAUGCAAUUACGAUCAUCCUCAGCCUCAGGUAAUGUCUUUUAUUGGUACCCAACAAAAAUGCAAGGUCUGUGAGAAGACAGUUUGUCCAGUUGAGCAGUUAUCUACUGAUGGGGUUGUUUAUCACAAGUCUUGCUUCAAGUGCUCUCACUGCAAAGGCACACUCAAGCUAAGCAAUUACUCAUCCCUGGAAGGUGUUCUUUACUGUAAGCCUCACUUUGAGCAGCUUUUGAAGGAGUCGAGUAACUUCAACAAGAAUUUCCAAUUACCUGCAAAGUCAGCUGAGAAGUUAACUCCUGAGCUGAGAAGGUCGCCUAGCAAAGUUGCCAGCAUGUUCUCUGGGCCCAAUAAAAAUGUGCUUCUUGCAGUAAAACAGUGUGUCCGUGGGAGAAGGUAGCAGCGGAAAACCAAGCCUCUCACAAGACAUGUUUCAAGUGCUCACAUGGUGGUUAUUCCAUUAGCCCGUCAAAUUACGCAGCCCUAGAAGGCAUCUUGUAUUGCAAACAUAAUUUCUCCCAAUUGUUCAAGGAAAAAGGCAGCUACAACCACCUUAUAUCAAAUCUGCUUCCAUGAAGCGUGCUGCAGUCUCUGUUCAAGAAGCUUGAACAUGUUAUGUUAUCUUCCAUAAAUCUUAUUUGGCGUGGGUUUUCUCUGGCUUGAGGGUGUGCUGCUUUCUAUUUUGAUCCCUCUUGUUUUUUUUGCGGGGAACUACCAAACCUUCGGUUCCCUCUGCUUCUUUGGAUCAUCUUUGUUGGGACAAAUUUCAUGUAAUUAGAGAUACUGAUUUAUGGGAGGCAUAAUCCCAUGGUCGUAAAUUGACCAUUUUCUGGCAAUGUUCUUUUUAAAAAGAGAUGAGCAGUUGUUUAACAAAAAAAAUAUUCGGCCUUCAUCAUUGUAUGUUACCAAACUGCUAUGUAUAGCUGCUAACUAUGAGCAUCCGAAAAUAUGGUGCAUCGUGAUUCAUGUAGUGCAAUAUGGCUACCAACGCAUCCUAAAUGGAGUAUUACUCAGUUAGUCAGCAAAAUAAGACAACAUAACAGAUAUUAAAAAAAAAACUACAUUAAUAAGUGGGCAAGAUCAUGCCAGUUUAACUUUUCGCGCGUCGCUGCUGGAGAUAAUCAAAUCGGGGCAGAGAAAAGGAGAAUGGAAUCAGAGGCUAAGAUUAAUAAGUGGGCUUCUGCUUGCUUUGCGCCUCUUUCUUAAACGAUUGGUAGACUGCUGCUUCCACCGAUUAACCGGGACUUCAACCACUGCUUUUACUGCCUGCCAUCUUGUUGUUUGUCGAAGGGAUGAAUUCAAGUCGAAAAGAGAAAGCGCGCUGAAAAAGAUAAAUCACUAGUGGUUAACUGCUGACUCAGCCAAGUGUUGGCUUCACUUGAUUCACCGAUUGAGGUUAUUUUGUCUUCUAUCUAAUGCAGCGAAGAAGCUUUGCUGCUUAACAUGCUGCAAUGCAACUUUAUCCUUUGAAGUUCACACUCCAGGGCUGCGCACUUUAUGUAAUCCUAUGAGUAAAAAGAAUUUGUUUUCAAAUGUGAAAAAAGAAAAUGUAAGGUAGUAACUAAAUAUAUUAUAGCAUCAAAGCAAGAUUUGAUAUGAAUUUAGUACAACAAAGAACAUCAAAUCUGUGAUUCCUUGUCUAAUGUCACCAUCGAGCAACAAAUUUAAAAGCCUACCUAUCAAAUACACGAGGCAAUAAACGGAGAAAAAGUUGAAUUACAAGAACAAGUUUACAAUUCUUGUCAAUGGUUAAUGAUUUGUGAACUGCAUAGCAUUCAAGAAUCCAAUUUCAAUACAACAACCUAAAAGAUAAACAGAUGAUGAAUUUUAUGAGAUAAAGAAGGAGAUCGUGUUUUAUCGUAUCUCUAUUUUCUUUCUUUUUAAAUUUAAAAUAAGCUUUUCAACCGGUUUGGUAACUGGUUAUAAUAUUUUUUAAAAUAAUUAAAUAUUUUCAUUAUUAAAAAUAAUGUGUACCGUUGAUUACAUCUAACGGUACAUAUUUCUUACACUACUAAUACCGUAAAAAAAAAAAGGCAUCAUAGAAGGACCCUUAAAACAUUUUCAUUUGAAAUUAUUUGGUGUAGUCAAAAAGUUAAGAAAGAAAUAGUUGUCCCUUUGGUCAUUUCACAAAAAUGAAAGCCCCAUAUAACAUGGACUUGAAUGGAAGCCCAAUUGUUUGUGUUUGAUUUCAAGCUUUAUCGGACCUUUGGACCUGGAUACUUUACUGCGGCCUCUAAGCCCUAUAAAUUUUUUUUUGGGAUAAAAGGUGCUUCAAUGAAAAAGCACUUUAAAACUUUGGAUUUUGCCAAAACUUCAAAGCGGUUGGUCCAGUUACGGUGUGUUAUGCUAACGGGUUUAAAGGUUCCGAUCCAAUGAGUUAGGGUGGAAUAUGAAUAUAUAAAUUCCAUAGCAUGUAAGGACUAGGAUUUGUUUGUUCAUAUCAAGAAAAAAAAUCUGAAAAUUUGAUGAUCAGAAGAUAAAAACACUUAAACACGUUUAUUACAGAGAAACAAACGACAACAUGAUACUAGUAGUAGUUAUUCUUUUCAUCCGAUAUAUUACAUGGUAAUAUCACUACUCGUUCCACUGGUUUCAUAUACACCAUCGAUCAGCAACAUGAUAAUUUUGUGUCAGUUCAUUUUGUUUGUAGGAAAGAGCAGUGUAUUUAUAAUAAAAAGAUUUUAAAAUAUAAAUUGCAUAUUUGUUUAUUACUGUUGUUUGGUCUAAUUUCUUAUGUAGAAUUGCUUGUCAUUCUUUGGACGUUAUUGGUUAUAUUUUUGUCAGACUUGGCGUAUAUAUUCACAUACAUUUUAUUUUGUCAUUUUUUAGAACAUUUUUACACGCCAUAUUAUCACUACUCUUCUCUGUCUGAAUAAGAAGAAAGCAUCAACGGAGGUGUAUUACCACUGUUUCUUACUCAGUUAUCAUCAACGGAGUACCAAGAGGCUUGAUUUUUCCUGAAAGAGGACUUAGGCAAGGGUGUCCACUCUCCCCAUACCUGUUCCUUUUAUGUGCUGAGGUCUUUUCCAGCUUGCUGUCCCAGGCAGAAAGAAAUUAGCAAAUUAAGGGCUUGAGAUUCACUAAAGAUGUUACUAUCUCCCAUCUCCUCUUUGCGAAUGAUAGUCUAAUUUUCACAAGAGCUGCAGUGGCUAAUUGCAAGCAUCUAAAAGGUCUAUUUGAUACUUAUGCGAAGGCAUCGGGGCAUAUUUUUAACUUUGAAAAGUCAUCUAUGUUUUUCAGUGGUAAAAUUUUUUAGGGGCAGAUUUCAGCGAUCAAGAGUAUCUUCAAGCUUAAGGUGGUUCCUGUUGUGCAAAUUUUAAUGAACUCGCAAGCGCACGAAUCUAUUGUAGUAUAGAUCAAUGGUGACGAGUGUCGAUCCCACGAGGAGGUGGAUUUUAAUUAUAUGUAGAAUUAAUUUUGUAAAUGGGUGGUUGGAAUUGUAGUGGAAAUGAUUUGGAAUAUGCUAAAACUUAAAUUAAAAUGGCGAGAAUAAAUUAUGAAAUUGGAAUUGCAAUGGCGAGAAUAAAUUGAAGUGAAAUCUAUUGAAAUAACGUACUUGGGUAUCCGGAUCCGUAUCAACAUGCAUCAUGGGCUAAAUAAUCCGUAUUAAUGCCAAUUAAAUCAUGAGGGGGGAAUCCACACCUCAUGAACCACGCUCUAAUCAAUAUGGUGCUAAGGGCUUAUCGUGCCAAAUAAUAAUAACCUUAUACUAGAGAGCCGGUGUAACCAAGGCGGUAUCUAGACAAGAUUACUAUUAUUUGUCGACGAAAAGUCAAAACAUCCACAAAAACUAGAGGGGAAGAGAAAAUAAAUUUACCAAAUUAAGCCCAUGAAAAUAAUCCUGUGUGAUGCAUGCACCGUACGCGAAAUUUUUCGUCCACUGAUAUGCUGCCACGUCACCAUCAACAGUACAUAAGAAUUUUAGUCCAACAGGAUCGUGACACCUCAUCAGUCAAUGCCACAUCAUCGGUCAAUGCCACGUCAUCGAUCCGUCUAUGUGAACAGUGUCGUGAACAGUAACGUAGACAGUACCGUAUACGUGAAUAGUACCGUACAUGUGAAUAGUGCCAUUUUUCCUUUUAUGCUCCUCCUAAGGUUUUCGACCGUCCUGAGUUCAAAAGUGAUGUCCGUUUUGCUGUCUGAUCUCUCCUUUAUUGUGAAAUGACUAUAAUGCCCCUAAAAUACAUAAAAUACUUAAUUAAAAUAACACACACGUAAUUACAUCACAAAAAGGUUAAAUACAUAAAAGUAAGGGUUGUUAGUAAGACUUGAAAUGUAAAAUGAUGGUUUUCUCCUUUAUAAAUAUGCAUUUUCUAAUACUCAACACACCCCCCAACCAGCUUAUUGCUAGUCCCUAGUAAAUAAAGCGAAAACAAAAUUCAAAUUCAAAAUAUUUUUUUAGAAACACUCGUGUUUAUUCAAUCAGAUUAAUGAUAGCAAUCAAAUAAAAGUAUAAGCAUUAUCUCCAGUCUAAAGCAAUAUCACACCCAUAUCAACCAUCCACAUGAAUCGGCCCAGUAGACUUUGUUAUAGCUACUUUCAAGAAUGACAUGUUAAACCCCAAAAUCUCACUGGAAGUAGUGACACUCUCACAAAGAAAUUAAAACCCAAUAAACAUAGUCACUCCAAUGAAUAGUAAUUGAGAGAGAAAAUAAUAAAGAAAUGAUAUCACAUGCUCUCACCAAGAUGAAAUAAAUAUGCCCUCAGCUUAGAAAUAAUACGAUCUCAAGUCAAAUAAAAUGUUAGUCAACCCACUUUAUUUAUCUUCUUUUUUUUUUUAUUAUUAUGCAUCACUACAUCUUUUUAGCCCAUAUAACUAGCUUCUACUUCAAACUAUAGUUCCCUAAAAUCAAGAAGGACUUUUAUUAGGACGUAACGUAGGCUAGGGAUAUGGCUAACAAAGAAAGGAAAUAAGGAAAACAAAGUGUAUGUUUGAGAAAAAUGCAGAAAUAUAUAUAUAUAUAUAUAUAUAUUUUUUUUUUUUUUUGAAGUUGCAAGGUGGAUUUCACCUAUUAUUGUUAUUUUAUUCUUUUGAAACAACAACUUUUGUUUUUUUGUUUUUUUUUUAUUUUUUGUUUUUUUUUUUGCUUUUAUUUGGCAUAACUUCACUGAACAACAUAAUUAUUUACAUUUUCUCAAACAUAAAUAGGUGAUGGAACUUAUAAGACAUCGAGUAAUACUCCAAAUCGGAGUGAGUCAAGAUGAUAAGUUGACAAAGAAAAGGUUUUAUUUAUUUAUUUUUUUUUAAAGGCUCAAAAGGGGUAACUAUGGAUAUUUAAUAAAAGGGAUGGCUAGAAAGGCUCAAACGGAUCAAAGAUGGCCUUUCCAUCGUCUUUUAGGGCUCUAAAUAAUUAUCCAUAUCUACUAGUUAGAUGGGCCUCCCAAUGUAGCAACACACAUUUUUUUUUUUUUUUUUUAAUUUUACCAUUUUUUUUAAAGGGUUAACUCAAAAGAAAUCUAGAGAUCGUGUAUAAAAUAAUAAACUGCUAAGCUGUAUAGAAAAUGGGCAAAAGGGUUACUCUCCAAGAAAAUGAUAGGCUCAACAACUCACUUGACACUUAUUUAUGACAUGUUCAUUCCUUCAAGCAACUCAUAUUUGUCUCCGACAUCAACAUGUAAAGUAGCAAACAUAGCGUAACAUCACUUAAGACCAAAGAUAAUACAAAUACUAAAAUUUGAAAUUAAUCAUGUCAUCCAAUGUUAAAACAAAUAACACAAAUUUUUUUUUUUUUAAACAACAUUCUACCCCCCAACCUAUUCUAAACAUGAAAAGAAAAUAUGCAUGCAGAAAUGUGAAAAUGAUGUAGAAAAAUUAAUUAGAAAAAGAUUUUUUUUUUUUAAAACUAAGAAGAUGCGUUUCUAGAGGCACUACACUCCAUAUUCAGCCAUCUUCGACUCAAAAGUUGGAAAAUGUAUAUUUAUAGAGGAGAAAAUAAAAAGAAGAAGAAAAAUGAAGUAGAAAAAUUAAUUAGAAAAAGAAUUUUUUUUUUCGAACAAUGAAGAUGCGUUUCUAGAGUAACUACACUCCAUAUUCAGCCAUCUUCAACACAAAAAGUUAGCAACAGUUAGUUUCUACAACAAAAAAUUAGUAAAAACUUAACCAAGAUUCCACAAUUGUCGACUAUUCCCUCCCCCCAACCAGAACGAAACAUUGUCCUCAAUGUUUGAAAGGAAAGAAGUAGAGUUUAGAAGACAUCACCUGGGUGGUGCAACACAGAAGAAUAUAUUUACAGGCGGAGAGUUAAAUCUAAUUUGUACUUCUUACUGCGGCUACUGUUACCAUCAUUAGUUGGUCGCUCCAACACAAAGGUCCAGGGGUCUGGCUCCGGUUUAUAAGCUUGUAACAUAUCAAGUAGCUCAUUAGCAGUGUGAGCACAAAUAAAGAGUUUUUUCACAUUAGAAUGCGAUAAAGUCAUCAUAAAAGUUAUUGACAUUUAACAAACCAAUAGGUUUCUGGUGGAUGUGCAGAUGGGCCCAAGAUGCUAGUGUCAUAAAUGCUUCUAGUGUUGCAAGAUCUCCUGGAAGGAAAAUAAAAGCAUCAGCAUGAUUAAGCAUUUCAGUUAUUCUUUCUUGCAUACCUGAGACGACUAACUCUUCUCCAGUUGAUGAGUCAGACGAACUGCCCAAUGGUUUUAGGACUCUUGGGAUGAUGCCUAACACUUGACUUCCUCUGAUAAAAGCUGCUUCUGAGACCAUUUUUGAUAACCCUCGGUUACCUCCUCCAUACACCAAGUGUAAUUUUCUCGCUGCUAUGCUUCGACCAAGAUCUAUGGCUGCCUCCACAAACUCUUUAUGUUUGCCACAGGUAAAUCCAGAAAGCACACAAAUGUUCUUGAAUUGUCUAAUGGGAGUAGCUGCCAUUGUGAUACUUCUCAAAAACAAUUUGUGAGUGCUUGACAAAAGAUAAAUCACAUUUAAGAAUCUUGGUGACAGUGGAUCACAACUGUGAAUGAGGUAACAUGUCAGUGUCAAAUAACGCGUAAAGCACGUGGCUCGCGAGUCAAAAAGGAAACAAUAAAAAAAAGAAAAAGCAAACAGUAACAAAAUUAUUAAAGACAAAAAUAAAACAACAGUGAAAUGAAAUAAAAUAACAGUAAAGUAAAAGGAUAUUUACACGUAGUUGCGACUGUGGCUCACAUCUUCCUCUGGUUUUACGUCCAGAAACGGCUUGAACGCCCUCUAUGGGUCGAGGAUAGGCUUCCUAUCCAGUUUUCUUAUAAACUGGCAAACAGGGUCGUUUAUAGUCAGAUUCCCGAGACUAUAUCGUGCAUGCUCUUUCUGGAAUAAUGGCCAUAACUGGAGAACCGCUCCUUGCACAUAUCCACUAGGAUGCGUUUCAAGAGACAAAAGGAUAUCAUCCAAUGACUCCUUAUUCAAGCCAUCCCUAAUGAAUUGAAUCUUAUAUUCCCUGUUAUCAGACACCAUUCCUAAAGAACAUGGGUUUCUAUCGCAACUCAUUCUGGCACACUUAUGACAAGCAACAGAAAUUCUUCGAGCUCGUCGUUUUCUUCCAUAAUUUCCUUUACCACAACCAGGCAUGAAUGCAAUAAAUUUUGGAGGAAACUCACCUGCCGAUCGUACUUUAGCCUCGAUUAACCAACGGAUGUCAGCAGGUAUGUUAUUCCUCAUGAGUAAUCGCAUGCGUUCGGAUCGAGCUUUAUAGAUCGUAAGGAGGGCAUUCUGAGGAAGUGAAGGGAAUCGCUUGUGAAGCUUCGCUAGAAUCUCGUUUCUGUUCAUACUUUCACCUCAGAAUGUCAGUUAUUAUGGGAAACUGAAGUAACCGACUUGAUUGUCACGGAGUACCGUUAUCCGCCACUUCACCGGGGUAACAAACUAAAGCACAUAAACAGAAAAACAAAUCAAAACACACAAAGAAAAUUAAAAUCGUCCUCUUAUUGAAUUUACCUCAAGCUCCAACUGGAUGUCGUAAACACUUCUCUCAAUGUCUCUGAGUUGGCGUUCUAAACCCUCAACAUAGGCUACUAACUCUGGUGGUUGUAGAGCCCAAAUGCGUUGUGUUUUACAAAAUUGAAUCUGCCUUUUGAGAUGAGUUUUGAUACGUUGAAGUGGUUUAAGAAUGUUCAGGAGGAACGGUCUAAGUAUGAGACUCAUGAUUAAAAAUGAUAAGAGAAAACUUAAUGGUAAAAUAAACACACUUAUGCAAAAACAAUUUCAAUUAGCAAAAGAAUAAUAAUAAAAAGAAAGAAAGAAAAAUCAAAUCAACGAAAAGAAAAAAAAUCAAUUCAAAUUUGGUGGGUCACUCAAAUUUAUUUCGGUGUCUUCUCUAUGUGGUUGGUACUCAAGAUAUGGCUUUAAUCUUUGACCAUUAACUUUAAACGUGACACCGUUCUUUGGGUCCUUAAUUUCAAUUGCCCCAUGUGGAAAAACAGUAUGAACAAUAAAGGGACCAGACCAUCGAGAGCGUAACUUACCUGGGAAUAGGUGCAAGCGAGAAUUGAAUAAAAGCACUUUCUGACCUGGAGUGAAAGAUUUUCUCAUAAUGUGCUUGUCAUGAAAGACUUUCAUUCGUUGCUUGUAAAUUUUGGCAUUUUCGUAUGCAUCAUUGCGAAUUUCUUCAAGUUCUGCCAGCUGUAAUAUUCUUUCUGAGCUGGCUUGUUGCAUGUCAAAAUUGAAUUUCUUGAUGGCCCAAUACGCACGAUGCUCGAGUUCCACAGGUAGGUGGCAAGCUUUUCCAUACACUAGCCUGUAGGGUGACAUCCCAAUCGGGGUCUUGAAAGCCGUUCUAUAUGCCCAUAAUGCAUCAUCAAGUCUUAAUGACCAAUCUUUCCUGUCUGGCCUCACCGUUUUUUCUAAUAUGUGCUUUAUUUCUCGAUUGGAUAUCUCAACUUGGCCACUGGUUUGCGGAUGAUACGGGGUCGCCACUUUGUGUGUGAUUGAAUACUUUGUCAAAAGAGCCUUGAAUGCUUUGUUACAAAAGUGGGCACCACCAUCACUGAUUAUCGCUCGAGGGAAUCCAAAGCGUGAAACAAUGUUGCUUUUCAAAAAUCCUAUCACCACUUUGUGAUCAUUGGUUCUGCAUGGAAUUGCUUCCACCCAUUUCGAUACGUAGUCAACACCAACCAAUAUGUAUUGAUGGCCAAAAGAAGGGGGAAAGGGUCCCAUGAAGUCGAUACCCCAUACGUCAAAAAUCUCAACCACUAAAAUUGGAUUUAGUGGCAUCAUGUUCCUUCGUGUAAUGCUCCUCAUUCGUUGACACCUAUCACAUGAAGAACAAAAAGUGUAAGCAUCUCGAAAUAUAGUUGGCCAAUAAAAACCACAUUGUAAAACUUUAGUCACGGUUUUCUUAGCACUGAAGUGGCCUCCACAAGCUUGUUCAUGGCAGAAUGAAAGGAUAUUCUGAAUUUCACUUUCUGGGACACAUCGUCUAACAAUUUGGUCUGCACAAUACUUGAACAAAUACGGGUCAUUGUUGAGUGUUAGAAAAUGCAUAUUUAUAAAGGAGAAAACUGUCAUUUUAUGUUUCAAGUCUUACUAACAACCCUUACUUUUAUGUAUUUAACCUUCUUGUAAUGUAAUUACGUGUGUGUUAUUUUAAUUAAGUAUUUUAUGUAUUUUAGGGGCAUUAUAGUCAUUUCACAAUAAAGGAGAGAUCAGACGGCAAAACGGACAUCACUUUUGAACUCAGGACGGUCGAAAACCUUAGGAGGAGCAUAAAAGGAAAAAUGGCACUAUUCACAUAUACGGUAGUAUUCACGUAUACGGUACUGUCUACGUUACUGUUCACGACACUGUUCACAUAGACGGAUCGAUGACGUGGCAUUGACCGAUGAUGUGGCAUUGACUGAUGAGGUGUCACGAUCCUGUUGGACUAAAAUUCUAAUGUACUGUUGAUGGUGACGUGGCAGCAUAUCAGUGGACGAAAAAUCUCGCGUACGGUGCAUGCAUCACACAUGAUUAUUUUCAACCAAACCGCGUUACUGUUCAUCCGGGUCAAACCGUGUUACUGUUCAUCCGCGUGGUCAAACCGUGGACUGUUGACUGAUGACGUGGCGCAAUCCUGAGCGUCCAAACUGUUUUUAAUCCGAUGGCCAUGAUUUACUCCAUGUAUCUAUAAAAAGGGGGCCUCCCCCCCAUAAUUUGAUAUCUCUGAAUCCAUUUUUGGGAUCCAUUUUCUGUAAUUCCUUCUCCAUCUUGUAUUUUCUUUGUAUUUUAAUAAAUUCCCUUUUUGCCCCUAGUUCAAUUAUGAGUAGCUAAUUUCUUUUCAAGCUUGGGUUGAAGGUGAAGUCUCAACAUGUGUCAUGGGCUUUAUUUGGUAAAUUUAUUUUCUUUUCCCCUCUAGUUUUUGUGGAUGAUUUGACUUAUCGUCGAUAAAUAAUAAUGAUCUUGUCUAGAUACCGCCUUGGUUACACCGGCUCUCUAGUAUAAGGUUAUUAUUAUUUGGCACGAUAAGCCCUUAGCACCAUAUUGAUUAGAGCGUGGUUCAUGAGGUGUGGAUUCCCCCCUCAUGAUUUAAUUGGCAUUAAUAUGGAUUAUUUAGCCCAUGAUGCAUGUUGAUACGGAUCCAGAUACCCAAGUACGUCAUUUCAAUAGAUUUCGCUUCAACUUAUUCUCGCCAUUGCAAUUCCAAUUUUAGAAUUUAUUAUCGCAAUUUCAAUUCCAAUUUUAGGAUAAUUUAAAUCACUUCCACCACAAUUCCAACCACCCAUUUUGCAAAAUUAAUUCUAUACACAAUUAAAAUCCACCUCCUCGUGGGAUCGACACUCGUCACCAUUGAUCUACACUACAAUAGAUUCGUGCGCUUGCGAGUUCAUUAAAAUUUGCACAACAGUCAUCCCAAAAGAAAUUCUUUAUUUCUACAAAGAAUUUAGCCUUGUCUUGCUUGGUCCAAUGCUCUGGAAAUUUACCUGUAACAAGAUAAUUAACUAUAUCAGCAUACCAAGGUAAUACUUCCACAUUCAUCAAUUGUUCAUCUGGAAAUGACUCAUUCAAUAUUAAUGGCUCUGUAAUUGUGUCAAAAUGGAGACGAGAGAGGUGGUCCGCCACAACAUUCUCUGUGCCUUUCUUAUCUUUGAAUUCCAAGUCAAACUCCUGCAAAAGUAACACCCAACGAAUUAGUCUAGCUUUUGCAUCUUUCUUUGUGAGAAGAUAUUUAAGAGCAGCAUAAUCUGUGAAUACAAUUAUUUUACAACCAAUGAGAUAAGAUCGAAAUUUUUCUAAUGCAAACACUACUGCUAGCAUUUCUUUUUCAGUAGUUGAAUAAUUCAACUGUGCAUCAUUGAAUGUCAUACUAGCAUAGUAAAUAACAUGGGGAAUUCGAUCAACUCUUUGUCCUAAUACUGCUCCUACGGCAUAAUCAGAUGCAUCACACAUUAGCUCAAAUGGUAAGCUCCAGUUUGGGGCCUGAAUGAUGGGUGAUGAUGUCAACAACUGUUUUAAUUUUUCAAAUGCAACAAGACAUGAAUCAUUAAAGACAAAAGGUACAUCCUUAGCAAGUAGAUUGCAUAAGGGUCUAGAAACUUUGCUAAAAUCUUUAAUGAAACAUCUAUAAAAACCAGCAUGCCUAAGGAAAGAUCUUACUUCUCUGAUUGUUUUGGGUGGAGGAAGAUUAGAAAUGAGAUCCACCUUGGCUUUGUCAACCUCAAUACCUUUGCUCGAAAUGAUGUGACCGAGAACAAUACCUUGUUUUACCAUAAAAUGGCACUUCUCCCAAUUUAAGACUAAGCUCUUCGCGGUACAUCUCUGCAGAACUAGCGUUAGAUGAUGUAAACAUUGAUCAAACGAGUCACCAAAGAUAGAAAAAUCAUCCAUAAAGACUUCAAGGAAUCGUUCAACCAUAUCAGAAAAAAUGCUCAACAUGCAUCGUUGAAAUGUAGCAGGUGCAUUACAUAAUCCAAAUGGCAUUCUCCUAUAUGCAAAAGUGCCAAAAGGGCAAGUAAAAGUAGUUUUCUCUUGAUCUUUUGGUGCUAUGGGAAUCUGAUUAUAUCCUGAGUAGCCAUCUAGAAAGCAAUAAAAUUCAUGGCCUGCUAAUCUAUCAAGCAUUUGAUCAAUAAAUGGUAAAGGAAAAUGGUCUUUACGUGUGACAGAAUUCAACUUUCUAUAAUCAAUGCAUACACGCCAUCCUGUAGUUACUCUAGUUGGUAUCAAUUCAUUAUCAGCAUUGGUAACUACUGUGACUCCUGACUUUUUGGGGACAACUUGUACAGGACUGACCCAUGAACUAUCAGAAAUUGGGUAAAUGAUACCUGCGUCUAAUAGCUUAAGGACUUCUGUUCUAACAACUUCUUUCAUAUUAGGAUUUAACCGACGUUGCAUUUCCCUAGUAGAUUUAGCAUUUUCAUCAAGGUGAAUGUAAUGCAUGCAGUCUACUGGAUUUAUACCUUUUAUGUUCGCUAUGGUCCAUCUUAAUGCUCCUUUGUGCUAUUUAAAACAUCCAACAACUUACCUUUUUGUUCGUCAUUUAGGGAUGAUGAGAUGAUUACCGGCAGAGUACUUUCUUCUCCCAAAAACGCAUAUUCCAAUGUGUUGGGUAAUGGUUUGAGCUCGAGUUUCGGUGGUGAUUCUGAUGAUGGGAUGAGUUUCUUCUCUGAUGGUGCUAGUUGUUCAACUCUUGACUUCCAUUUAUUAGUGUCCAUGGAUGGUGCUGAGUCAAGUAGGGCGUUGACCUCAUCAACUGAUCUGUCAAUAUCAAAAUCCAAACCAAAGUGAGUUAAACAUGUUUAUAAAGGAUCAUCACUAAGGUUUGAAAGAAAAGUAUUAUCAACUAUUGUUUCUAUUAAAUCCACAUCAACAAUUCCAUCAUCUGCACUGUGAGGUUGUUUGGCAAUGUUGAAGAUGUUCAGCUCCAUAGUCAUGCUGCCGAAGGACAACUGCAUAUUUCCAGUCCUGCAUUGAAUGUGAGCAUCCGCAGUUGCCAAGAAAGGUCGACCUAGAAUAAUAGGGAUGUGCUUCCUUGAAUCCUGUAUUGGUUGAGUGUCAAUUACAAUGAAAUCAACAGGAAAAUAAAACUUGUCUACCUGGAUAAGCACGUCCUCCACAAUACCACGAGGUAUUUUCGUGGACCGAUCUGCAAGCUGUAACACCACUGGAGUUGGGUGUAAUUCUCCCAGUCCAAGUUUCACGAAUACAGAGUAAGACAAAAGAUUUACACUAGCUCCUAAAUCCAACAAAGCAUUCUCAAUUGUGUGGUUCCCUAUACUACAUGAGAUAGUGGGGGAGCCUGGGUCUUUGCAUUUUAAAGGAAUUUUAUGUUGGAGUAUAGAACUAACAUUUACUGUUAAAAAUGCCUUCUUUUGAACAUGCAUAUUUCUCUUUUUAGUACAAAGGUCUUUAAGAAACUUGGCAUAAGAUGGAACUUGCUUUAUAGCAUCAAGUAAAGGGAUGUUAACACUUACCUGUUUGAAGAUUUCGAGAAUCUCACCUGUGGAUUUUCCCUUCUUUCCUUUCGCUAACCUCUGAGGAAAUGGAGCUUUGGGAACGUAUUCUCGUGGGUUGGUUUCUUCUUUUUCCUCCGGUGGUGAGUCCUCAACAUUCACAGGUACAAUUUGAUUUUCUUUUGUCACCGGCAUCUCCACUUUGUUGUCGACUUCCUUUCCUUUUCGCAAGGUCAUGACUGCUUUGACCUCUCCAUGCUGUUGUGGUGAACUGGUACUUGCUUCAUGUACUCCUUUAGGAUUAGGCACUGGUUGACUUGGAAAUUUACUUUUCUCAACAGUAAUUGCCAAGGUCUGAACUGAAGAAGCAAGUUGUCCCACCAUCUUCUCGAGGCUUGAAACUGAUUGGGCUUGUGAGUUGAAGCCCGCUCUCAACUCAUUUCGUAGUCCAUCAAUAGUGCGGUUCUGUUGCUCAAUCGUAGAGUGAGUAACAUUCUUGAGAUUUUGGAAUGAAUCCUCCCAUGGUCUGGGUUGAGAGUAGUUCUUGUUCUGAUUGUAUGGUCUGAAUGGUGGCUGAGAGGCUUGAGGAUUUUGAGGAAUUUGUUGCAUUGGUGGAGCUGGAGCUGCUGGUCCAUUCUGUUGGAAUCCUUGAGACCAUGAAAAAUUGGGGUGGUCUCUCCAUCCAGGGUUAUAUGUGUUGGAGUAUGGGUUGUAAUUAGAUGGCUUUCUCAUUACACCUAUGGCAUUGGCUUGAUCUGGAUAUGAGUCAGGGUCACGUGAUUCUGUUGAUUUAGCAGUCGAUAACGAUGUUAUUUGUCGAGCAAGACCUUCAACCAUCUCCUUGACUUCUUUGAUUCCCGAAGUUGACUCGCCAAUGUGAACCUCAUUCACUCCUUUAAUCCUUCUAGUAUUCCUGAGUGAUCGACUCCGUUGUUGGGAAUUGUCCGCUUGUCGCUGGAAAAACUCCCAAAUUUCUGAUGCACUUUUUGACAUUAGCUCUCCUCCACUUGUUGCCAUUAGCCAUUCUUGCACAUUCGGCAAUAAUCCCUUCAAAAAGUAUUGGUAUUGGUGCCAUUUCUCGUACCCAUGAUGUGGACACUUCAAGAGUAGUCCAUUGAAUCGCUCCCAAGUUUCGAAAAACUGCUCGUCCUCUCUUUGUGUAAACUCUGAGAUUUCCCUGCGAAUAGAAUUGGUUUUAUGCACUGGGAAAUAUUUAUUUAGAAAUUUUGUAACCAUUUGUUCCCAUGAUGCAAUGCUAUUAGCAGGCAAAGUAUUUAACCAUGAACGAGCUCUAUCCUUUAAAGAAAAUGGGAAUAAUCUAAGUUUAACAUCAUCGUCUGAAAAAUUUUCAUAUUUAAAAGUUUGACAAAUGGCAUGAAAAUCAUUCAGAUGAUUAUAUGGGUCCUCAUUUUCUAGGCCAUAGAAUGUGGGGAGACAAUUUAGCACACUAGGUUUUAAUUCAAAACUCCUAGCAGCUACAUUUGGGUAUCUUAUGCAUGAUGUGCUCAAAUUAGCUAAGGGACUAAAAUAAUCCUUAAAUGGCCUCUCCUGUGGUGCUUGUAAAUCCAUUUUAUUUUUAAAUUGUUUGUGUGUGCGAAGUGUUUUUUCUAAUUCAAGGUCUAUAGGUUCAAGAUUUGGUAAUAAUGACCUACGACCAUGCAUGCAAAACAAAUAAAAUAAAAAUAAAGAUGGGAAUAAAACGAAUAAAAAUAAAGAAAAAUGAGAAAUUACGAUACUAACCUUAUUGCGCUGUUACAACUUUUCUAUAAAAACACACUAAAACAAAUACGUGAAAUAAAUUAACUAAAAAUAAAUUAAUUAAAAAAAAUUACAAAGAAAAAUAACUUAAAAAUUAAAUUGCAGAAUUGUAAAGAAUAGAGAAAGAAAAGAAAUUAUUACCUCUAAUUGCAGAUUCACUUUUUUUUUUCUCUUUUUUUUUAUAAAAAAAUACAAGAAAACAAAUAAAAGAAAUUAUUCACAAAAAUUAAUUCUAUGAAUUAAAAUUACUUACCUCCCCGGCAACGGCGCCAAAAACUUGUUGUGCAAAUUUUAAUGAACUCGCAAGCGCACGAAUCUAUUGUAGUAUAGAUCAAUGGUGACGAGUGUCGAUCCCACGAGGAGGUGGAUUUUAAUUAUAUGUAGAAUUAAUUUUGUAAAUGGGUGGUUGGAAUUGUGGUGGAAAUGAUUUGGAAUAUGCUAAAACUUAAAUUAAAAUGGCGAGAAUAAAUUCUGAAAUUGGAAUUGCAAUGGCGAGAAUAAAUUGAAGUGAAAUCUAUUGAAAUAACGUACUUGGGUAUCCGGAUCCGUAUCAACAUGCAUCAUGGGCUAAAUAAUCCGUAUUAAUGCCAAUUAAAUCAUGAGGGGAGAAUCCACAUCUCAUGAACCACGCUCUAAUCAAUAUGGUGCUAAGGGCUUAUCGUGCCAAAUAAUAAUAACCUUAUACUAGAGAGCCGGUGUAACCAAGACGGUAUCUAGACAAGAUUACUAUUAUUUGUUGACGAGAAGUCAAAACAUCCACAAAAACUAGAGGGGAAGAGAAAAUAAAUUUACCAAAUUAAGCCCAUGACACAUGUUGAGACUUCACCUUCAACCCAAGCUUGAAAGAAAAUUAGCCACUCAUAAUUGAACUAGGGGCAAAAUGGGAAUUUAUUAAAAUACAAAGAAAAUACAAGAUGGAGAAGGAAUUACAGAAAAUGGAUCUCAAAAAUGGAUUCAGAGCUAUCAAAUUAGGGGGGGGAGGCCCCCUUUUUAUAGAUACAUGGAGUAAAUCAUGGCCAUCGGAUUAAAAACAGUUUGGACGCUCAGGAUUGCCCCACGUCAUCAGUCAACAGUCCACGGUUUGACCACGCGGAUGAACAGUAACACAGUUUGACCCGGAUAAACAGUAACACGGUUUGGUUGAAAAUAAUCCUGUGUGAUGCAUGCACCGUACGCGAGAUUUUUCGUCCACUGAUAUGCUGCCACGUCACCAUCAACAGUACAUAAGAAUUUUAGUCCAACAGGAUCGUGACACCUCAUCAGUCAAUGCCACAUCAUCGGUCAAUGCCACGUCAUCGAUCCGUCUAUGUGAACAGUGUCGUGAACAGUAACGUAGACAGUACCGUAUACGUGAAUAGUACCGUACAUGUGAAUAGUGCCAUUUUUCCUUUUAUGCUCCUCCUAAGGUUUUCGACCGUCCUGAGUUCAAAAGUGAUGUCCGUUUUGCUGUCUGAUCUCUCCUUUAUUGUGAAAUGACUAUAAUGCCCCUAAAAUACAUAAAAUACUUAAUUAAAAUAACACACACGUAAUUACAUCACAAAAAGGUUAAAUACAUAAAAGUAAGGGUUGUUAGUAAGACUUGAAAUGUAAAAUGAUGGUUUUCUCCUUUAUAAAUAUGCAUUUUCUAAUACUCAACAGUUCCCAAAUAUGAAAGAUGCUUAGGCCUCCCAUCCAUGAUAGGCCGGAAGAAGAUGAGUUUUUUCAAGGAUGUCAAAUUAAAGGUUUUAAGAAAAAUUUCCAACUGGCACCAUAAAAUGUUCUCUAGUGGUGGAAAGGAAGUUCUUUUUAAAGCAGUCGCUCAAGCCAUCCCAGCAUAUGCCAUGAGCGUUUUCAAGCUCCUGAAGGGGCUAUGUGAAGACAUCCAAAGAGUUAUAGCCAAAUUUUGGUGGGGUUCGAAUCAAGAUAAGCAAGCAAUACACUGGUCGAGAUGGGAAAAAUUAAGUUGUGCAAAGAGUAGAUGGGGGCUGGGAUUCAGAGAUUUUACCAGCUUCAAUCAAGCAAUGGUGGCUAAACAAGGUUGGAGGCUGCUUCAGUUCCCGGAUUCCCUGGUAUCCAAGUUACUGCAGGCCAAAUACUACAGGAACUCCUCAUUCUUGAAUGCAAAGGAAGGUUCUAAUCCUUCUUUUAUCUGGAAAAGCAUCCUUUGGGGUAGGCUAGUUAUAAAAAAAAGGGCAAGAUGGCGAAUUGGGAAUGAGAGCAAUAUUCGGGUGUACAAAGACAAUUGGCUGCCAAGAUUGGAUACUUUCAAACCGAUAUCCCCUCCAACAUUGCCCAUGGAAACAACAGUGGCCAAGUUGAUAACUGAGGACAGCCACUGGAAUGAAGCUAAGCUAAAGCACCACUUUUUCGAGGAGGACACAGAAGCAAUACUCAAAAUUUCCCUCCCCCCAAGCCAUAAAGAGGAUUCCUUACUAUGGCAUUUUGACAAAAGAGAGGCAUACACUGUAAAAAGUGGCUACCAGGUGGCUCUCAAGCUUAAAUUCCCAAAUCAGGCCAGCAGCUCAGCCAGCCCCCCCCCCAAGAUGGAAUAAUCUGUGGUCUCUUAACUGGCCUGAAAAAAUCAAAAUCUUCAUGUGGAGAGCAUCCAAAAACCUUUUUCCAACAGCUGAAAACUUGUGGAAAAGAAAAUGUCUCCAAGAUCCAAUUUGCAAAAGAUGCUGCAGAAGUGUAGAAACCACUUACCAUGCUCUGCUAGAGUGUAAAGCAACGAAGAAGAUCUGGAAUCAUGCUCCUCUCCAGCUGAUAAGAAGCUACGCAGAACUAAUCGUGUAGCCAAACCCAACAGCAAGUACAUGGAAUAUGCAUGGGCACGUCAUUAGCCAUGCAACGUUUGAGAUGAUGAUCUGGAGCUGACUUCUUCAAAUUAACCGUUGCUUAUUUGGAGGAGAUCUUUCAUGCAAGUAUUUGUUUUGGUAUAUUUUGGAAUAAUAGUCAGGUUGUUGAGAUGUUGUUAACGACUUGAUUUAGUUAGCUUUGUUCAAGCCUUGUUUCACGGCUAAGGAAAUUAGUUUUGUAUUAGACUAUAAAUAAGCUCUUUUAUUCAAUAAGAAGAUCAUCAGAUUUUUAUUCCAAAAACAUUAUUUGUGGUAGUUCUCGCCCAAAGAAGAACAAGCAAUUUACUUUGUCAAUUCUGCUAGUUUUGACUGGGACCUCUAUUAGUGGUAUCAGAGCUAGGUUAGGAUGGCAACCAACAAAGAGCGUAUCGAGCGAAUAGAAACAGAGGUCGGAGAUAUACAAGACAAGAUGCAACAGUUGGAGUUGGGGAUCAAUGACAAAUUGGCACACAUUGAGGCAACAUUAAGCAAGCUUGCGGACUCAAUCAAUACUUCAAGAGGGUUGCCAAGUAUCAACAACAAUACUGCAUCUUCACGACUGGGCCGAGAAGUCAGUACAGGAGGGCCUCAACAUUUCCAAUCCAAGGUAGCAAAACUAGAAUUCCCUCACUAUUCGGGCGACGACCCCACCGAAUGGUUCAAUCGUGCAAGUUAGUUCUUCGAAUAACAGGAAUCAACAGACGAUCAGAAAGUGGUUCUAGCGUCAUUCCACUUGGAGGGGGAAGCAAAUCAGUGGUGGCAGUGGCUUCGAAGGUCUUAUCAAGAUGAAGGCAAAGUCGUGACUUGGGAGGUGUUUAUGGAGGAGUUAUGGGCAAGGUUUGGACCGACAGACUGUGAAGAUUUCAACGAGGCUCUCUCACGGGUUAAACAAACCGGUACUCUCCGUGACUACCAGAAGGAAUUUGAACGACUCGGAAACCGUGUUCAAGGCUGGACACAGAAGGCACUUGUUGGAACAUUCAUGGGAGGGCUUAAACCAGAGAUAUCUGAAGAAAUUCGGCUGUUUCGACCGAGGACUCUUAAGGAAGCAAUAAGCUUGGCAAGAAUGAGAGAUGAGCAACUGACCCGACAACGGAGACUGUUGAGAUCACCAAUCCUCACUCGUUCACCAACGGCUCAAGUCACCAACCAACGUGCUUCACCAACAGUACCCUUUAAGAGACUUUCUUGGGAGGAGAUGCAAAAACGCAGGUCACAAGGAUUAUGUUUUAACUGUAAUGAAAAAUUCUCUGCAGGUCAUAAGUGCAUAAAGGCGCAAUUGUUAAUCUUAGAAGCAGAUGAUAACGAAGAGUCCACGGAAACAACGCAACAUGAGUAUGAGACGGAAGAGCACGACAAACCUAAAAUAACAUUCUAUGCUUUGGCGGGUUAGGCUGCUCCUCAGACAAUGCGAGUGAAAGCUAAGAUUGGGCCACACGAGAUUAUUGUACUAGUGGACAGCGGCUCAACGCACAAUUUUAUCAACUCGCGUUUGGCUAAUAUGCUUCAGCUCCCAGUUCAACCGACAUCAGCAUUUCCAGUAAAAGUGGCCAAUGGAGAGAAAGUUAUUUGCCAGGGGAAACAUGACAAGGUACAUGUUUUAAUUCAGGACAUCCCUUUUGAACUUACUCUCUACUCAUUGCCGAUUACAGGACUCGACGUGGUGCUUGGUGUCCAAUGGCUUGAAAGCUUAGGGUCGGUGGUUUGUAAUUGGAAACAAUUAACAAUGGACUUCGAUUGGGAUAAUGCUAAGCGAAGGUUGCAAGGGCUGGAUCCACAAACAAUUCAAGCUACAACAUUAUCUGAAGUUGCCAAAGAUAUGAAACAAGGGCACAACGUGUUUGCUAUAUGUCUCUAUUUAAACAAUGAGGAAUCAUAUACAGUAGCACCGGCCAGCAUGAGGAGUUUGCUAGAGGAAUAUUCCGAGCUGUUCGUGGAACCCAAACAACUCCCACCAACACGGGAAAUCGACCACCAAAUCACUCUUAAAGAAGGAACAGAACCAAUUAAUGUGAGACCCUACCGGUACGCUUAUUUCCAAAAAGCGGAGAUUGAGAGACAAGUGAACGAAAUGCUGUCUUCCGGGCUCAUUCGACCAAGCACCAGCCCCUUCUCAUCACCGGUACUCCUAGUAAAAAAAAAGAUGGCAGUUGGAGGUUUUGUACUGACUACAGAGCACUCAACAAGGCCACAGUAAAAGACAGAUUUCCAAUACCAACAGUAGAAGACAUGUUAGAUGAAUUGCACGGUGCAACAUUCUUCACCAAACUAGACCUCAGAGCCGGCUACCAUCAGGUACGGCUAAACUCAUCAGAUAUACAUAAGACGGCUUUUCGCACACACAAUGGCCAUUAUGAAUAUCUGGUCAUGCCAUUCGGCUUAUGCAAUGCUCCCUCUACUUUUCAAGCAAUUAUGAAUGCUAUUUUUCGGCCCCAUCUUCGGAAAUUUAUAUUGGUAUUUUUUAACGACAUCUUGAUUUAUAGUCCCACGUGGGAAUGUCAUUUGAAACACGUUAGACAGACCUUGGAAAUUCUUAAACAACAUCAAUUUUUUGUCAAGGCUAGCAAGUGCAAUUUUGGCCAGCAAGAACUUGAAUAUUUGGGACACAUCGUCACUUGCCAUGGUGUGAAGGUGGAUGAACAGAAAAUUGCAGCAAUGGUGUCAUGGCCAAAGCCACGGAAUAUUACAGAGCUAAGGGGAUUUUUAGGCCUAACAGGGUAUUAUCGCAAGUUCGUUCGUGGGUAUGGCCUGUUAGCCCGGGCCCUAACCAAUCUUCUUAAGAAAGGACAAUUCGGGUGGAAUACUGAAGCUGCAACAGCAUUUGAGCAAUUGAAACUUGCCAUGACUCAAACUCCAGUACUUUCUAUGCCUAAUUUUAACGAUGUUUUUGUUAUUGAAACUGAUGCGUCCGGUGAUGGCAUAGGAGCAGUACUGCAGCAAAACGGAAAACCAAUAGCUUACAUGAGUCGAGCGUUGGGUAUAACAAAAAAGACUUGGUCGACAUAUGCGAAAGAGAUGUUGGCAGUGGUAGAGGCGGUCAGAUUUUGGAGGCCUUAUUUACUGGGACAACGAUUUGUGAUACAAACAGAUCAAAAAAGCUUAAAAUAUCUCUUGGAGCAGAAGAUAGCAACUCCUGAUCAACAGCAAUGGAUGGUCAAACUCAUGGGUUACGAUUACGAAAUCCGAUACCGCCCCGGCAAGGAAAACGCUGCUGCCGAUGCACUCUCUAGAAGAACUGACAGCCCAACUCUUAAUCAUCUUUUUGUACCGCAGGUGUCACUAUGGGGAGAAAUUAAAAAGGCUAUGCAUGAAGAUGAUUAUCUAAAGAAGAUUGCACAGCAAGUUGAGACUCAACCCGACGGCCCUUACACGGCAAAAAACGGCCUCAUAUUCUUCAAAGGCAGGGUAAUAGUUCCGCGAAAGAUGCGUGACUUAUUAUUAUUUGAGGCCCACAAUACGAAAAUAGGAGGGCAUUCCGGAGUCCUUCGCACUUACAAACGCUUAGCGCAGCAAUUUUAUUGGCCCUCAAUGUUUCAAUCUGUUCAUGAUUAUGUAAGUAAGUGUGUUGUUUGCCAGAAGACGAAGAGUGAAACGCUACAACCAGCAGGGCUUCUUCAACCGUUGCCUGUUCCUUGCCAAGUGUGGGAGGAUAUUUCUUUAGAUUUUAUUGAAGGGCUGCCUAAUUCACAAGGAAGAGAUACAAUAUUUGUGAUAGUCGACAGGCUCAGUAAAUAUGCAUUCUUCCUUUCCUUAUCUCACCCAUUUACCGCUAAAUCUGUUGCUGAAAGAUUUGUUGACGGAGUGGUAAAACUACACGGCAUGCCCAAGAGUAUUGUAAGUGAUCGGGAUCCAAUAUUUAUUAGCAAAUUUUGGAGUGAAUUUUUUACACUGUCAGGCACACAAUUAACGAUGAGUUCAGCCUAUCAUCCGCAAACGGACGGCCAAACAGAGGUUGUUAACAGAUGUCUGGAGCAAUAUUUACGCUGCUUUGUCCACCAGUGGCCACGCAAGUGGAACAUGUAUCUGUCGUGGGCUGAGUUUUGGUACAAUACCACUUUUCAUGUAUCCACCGGAAUGACCCCUUUUCAAGCUCUCUAUGGCCGGCCUCCACCUUCUGUCCCCAUGGAUUCGAUCGGGUCUUCACCGGUUCACGAAGUCGAUCACGCCUUACAGACCAGAGAUGAGUUAUUGCGGCAACUAAAAUCUAACCUUGCUGCAGCGGCUAAUCGAAUGAAACAAACGGCCGACAAGAAAAGGAGGGAUGUCGAAUUCAAAGAAGGAGACAUGGUGUACUUGCGCUUGCAUCCGUACCGGCAAUCUUCAGUUUUUAAACGUGCACAUCAAAAAUUAUGCAACAGGUAUUUUGGACCAUAUCAAAUAAUUCAAAAAGUGGGGCCUGUCGCUUUUAAGCUCCAGUUGCCAGAAGGUGCCAAGGUCCAUUCUACAUUUCAUGUUUCAGUACUAAAAAAAGCAGUGGGAGAUUCGACAGAGAGCAGCACGGAGUUACCUCCUAUAGAUGAUGAAGGUGUGCUGGUUUUGGAGCCUAAAUCAGUUCUGGACACUCGGUGGCUUAAAAGAGGUGGUACUGUUAUUGAGCAAAGUCUGAUUCACUGGAACAAUCAACCAAUGGAAGAGGCCACUUGGGAAGAUACUGUCGUCAUUAAGCAGCGGUUUCCUUCGCUGACCCUUGAGGACAAGGGUCCUCUUUCAUGGGGGAGUGAUGAUAAGAAGCUACGCAGAACUAAUCGUGUAGCCAAACCCAACAGCAAGUACAUGGAAUAUGCAUGGGCACGUCAUUAGCCAUGCAACGUUUGAGAUGAUGAUCUGGAGCUGACUUCUUCAAAUUAACCGUUGCUUAUUUGGAGGAGAUCUUUCAUGCAAGUAUUUGUUUUGGUAUAUUUUGGAAUAAUAGUCAGGUUGUUGAGAUGUUGUUAACGACUUGAUUUAGUUAGCUUUGUUCAAGCCUUGUUUCACGGCUAAGGAAAUUAGUUUUGUAUUAGACUAUAAAUAAGCUCUUUUAUUCAAUAAGAAGAUCAUCAGAUUUUUAUUCCAAAAACAUUAUUUGUGGUAGUUCUCGCCCAAAGAAGAACAAGCAAUUUACUUUGUCAAUUCUGCUAGUUUUGACUGGGACCUCUAUUACCAGCCCAAUUUUCAGAAUUCUCCAAACCAGAGCAUCCUCAGCAUCAUCCAAAAUAUGCCCUCCAAUAUGCGGAAGUCUAAUUUCGAUCUCUUGAUCUCUCUAUGUUGGGUGGCUUGGUAUGCUCGAAACAAGUUUAUUUUCGAAGGUAAGAAGAUAGACCCAAGGCUCUCUGUAGCUAAAGCUGAAGCAGUGAUUGAUGCUUUCCAAAGAGCUAGGAAGCCUGGAGCCACUCAUAUCCAUAACAGCAGCAAAGUACCUCAGCAUAAGUGGAAUCCCCCUCCGAAGAAUGUUGUCAAGGUUAACGUGGAUGCAGCCAUCAACAGCAAGAGUCAAAUGGCAGGCUUAGGAGCUGUAAUUAGAGACUCAAAGAACAAAUUUGUAGCUGCAGGCAUCAUGCAAACUGGUUUGAAGGAGCAUGUCAACUAUGCAGAAGCUGAAGCCAUUGUAUAGGGUUUAAAGCUAGCUAGAAGGGCAGCUCUUUCCACUUUGAUCAUAGAGUCAGAUUGCCUAGAAGUGGUUGAGUUAGUAAACAACAUAAAGAGCAACAAAACAGGACAAUGGUGGAUAAUUGAAGAGAUCCAGAACUAAAAAAGUGAGUUUUGUAAUGUAAUUAUCAAUCAUAUCCCUAGAACCUAUAAUGUUUGUGCUCAUUCCCUAACAAAACUUACUGUGGGAGCAAAUACGCCUGCUGUCUGGUUAGACCAUAUUCCAACAGAGGUGAUGAAUGUUCUGAUUUAGUGUUGUUUUUAAUGGAAAGGAUUACUUUCUUCAAAAAAAAAAAAAGAAUAAGAAGAAAGCAUAAUGCGACCCUCCAACAGCUUAAUCUAUGGAAUUAUCGUGUUUUGUAAGUUAGGGUCCAAUGGCGUUUUGGCACAUCAUAUGAUAGACCACUAUAUUGCGUUGCUUUACAAAAGAUUAAUAUUUUUAAAAUUAUUAGGUAAGUUUAGGCUCAGUGGCACUUUAACUCAUGAUAUGAUAGUCCAGGUUUUCGAGGACCACUAUAUUGUAUUGAUUUAAAAAAAAAUUAAUAUUUUUUAAUAUUAAUAUUCUAAAUUAUAUUCAGUUAAAAUAUUAAAUAUUAAAUACAUUCUUAAUAUUAAUAUUCUUAGACGAAAUUCUUUUGCUGGCUUAAGAAUAAAAUAUUAAAUAAUUUUAUUUUUCUUUUAUUGUGUAACGUGGACCCAAAAAAAAAAAGGAAAUGAAUUUAAUAAAACCUUCAUUCCGCCACCAUCCAUGUUAAUUGUUUCCAAAUUCCAACCUCCGUACUCUCUUGAGGAGUUUCCCAUUCAUCAAUUAUUAUUUUUUAUAAUCCAUACCAUCCUGAUAUAAUUAAACACCAUUAAUAAUGUACCAGCCUUUAAAUAGUAAUUAAUUUAUUUAUCUAAUUCACCAAAUGUUUUUUCCGGUACAUAUCUCCAUUGGUAUCAAGAAGAAGCAGAACCCAAACAAAUGUUUCUUGCAUCUUCAUAUUUGUGCAAAUUCAUCCUUUCAUUGAGAAUAACCAUUUCCAGGCAGCAGUUGGCAAUCAAUUCAUGCGCACGUCGAUGCUAUUCAUAGAUAUUAAAGACAAUGAUGAACCAAAGGUGAUAAAUCAUAAAUGCAUAAUUACCAAACCUCCAUCCUUCUCUCAUUAUGAUUUGAUUUUAAAUGAAUUAUUGCUUGGUAACAUUAUUUCCAACCAUUGCAAGCCCUUUUUUUUUUUUGGGAGAAAUUUCAAUUGAAAGUGAAACCUUUAGACAUUUACCUAAUGAAGUUAGUUAAUCGGGAGGGUGGAAAAAAAAAAGGUUGACGCAAGUCAAUACACAAUAAUUAAUUAAAUCCGGAGUGACUAAAACAGAGCCACGACUUUUUCAAAAAUAUCUGCAUUCAUCACUUUCUCCUCGUUUGUUGUCAUCCAAAAUUAUUCACCAAUACCAUGGCUGAUGCAAUCGUUUCCACUAUCUUGGAGCAGCUGAUUUCCUUCGCUGCUGAAGAGAUAAAACAACAGGUGAUCGAAGUUACACCCCUCAUAUUACAAAUACUUCCAAUGAUUUUAAUUGGUUUUGUUUUUAUCAAAAACAUUAUAUAUUUUUGCUUUAUUUUAUUUAUCUGGUAAUUUUAGAUUUUGAAAUUUGAAUUGAAUUUAAUUAAAAGGUCAUGUAGUAACCACUUAUUUUUAUUUUAUUUCAUUUAUAUUCUCAAUAACUAACCAUAUUUUGGUAACUUAAUAUAACUCUCGUACAUAAGAAAUGAUCAAAACCCACAAUUUUAACUCUGUAUAAAUAUUCAACGUUGAGUCAUUAAUUCUCAACUCAGCACUGAAUCCCAAAGCUAUUACUUAGACUCUAUGAAAAAAUUCAUAGUUUUCUUACAUUCUUUGAGUUUGGUAAGUGAUUUCGUAUAAUUUCUUUUCAAGUUAAAUUUUAAUUUGGUUUAUGAUAUAGUCUCUGUGCCGAAUUGUAUCUUUUAUGAUUCUUGGAUUUUGGGCUCCAACUUUUUAGGAUUUGAUAGUCAUAUUUUAUGCCAUGCUCAGAUUGAUUUUCAUGAUUUUUAGUAGCCGUUAAGUGACUUACAAUUUGACGAAAGUUUGAAAGGAAAAAUGUUUCAGGAUUAUGUUUUAAUUGACCUUUUAGUAGAAAUAGGAUGCUUAUAACUUAAUGUGGAUGGUUCGUAAAAUCAUGAAAUUUGGAUAGGAUUCACUAGAAAUAUGUACAAGACUCUCCAUAAAGUUUCAUAAUUUUUCAUUCGGUAUGGGGUGGCACAGGUGAAACUUGUGUUUGGUGUUGAAAAAGAAGUGAAAAGCCUUACCAGCCACCUUCAAGCCAUUCAAGUUGUGCUCGAUGAUGCAGAGGAAAAGCAAGUGAAGGACAAAGCUGUUAGUCUUUGGCUGGGUAGGCUCAAGUACGCAUCCUACGACAUUGAAGAUGUGUUGGAUGAGUGGAUCACAGCAAGACGCAAAUUGCAAAUUGAGGGUGGCGUUGAUGAAAAUGCUCUUGUUGUUCCUCAUAAGAAAAAGAAGGUAUGUCUCUGCUUUCCCAGCUCUUGUUUUGGAUUCAAACAAGAAGAAUUUGGUUUCAAACAAGUCUUUCUCCGUCAUGACAUUGCCGACAAGAUCAAAGAAAUCAAUGAAGAGCUACAUGAUAUUGCCGCUCAAAAAGACAUGUUUGAUCUUGUUAAGAGUGGCAAUAAAAGUAGUGAAAGACCAAGGCGUGUACAGAGUACCUCCUUGAUUGAUGAGGAAGAGAUUUGUGGUAGAGUUGGUGAGAGGAAUGAACUCAUAAGCAAGCUGUUGCGUGAGAGUAGCGAGCAACAAAAAGGCCUCCAUAUCAUCUCAAUUGUUGGUAUGGGAGGCAUAGGGAAAACUACUCUUGCACAACUAGCUUGUAAUCAUGACGAGGUGAAGAGAAAGUUCGACAAAAUUCUGUGGGUGUGUGUAUCAGAAACUUUUGAGGAGUUUAGGGUAGCCAAAGCGAUCGUUGAAGUUUUGGAUGGUCGUGAAUCUCAUUUAGCUGAAUUCCAUUCUCUUCUUCAACAUAUUUAUGAAUCAAUUGCAGGGAAGAGCUUUCUUCUUGUCUUAGAUGAUGUGUGGGAUGGAAAUUACUUGAAAUGGGAACCAUUCUACCGUUGUCUAAAGAAUGGUCUCCAUGGAAGUAAAAUUUUAGUUACCACACGCAAAGGGUCAGUCGCAUCCAUGAUGGGAUCCACAGAUAUUAUCUCUGUCAAGGAGUUAGCUGAAGAGGAAUGUUGGUUGUUGUUUAAAAAGAUAGCAUUUUUUGAUCGGUCCAUCGAGGAACGUGAAAAAUUAGAACAAAUUGGGCAAAGAAUUGCAGGCAAGUGCAAAGGUUUACCUCUUGCAGCAAAGACAAUAGGGAGUCUCAUGCGUUCUAAACAAACUGAAGAAGAGUGGAAAAGAAUUUUAAAUAGUGAUUUAUGGAAAGUAGAAGAGAUUGAGAAAGAUGUUUUGUCCUCUUUAUUGUUGAGUUAUAAUGAUUUGCCAUCUAGAGUAAAAAGAUGUUUUUCAUAUUGUGCUGUCUUUCCAAAAGACUACGAUAUAAAAAAAGACGAACUAAUCACAUUAUGGAUGGCUCAAGGUUAUCUUAGUGCAGAACAAGAUGAAGAGAUGGAGACAAUAGGUGAAGAGUAUUUUGGCAUCUUAGCUUCUCGCUCGUUUUUUCAAGAGUUUAAGAAAAGUUAUGAUAAUCGGAUUAUAGCGUGUAAGAUGCAUGAUAUGGUACAUGAUUUUGCCCGAUUUGUAAGUCAAAAUGAAUGUUUUUCGAUGGCAAUUAAUGGUAGUGAAGAACCAAACGCCACAAACUCUCUUGAUGAAAAGGUCUGUCAUUUAAUGUUAAUCUUUAGUAAAGGGGCUUCAUUACCUGUUUCCACUCGUAGAGUUAAAAGAAUGCGUACCCUCUUAAUUAGCGCUAGUGGAUCUGAUCAUUCAUCAUUAAAUGCUGAGAUCGUAGAAGAAUUAUUUAGGGAAUCGACAAGUUUAAGGGCAUUAGAUGUUAGCCAGGUGUCUUUGCCUACAGAGAUUUUAAGAAAUAUAAAAAAGCUGGUACAUUUAAGAUACCUUAAUUUGCGUUUUCCGAAAAUAGUGAAACUACCGGAGACAUUGUGCGAGUUAUAUAAUCUAGAAAAGUUAGAUAUUAGUUAUUGUUUUAAUCUUAAAGAAUUACCUGAAGGGAUUGGGAAGUUAAUAAACAUGAAGCAUUUACUAAAUAGAGGUACUAAUUCUUUAAGGUACAUGCCAGUAGGGAUUGGGAGAUUAACGGGUCUUAGGACCUUGGGUGAGUUCCGCGUGAGUGCAGGAGGAGAUGUUGAUGGUAGGAAAGCAUGUAGGCUUGAAUCUCUUAAAAACUUGGAACACCUUCAAGUAUGUGGUAUACGUAGACUGGGUGAUGUAUCAGAUGUGGGCGAGGCUAAGCGAUUAGAACUUGACAAAAAGAAAUACCUCUCUUGUUUGAGACUUCGGUUUGAUAAGAAGAAAGAAGGAGGAGAAAGGAGGAAGAACGAAGACGAUCAACUACUUCUUGAAGCCCUGCGACCAUCUCUGGAUUUAAAGGAAUUAGAGAUACAGUUCAACCGAGGCAACACUGUUUUCCCCAGCUGGAUGACGUCAUUAACCAACUUAAAGAGUUUAGGUCUCUCUUUGUGCGAAAAUUGCGAGCAGUUGCCUCCUUUGGGAAAAUUGCCAUCCCUCGAACAGCUCUUCAUAUCGUACAUGUCGAGUGUGAAAAGAGUGGGUGAUGAAUUUCUGGGGGUAGAAAGUGAUCGUCAUGACUCAUCGUCAUCUUCAUUAGUUAUUAUUGCCUUCCCCAAAUUGAAAUCACUUAGAAUUGAGGGAUUGAUGGAAUUGGAGGAGUGGGAUUAUGGGAUUACAAGAACGGGAAACACCGUCAUCAACAUCAUGCCCCAUCUUUCUUCCUUGGUAAUUGAUAGUUGCUACGAAUUAAAGGCACUGCCCGAUCACAUUCAUCAAACGACGACAUUGAAGCGAUUGUGGAUUUUGAAUUGUGGGCCUCUGGGAGAACGUUACCGCACGGGGGAAGGAGAAGACUGGCCUAAUAUAUCACACAUUCCCAACAUACAUAUUCGUUAAGAAGGAUUUGCGCAUUUGAGAUUUGGCGUUGACAAGUAAUUUCUUCUCUUACUCUGAUUUGCUUUUGUUGUUGUUUUUAAUCUAGUUAAGAAGUGUAAAUAGCAUUUUGAAUCAAACUCUAUAUCAGAAAUCUGCAAUACAUACUUUCUAAUAUUCUGAUUUUCAUAUCCUAUGAAUAUACGAUUUUUAAUUUGUGAGAUGGGUAACGUUACUGUAAAAGAUUAUUAAUGCAAUAUGAGUAAUUCUUUUGCAGGACAAGUGACCUACAUUUAGUUUGGCUUUGGAGUUGAAUAAUAACCUUUCGAGGUCCCGACAAACAAAAAACGAAGCUUAAUUUGCCACAGAUUGCACGUAUUGCCAUUAUUGACAAUUUUCUGCACAAGUGAUCGAGGGUGAGGUCCUGUCCUGAAUAAAGCUCUCGUGACUGAACUUAGGUUGAUGUCAAAAGAGGUAAAUUAUCGGCAUGCCUGACUAUUUUGACCAUUACAUGAUUCAUAAAUUGAGUGAUUACUUUUCAAGGUUUGCUUACUUAACCGGGUGACCAAUUUCUUGUAACUAAAUGUAUGAUAUGAAAUGAGAAGCUUAUUAGUGGAAGGAUUGCCUGUAACAGAACCCAAAGAAAAUGAAACCAUUUCAAGGCAGCAGCCGGCAGUUGGGAGUGAAUGGAGGGCCUUCACAAAAUUCUCAAGCAGUUGCAAUGCAAUUACGAUCAUCCUCAGCCUCAGGUAAUUUCUUCUCCUGCUUUGUUUUUAUUUGUUACCUAAUUAAGAAGCAUUAUUUGUUUUUAUUUGUUACCUAAUUGAAGGACAAGUGCUGAAGAGUGGGAAUGGUGCUAUAUUGGGGAAUAAUGCAGGAGGAGGUAAAUUAUUGGGAGUUUCUUCAACCUUGUUUUCUUUGAACCAGCGCCUGAUCCACAAGACUCCGUUAAUUUGGCUUUUGAUCGGCUGAUUGAUAAAUUUUCAAUUUCUUUUGUGAUAAAUGUAUAUGUGAAGCAGGCAGCAGGACAUGACUGUGGAAAAGAGAAGAUCUUAGUGAAAGCUGAGACUCAGAUAUUUCUACAAAGUAUGUGUUUUGGCUGAUUUAUCUAAUUCAUGAAAUUUUAUUUCCAUCUGUUACAAGAUCAAACUGAAGCAGAACUCAAAGAAAAGUAUUCUACUUCUUACGGCAAUCUUGCCUUCGUUCAGAUUAUGGAACCAUUUCCAUGCAGCAAAUUCAUCCAAAAGUUUGAAUAAGUUUCAUGGUUGGACACUGUUGGCUUCUUUUUCUUUUGGGGUGCAUUUAGGUGCUAUCAAGUGACAGCCGUAAGUAUGAUUGCACUAAGCUGCUGCUGGGAAAUUCGAGGUUUUGAUGGCUGCCCACGUUAUUGUCAAGAAACUCCUCAUGUAAGAAGUUGUAGUUCUUUUCAUCAGCUUGAACCUAAAACUGUCGCUAUUGAUAACUCAGGUUUUUGUUAUCAACUAUAUCAUCUUUUUCACUGUUUUGAAACUCUUUAAGAUUAAACUUCAGUAAAGUUCUUUCAGUUAUCCACAUAAUCAGGCUGAGGAUACUUUAGUAAAGUUGCUUCAGCUAUUCAAAUGAAAAAUCUCAUUGAUUUGAGACUUCCUUCAUUAUUGUUUUUGAUUAAAAUGCUAAGGGUCCAGAUAAAAUAAUAUUUAAUUGGUGGAAGGUGUCCCUUGGAAGUACAUCAUGAUUAGCUGUUGUGCUAAUCAUGCCAAUGCAUAAUUCGGCCCCUAAUGUGGGUACUCUGUUACAUUGUUCUGCAAAUUCUCCAAAAAAGUUAAAUCAAUAAAUUUUGUAUUAGCUAGAUUAGCUCUAGGUUGUGAGGAGUCUGUCAUAUGGGAGAACCCAUUUCCAGAAAAUAUCUGGUAUUUGUUCCAGUCUUCUAAUGAAUGAAAGUUAUGAUUCCUUUUCAAAAAAAAAAAAGAAUUUUGUAUUAGUUCUAGUGCGUUGACCUAAAUGCUAUUCUAUAUUUUAGUGCCUUAAUUCUAGAACCUUGGCUCCUGCCAGAGCAUGCGGAGAUAAUGGUAGGGAGAGUGUUUGUGUAUUUUAACCAUGAUAAAGCUAAUGUUCCCAAUGAUUUCUGCUGGUGAGACUUGUGAAGAGGGUGAAUGAGGCAACUGCUAAUAUUCCUGGGUGGGAUACAGUAACUAGAGGCUGAGAUCAGGUGGUGGAAUUUUUUGUUUGAUCGAUGAUACCAGAAUUGUCCACAAAAAGUUUGUUGAUACAAAUUACAGGUGAUAGAAAGAGGUAUAGGUGGAGAAGAGAAAUCUGCGAGUCAAAUUAGGGAUAAUUGAUUUGCUGAUGCAAGUUACAUUGAAUAAUAAUAAUAACAAUUGCAUGAAGAUCCCUUAUUAAUCUUGUGUUCUCCUAUCUUUUACAUUCAGCUGGUAUACUUAAGCCUUGCUUGUGGAAUGUUUUAACCUUUAAAUUCACUACCCCUGGAUGUUGGAUUUUCUAGAACUUCAAAAUGAUUAAUGGAGAAAGAUCCCAUUAUCGAUAUCGCUAUAAGAAAUUUUAUUUAUACUUCCAAAGAUACAUUAUAUAUUUAUGUGUAUCUCUUUAUACAUGACAUUUAAGCAUCCAUAAACUGUCAGACAGAGGAAGGGGGUUGAGUGUAAAGAUUCUGUUGACCUAGGGGUUGCCUGCUUAAUGUCACUUGUUAGUGAUCUAUUAUUUAUUUCAUAUUUUGAAGAAUUUAAAGGGCAAUCCUGCUUGUUUGUGUUGUUAUCUCCUUCUAACUUACGGUCGUACCUAAAGAGCAUAGUUUCAUAUGUGUUACCCUGAGAUGUACAGAAUUUCACAUUUGCCUCAGAUUAAGCUUAAUUUCCCACAGAAUAGAGCUGUUGUGACUGAACUUAGGUUGAUGUCAAAAGAGGUAAAUUAUUGGCAUGCCUAGAUAAUUUGACCAUUUCCUAAUUCAUAAGUCUACAUUAAUUUUGAUUUUGAGUUGACUGAUUUCUUUUCAAGGUCUGCUUACUUAACGGAGUGACCAAUGUUUUUCAACUAAAUUUAUCAUAUGAUGCAGGAAGCAGGGCAGGAUAUGAAAUGAGAAGCUCAUUGGUGGAAGUAUUGCCUGUAACAGAACCCAAAGAAAAUGAAACUAUUUCAAGGCAGCAGUUGGCAGUUGCAAGUGAAUGGAGGCCCUUGCCAAAAUUCUCAAGCGGUUGCAAUGCAAUUACGAUCAUCCUCAGCCUCAGGUAAUUUCUUCUCCUGCUUUGUUUUUAUUUGUUCUCUAAUUAGGAAGCAUAAAGUAUCUUGAAUCAUUUUCUGUAUCUGGAAUAUAUGCAAGAGUUUCUAAAAUUUUGAUAUGAGUGUAAUGAUGGUAAUUUCUGUUUUCUGUCUGUCAUCAAAUGUUAGAAAACUUUCAUUGAGACCCUUGAACCGAGUCAUUUUUGACAAGUGAAGUGCUGAAGAGUGAGGAGUAAGAAUGGUGCUAGAUUGGGGAAUAAAGCAAAAGGAGGUAAAUUAUUGGCAGCUUCUUCAGCCUUAUUUUCUUUGGACCAGUGCCUAAUUCACAAGUCUCCGUAAUUUGGCUUUUGACCAGUUGAUAGAUAAAAUUUUAAUUUCAUUGGUGCUAAUGUACCCGUGAAGCAGGCAGAGAAGGACUGUGGAAAAGAGAAGGUUUUUAGUGAAAGCUUAAACUCAGGUAAUUCUAAAAAUUAUAUGUUUUGGCUGAUUUAUCUAAUCAGGAAAUUUUAUUUCCAUCUGUUACAAUAAAACAGAAACAGAACACAAAGAAAAAUAGUCUACCUCUUGUGGCAAUCUUGCCUUCAUUCAGACUAUGAAACCAUUUCCUUUCACCAAUUUCUUCCAAAAGUUUGAACACGUUUCAUGGUUGGACAUAGUUAGCUUCUUUCUCUUUUGGUGCAUUUAGGUGCUAUCAAGUGACAGCCAUAAGUAUGAUUGCAUUAUUGGGAAAUUUUAGGUUUUGAUGGCUCCCCAUGUUAUUGCCAAGAAAUUUUAAGUCCUCAUGUCAGAAGCUGCGUUUCUUUUCAUCAGCCUGAACCCGAACCUGUCACUAUGGAUAACUGAGGUUUUUGUCAUCAACUAUAUCAUCUUUUUCACUGUUUUGAAACUGUUAAGAUUAAACUUCAGUAAAGUUGUUUCAGUUAUCCAUGUAAUCAGGCUAAGGAUAUUUAGCAGCUUAUUUAGGCAACUGCCAGAAUUUAGUUUGUUCGCUCGAAACUUGUAUGGUGACAAGGAUACUGGCAAGGAUAGUGAGAUAGUUUUUUGUGUGAGUGAAUUUUGAAAGCUUGGGUGUUCUGGGAUUUGCAAUUGCAAUCAUCCUCUGCUUUAGGUGAUUUCUUCUCCUGUUCUGUCUUUAUUUUCUCUCUAAUUGAAAGCAUUUCAAUCAAAUUCUGUACCAGGAAUACGAAAAAUUUACUAAUAUUUUAUUUCCAUCUGUUUGCAUUGAUAACUUGGCCGCAUAUGUACUAGUUAAAGAACAAACAGAAGCAGAGUUCAGGAAAAAGUUUCUUCGGCCACCAUAUUUGAAAAUGAAACCAAUUCCAGGAAGCAGUUGGCAGCAAAUUCAUACAAAGUAUAGACAAUGAUGUGCAAAAAGGUGAUUCGCAAUUUCAUUUUUUUAAAAUGAAAUUAUUUGUUAAGUUGGAGCUGAUAUUGUUAGAAGGCCAUUGAGCUAACCUAUGACACUGCUUGCCUAGAUUGCAGGAGGUCAAGGCUCAAAAGAUGCACUGAAUUUUAAAAGGCAUGCAAUAAUUCUUAUGGCCAUUUGUCAAUGGUGGAAUGCUUUUAGCUUCUUUUCCUUUCGUGCAUUUUGGGGUUCUAUCAAGCGACAGCCGUAUGUAUGGAUGGAUAUAGCUGCUGCGUUGAUUUCUAAUGCGGUGGAGUAAUCGUCGUUAGAAUCUGAAUGAUAUGUCUAAGACGUUGCAUGCAUCAAGAAAAUUGCAGAUGAUUAAACCUUGCCAUCUAUGCGUUGUAUGAGGUUAUAGCAACUAUCUAUCUGGUCACCGUUUUAAAAGAAUAAGACAAAGGGAAAAAGAGAAAGAAAAGAAUGAUUCGACAAUGGCAUUAAAGUUCAACAUACCCCAAGAUCUUGUAAUAAUGCCAUUAAUCAUUUCUAGCUAGGCUAGCCUUAGAGAAAAGUGAAACUGUUGCACAGGUAGAAUCACACCCCUCAGAGAUAAUGUGUUUUUAUUCAGCUCUUCGAAUGAAUGAAGUUUAUUUUCUCGUCAAAAAAAAAACUGCUCGUUCCGCUGGUUUCAUACAAUGUCAACUAGAAACAUCAUACUUUCGUAUAAGUUCAUUAUUGUUUCUUGGAAAUAUCAGAAUAUUUCUUAGAGUUUGUAUAAAAUGAAAAGAUUUUAAAAUAUAAAUUUAAUAUUUGUUUAUUACCGUUGUUUGGUCUAAUUUCCUCGGGAGAAUUUUCAGAAUUUAUAGGACAUUAGUUUAUAAUUUGCGCAUUGACAUAUAUCUUAUUUUAUCAUUUUGAAUGAAUUGCACGGCGAGGCUUAUCAACUUUGGAUGAAUCCUCCAAUUGUCGCAGUCCAAGACUGGCUGCAGUGAGUGAAAAUUUACCCAUAUAUAUGCUGGCUAUUUUUAUUGGCGACGAAUUCGUUGUAGUUGGUCCAUCUUGCUAUUCUCGGACAAUAUUAGAGAAAAUAAUCAUAUUAUUUCGCGUGAUGUGACCUUCCAUAACUUAUCAAUUGAAUUACUGUAAAAUUAUUGUGUAAGUUUAGGCCCAAUGGCACUUUAGUUCGAUAGCCUGGAUUUAAAAGGAAAACUAUAUUGCAUUGCUUCAAAAAAAAAAAAUUAAUGUUUUUAAUAUGAAUAUUCUUAACUAUAUUCAGUUAAAAUAAUAUAUUCUUAAUAUUAAUAUUCAUAGAUGAAAUUCUUUUGUGGAUUUAAGAAUAAAAUAUCAAAUAGUUUUAUUUUUCUUUUGUUGUGUAACUUGGACCGAAAAAGAAAAUGAGCUUAACAUGACCCUCCUUCCGGCACUAUGCAUGUUUUUCUUUUAUUGAUGACAGUGCUCUUGGUGCUUCUCAUCUGCUUCUUGCUUUGGUUUCAAACAAGUCUUUCUCCGUCGAGACAUUUAUUGUAAUUUGAUUUGGAGACAUCUGUCGUUCAAAUAUAUUUCAUAUGCAAGCUGUUGAUAAUUCUGCUUGAGAAAGCCUACAAAGCAGCUGUGUGAUGUAAUAGAAGACUAUAUAUGCAAACGGUCAUCAGUUUCUCUUGAAUUCUUUCUUGAGUUUCUUUGAAUUAUUUGUGAAUGAGUUCUUAAUCGGCUGCUGCUCUUCAGGAAAAGGAAAGUGUUGCAAACUGGUGAAGCUGAUCGAUAAAAGCAAUGUACCAUCUUUGCUGGCAUGGAUCGAUGCCAGUGAGUUUUUUUAUUUGUCAACCUUUUUAAUAAUGCAUAUGUUUUUCUUCAACUUGAAGCGGCAUAUAAGACGAAAGAAGUGAUCUUUAAAGCAUUCUAUGGCAUUAUCCUUUCCUAUUAUAUAUAUCCAAUUGCUCCAAAUUAUUUGUAAAUUACUGAACACGAAUGCUGAUGAAUAAACUGAUGGCUCUAUGUAUGUAUGCACAUGCAUGGAGAAAUUUUAAGUCAGACAUUCUCAUAUAUAACUCGUGGGACCAAAUCAUUAAAUAAUCUUGAAAUCAAAGUAAUAAUUAAAUACAAAUAAAUUGCUCGAAUUGUACAUAUAUCUGAAUCAUGUAGUGAAGAAAAUACAACAACAACAACCAAUGGCUCAAAUUCCCCAUCAACUUCUAGUCUCAACACUUUUGAGUGUCAGAAGCAUUACUCUGCUACCAGUUAACAAACAUAUAAUUAGUAAUUUGCCAUUCACUUCCCUUUUAGGCCUAACACAUUUUCUAUAAAGGAGCCACAGAGUGAACUCAGCAGGAAACACUCAAUUUCAACCUACGUAGGACCAGGAAUUUCAACAAAAAAAAAAGUGUGCAAUUGCUUAUCCUAUCCUAUUGCUACUAGAAAGAAAGUGAACAAUUAAUUUCAGUGAAUAAAUUAAAAAAAAUUACUUCUGCAGAUACUCAAGCUAAGAACACAUUAACCCAUUAAAGACUCCAAAUUGCAUCAAACAAAUUGUUGUUAAACAAGUAAAACAAAGAAAGAGAGUUAAGGAAGCUGACCUAGUAGUAGGGGAGCUGAAGAAAGACUGCCAGUGAAUGUAAGAGAAAAUAAAAUGCAAGAAAUGGUGAAGUGCAGCUUUUCAUGUCAACUUGAAAUUGUUUCUUCUGUUUUUUGUAAUCUUUUGGAUUUUUCAAACAAAGAAAAUGAGGAGCAACCAGGGAGAUAAAAAGGGCGCCAAGGCAACUGUGUGUUGGGUUUAGAGCCAAAAAAAAAAAAGAAUAAGACAUCGUGUUCUUGUGGAGACCAGACCUAUUACGUAUAGGGAUGGCAAUGGGGCGGGGUGGGGGUGGGGAUGCCUACCCCAUUCCCCACCCCAUUAAAAAUUUUUGCCUCCAUUCCCCACCCCAUUCCCCAAUAAAUUUAGUGGGUUGGGGAUGGGGAAUCCCCACGUGGGGAAUGAUUCUCCCAUCCCCACCCCAUUCCCCAUUUACAUAUUUUAUAGUAGAUAUAAAAAUAUGAUUUCAGUAAAUUAAAAAUUAGAGACUUAAGAUAAAAUCAUCACAAUAUUAUAAAGUAUUUAAUUUUAAAAAAAAAUCUCUAAAAAUUUGAAACAAUAUCUUAAAAUGAUAUUAAAAGUGAAAAAUAUUUAAAGAAAGCAGCACCUUAAAAGAGAAAAGAAAAUAUAUUAAUGUUUUAAAGUUGAAAAAUAUUGUAGAAUUUUCUUUUAUUCAUAUUCUAUUUAUAUUACAUAAAAAUUAAAAAAAAUUAUUAAUUGACAUUAUAGUUGAUAAAAUAUAAAUUAUUAAAUAAGAAUUAAAAACAUAUUUAUAUAUAAUGGGGAUUGGGGUGGGAGUGGGGUGGGGAGUGCAAUACCAAACCCCACCCCGUUAACAAUUUGGGGAUUAUUUUUUCCCCACUCCCCACCCCAUUCCCCAAAAAUUAUUAAAAAAUUUCCCCAUUUGGGGUGGGGCUCCAUGGGGCCCCAAACCCGUGGAGGAUUUUGCCAUCCCUAAUUACGUAACGUCCCCUUCAAUACCACUUGUUCCGUAUCUGGUUUUUUCUUCGUCUUUUACAUAUUUAUCCUGUGAUUUUACAAUAACUAAAUAAUCCCCGCAUAGUUUGCAAUUUUAUUCAUUUGGGCCCUACAGAUUUCAGUAAUAGGAAUUAUUAAGGGACAAGAGCGCAAAACAGAAACUCUGUCCACUACUGAUGAUAUAACAACGAACCUUUGUAGUUUCUGCCUGUUAAUAUGAAUUGAUCAGGAGUGUUUCCUCACUUACAAAUUACGAAUUUACAAAAUAUGUAUGUAAGUAUGUGUGUACGUACGUGUGUAUGUAUGUACAUAUAUGCAUACACCUAUGUAACAUUUACUUAUACAUUCUUUUGAGUUUAAAUCUUAAUACACAUUUUCAUGAAAUUUUUAUUUUAUUAAGUAUACAACUACAUACAACUACAUUAAUGUAUAUAUUUUUUAUAUAAGACAUGCCGUCCUAUUAUUCAUAAGUAAACAAUGUGUUGUAAAUAGUAUUCUGUGUUUUCUCAAAGUUGACUUUUCGUCUUUUAUUUUCAGACGCAGACGCUAUGUCAUUUUGUAAUCUUCAAAACAUAUGCAGAGCAGAAUUGGUGUUAUAUGAUUUUGUGAUGCAAUAAGAUUUGCACUUCCUGUGCACUCAAUGGAAUCAUUUCUUUGUAACUAAUUGGGUGGUGGAAUGGUGGUCAAAUAUCGAACGAAGACAGAUCUAUCAAACUCCAGAAACAGGGAAACCAUGCCACGCUAGUAGACAAUAUGCUAGUAUGAACAAACUUGUUUGAAUGGCAAAAACGACAUGACCUGCUGUAGUAUUAGUUCUUUCCCGAACCAAAGGGUGAUUUGCUACGUUAGAUCAUGAAAAUUGAAAAAAAAAAUUAACCAAAAUAAAAAUUCUUACGGUAAGAAUAAAAAUUCUUAAGGAAUUAGUUAGUUAAUUGAUUGAUCGAAUUUAAUCUAAAUUGGAAAAUGAUAAGAUAAUUUUGAAUUUUUUAUUAUAAUUAUUAUUUUAAAGUGGGGUGGGUUUAUACAAUUUGAGGCUUUGAGCGGUGUAAAUAUCACUGCUGAAUUAUUAAAUAUACAGUGUAAAAUUUUGACCUUUAAAAUAUUCCUUUUUUUCAUUUAGCACUAUAAGUUUAAAAAUUUAACAUUUUACCUCAAUAAUUAAAUACUUUUAACUUUAAUCUUCAAAUAUUUACCCUACAACAUUCGGACCUAAAUUUUUAAUCCGACUCGGCCCCUGACCCAAGUGGGAAGAAGAUCAGGCUUAUAAGUUAUAACUAUCACCAACAUAACAUCUUCUGGAAAAUAAUAAGAUUACUCACCUGCAAUUAUGUGAUCAAACUAAUGGUAAGCAAAAUAGAACAGCGUUAUUUCAGUCCCCUUUCAGUUUCUUUAUCAUUUUUCUUUUCCUAUUUAUAAGCUUAAUUCGGUCCAAUAUCGGCUAAUUCACUUUGAUUUCACUUUUCUUUCUUUCGGUUCAAAAAAAUUGAACCCAUUGGCUGUCAAUUCAAUUUUGUUGAAAACCAACUUUGCCUGAAUUUGAGUAAUAAUAGAGGAAAAAAAAAGUGUACUUAGCAGAAGAGAUUUCUCAUUUUUUUCUCAUUCAAACUUCUAAAAUAAAGGGAAAAAAAAAACAAGAGUAAUUGUUAAUUAUCAAAAAUUUGUUUAUACUAUUCCACCAAGAAAAUUAUAAAAAAAAAAUUUAAAAAUUGGAGAAGAAAUAUGAGGUGAAAUACGUGGAUGGCUUAGACUAAUAAUGUGAACAAAUUCCUCUCGGAAACAUGUCAUUGUUCAUCCGGACAACACGCGGCAAUGAGAUUCAAGAAUUAAAUGAUAGGAAUCAACUGUAACCUCAUAAACAAAUGGCCUUGGAGUUGUAAACACCAAGCUCGGCAGAUUAAUUAAACAAGAAUAUCCGAAUUUUCUAUGAUAAUCUCUAGGAAACGAUCAGCUAUAAUAUACGAAAUUAAAAUAUUGCAUAUAUUUUUGAACUCAUGCAUUAAUUUCAAAAAUUAUAUCGUAUUAUAAUUUAUUCACAAAAGAAAGAAAAAUUCACUAAUCAAUUGAAUAAAUAUAAGUAUUUCAUCCAGUGUAAUACUUAUAUCAAUUGAAUAAAUAUAAGAAAAAUCACCAAAAUUCACUAAUCAAUUGGAUAAAUAUAAGUAUUUCUUCCAGUGUAAUUUUUGUUUAAUAGAAAAUCUAUUUGAGAUUUUGUGAGAAGAAACUCAACAAUAAAGUGUGAUAGACUUUGUGGGUAUUAAGAGUUUGACAAGUAUUUGAAAUCUGAAGUUUACGAGCAAACAAACUGAAAUCCGAAGUUUACUGAAGUUUACUAUCAAGAGUUUCAAAACAGUGAAAAAGAUGAUAUAGUUGAUGACAAAAACCUGAGUUAUCCAUAGCGACAAGUAACAUACUGAAGUAAGCCGUUGGGAGCUGGCCUGUUCAUGGGCUAUUUUUCUCUGAUGAUCUGCAUUUUUCUUCCUUUUAAGUGAACCUUGACUCGUAUCAAACCUGUCAAAAGAACAGUUCAUCAACUGAGCUGAGAUUUGCUUUCCUUUUUCAAAACCCACCUGAGAUAUUGUAAUUCCCAAAUUUCUCUCUCUCAGCUACACGAGCAAGCAGCCGCUUUUUCACUUCAUCGAAGAAGGUAAGCGAUAUAUCUAUUUCGUCCGAUUGAUUUCUUGUUUCCUUUUCAGUGUUCCGGUAAAUUAUUGGCAUGCCUGACUUUUUGACCAUUACACGAUUCAUAAAUUUAUAUUAAUUUUGAUUUUGAGUUGACCGUUUACUUUUACAGGUUUGCUUACUUUGACUAGGUGACCAAUUUCUUGUAACUAAAUUUAUGACGUGGGCAGGAUAUGAAAUGAGAAUCUUAUUAGUGGAAGGAUUGCCAGUAACAGAACCCAAAGAAAAUGAAACCAUUUCAAGGCAGCAGUUGGCAGUUGGCAGUGAAUGGAGGCCCCUGACAAAACUUCAGUAAACUUCAGAUUUCAGUUUGUUUGCCCGAAAAUUGCAUGGUGACAAGGAUACUGGCAAGGAUAAUGAGAUAGUUUUUGUGUGAAUGAAAUUACGAUCAUCCUCAGCCUCGGGUAAUUUCUUCUCCUGCUUAGUUGUUAUUUGUUACCUAAUUAAGAAGCAUAAAGUAUCUUGAAUCAUUUUCGUUGUCCGGAAUAUAUGCAACAGUUUUUUACGAUCAUCCUGAAUGACUACUAGAGACAGUCAAGCUAAUGACUAUAAAUUAAGCGCUUCUUGGGAGGUAACCCAAGCUUUCUAAACUUUAUUAUUGUCAAUUUUUUUUCAUAUUUUUUUCUUUUCUUUUACUUAUUUUAUUUUGUUUUAUCUAGAUUUUGCACGAGUUCGAGGGUCGAUGAACAUCAACUUUCCACAUGUCUUUCAACGGCUUAGCUACAACUUUACAUCUUCAAGUGCAAAACCGGGGGAGUUUCUCUUUUCCUUUUCUUUUUCUUUACAUUGAGGACAAUGUUUAUUUUAAGUUUGGGGGUGGGAAUAUUUGCUUUUCAUUUUUUUCCCAAAAAAAAAAGAUUUUAAUGCCUAUGAUGAGUUUAUGAUUGAAAAUGAAUAUGGUUCUUAGAAAGGGAUGAAUAUUAUCUUAGUUUAUACUUGAUUCUUGUGUUAGUUUCGUCUUGAUUGAGAUUCUUUAAAGCGAUUCUUUUAGAAUUUUGACUUGAGAUUUGAGAUUGAUACAGCCUAAGUUGAGAAUUUUAGAUUGAGUAAAUGAUUGUUUGCCUCGAUUCUACAUUACUUAAGUUUACCCAGGCACCAUAGUCAGAAAUAGCUACCUACAACCCUUAAGAGUGAAGCUAUCCUCGAGUAAUUUGGGCCUAUGUAUCACCAGUAUGUAGAGGAUAAUCUACCAUGAGAAGAAGGUUACCUUAAGGGGUAGAGUGAAAGCUCCUGACUAUGGACAAAGAAAUGAAAAAAAAAAAGAAAAAAAAAAGAGCACGAGCUUCAAGAAAAAUCAAAAGAAAAUGCUAAUUUAUGCCUGAGAAAAAAAAAAAAAGAUCAAGAUGAUGAGGUUAGUUUGACCUACCCUGUUUAUUAUUCGAGACAAGGGCUGUUGAUGUUGAAGAUCUUGAGAAUGAGUUUUGAUUGAAUUGAUUCACACACAACACAUGAAUCCAAUAUGAGAUGAGGCUGACCAUUGAAUUAAAGUUAGAACUUUGCUAGUAUUUUUAAUUUUCUUUGAGCUAUAUACUUUAUGCAAUCUUUGAGGCAUUUUUUAUGAUGUUUGUGGGUAUCAUCGCUGGAAACCCUCACGAGACUAUAACUCGUCCACUAGGGCCGCCUAGGGGUUUAAAGGCUUGUUGCAUACGCUAAAUGCAAUCGCGAUCACCUGCGAAAGUGGUUUAGUUAGAAUUUUCUUUUCGUAGUUUUUAUUUUAGUUUUUGCUCGAGGACUAGCAAAAUGUUAAGUUUGGGGGUAUUUGAUGUGCUCAUAAUUUAUCUAUUAUUUUAAUGCUUCCAUAACUUAAUUUUAUGUUAAAUUAUAUUUUAUUAUAUUAAUUUUUAUCUUAAUUUUUAUAUUUUGUCAUUGUAGGAAUAUUGAGAAUAUUCAUGAGAAAAGAAGCUUAAAGAGGAAACAAGUUGGAGUAUAAUGGAAAUAAUGUGGAAGCAAGAGGGAAAGAAAUAAAAAGCCAAAUCAAAGAAAAUUUAAUUUAAGCAUCAUGCAUGCAGUCACGUGAUGAAUAAAGGAAGAGAAGAAAAGGUCAAUAGGCUUUUAAUUUCAAGCUAGUUACGUAGAGCCCAUUUGACAAUUUAAAUGGCAAGCUUACAAUAUAUUAAAGGAAGCAAAUAUUUUGGCAUUGUUUGAAAAGGCUAUUCACGUGGAUGGGCUUUGGUUUCAAUUUUGAUUGGCUUAGGAAUGAAAUAGGCGGCUGGGCUUUUGUUUUUAAUUCCUUUCAUAAGAGGAUUUGACAAGCCACAACAUUAUAAAAAGGGAAAAGCCAAGCGGAAGCCAAAAAAAAAAAAAAAAUAAUAGAGCAGCAGCCGCAAGUUUUGAGCAAAACCGAGAGCAGCAUGAAUAAUUUGGAGCAGAAGGAAGACACAUUAAUUCUUGAGUUUUUCUUUCUCUCUUCUCUAUUAUCUUAUUUGAAUGUUUCCCAUUAAAUUCAUGGAUUAUCUUUAUAUUCCCAUGAACUAAUUUAUUUUACUAGAGCUACGAUGUCCUAGUGUUUUAAUCUCUUGGUGAUUUCUAUUACUGCUUGCAUCUUUAUUUGAUUUUUAGUUAUUUUAAUUUUUAAUUUAAAUUCGCUUAUUUGAUUGUUCAAAUAAAUUAGGGUUAGGAUAAUUUCGGUAACUAAUAGGAUAUUCAAUCUCAGUGGGAUGAUACUCUACUCUUCACUAUAUUACUUGUGCCGACUAGUACACUUGCUAAUUUAUGCAAUAGUUGACAGUUGGGAGUGAAUGGAGGCCCUUGACGAAACUUCAGUAAACUUCAGAUUUCAGUUUGUUUGCUCGAAACUUGCAUGGUGACAAGGAUACUGGCAAGGAUAAUGAGAUAGUUUUUGUGUGAAUGAAAUUAUGAUUAUCCUCAGCCUCAGGUAAUUUCUUCUCCUGCUUAGUUGUUAUUUGUUACCUAAUUAAGAAGCAUAAAGUAUCUUGAAUCAUUUUCGUUGUCUGGAAUAUAUGCAACAAUUUUUAAAAUUUUGAUAUGAGUGCAAUGAUUGUAAUUUCUGUUUUCUGUCUGUCAUCGAAUGUAAGACAACUUUAUUAAGAUUCUUGAACCGAGUCAUUUUUGACAAUUGAAGGACAAGUGCUGAAGAGUGGGAAUGCAAAAAGUUUUGUUGUUUUUAGCCUUGUUUUCUUUGAACCAGCGCCUGAUUCACAAGACUCCAUUAAUUUGGCUUUUGAUCAGCUGAUUGAUAAAUGUUCAAUUUCUUUGGUGAUAAAUGUAAUUGUGAAGCAGGCAGCAGGGCAUGACUGUGGAAAAGAGAAGAUUUUAGUGAAAGCCGAGACUCAGAUAAUUCUACGCGUUUUGGUUGAUUUAUAUAAUUCGUGAAAUUUUAUUUCCAUCUGUUACAAGAUCAAACUGCAAUUAGCAAUUUAACAUUCCCUUAAAACCACUAGCUACAUUUCAUCUUUGCACAAUUACACUUAAAAUUCCACUAAAAGAAACUCUUGAGUUGCUCGCAAGCUAUAUAUCAUUAUUCAUUGAAUUCUUACUGUUGAUGCGAGAUUCUGGUUACACUCUUCCGGCUACCAGGAUAUCUGCUCGAUCAACCUCACCUCGACUAGGAUCUCUCCUCGUAUGCUUUCUUCUCCAAGUACUCAUGCGUUCACAGAAACAAGUCAGAGCACGCCGGUUGUUUUCCCGGCGUAAACCCUCCGACGCUCAAGUCAGAUAUGAAGGCUUUGGGAACGCUUGCCACAGAUCUUAUGGCUUUGUAAAUAGUUUUCUCUUCUUUUCAAUUUCCUUAAUCUCUCUUCUAAUCUCGAAAUUGCUAACCCUUUUACCUUCGCUGGCUACCUUUUUAUAGGCCACUUCUGAGCCCAGGCCUUUUUCCCUUUGCGCUCGUCAUCCUCCCACUUCUCGAAAGUGGAUGCUCCAUUUCCGUAGUCGUGGGUGGUUGCGUGGCCCUCGUGCCUAGAUUCUCGGACUGGAAAGCAUGCCACGCCAACUGUCGUUGACCGGGUCUUCUCGAAUCAACCCUUAGCAGGAAUACAGCAGGAAUGGCUUCAGGCUUCUUAUAGGAGAUUGGCCUCGCGGAUGACGUGCUCGUGGACGAGCAGGGUAUUCCUGCUCCUGCUCCUGCUCCCCCGGAUGCCAGGCUCUUACGGGACCCAUCGGCUCGCAGAACUCUACCAUCAGAUAUCUGCUCAUCAUGCCUGGUCUCGUCGACGUAUUUCUCCUAAACACCGGUCCCCCAGUUUCUGGUGUUGGGUAAUGUAGUGGACCAGCAGUAGAAACUCGACAGUACUUGCUCGCGUGGGGUUGGAAAAGGCUUCCAAGAGUCAUGUCGCAUUUAAUUGCGGACGAGGUGAUGUGGCAGAGAUCUAACCCUCCAUUUGAAUUUCAAACCAACGGUUACGAGACCCUUGGGAUUUGGUGCCGUUAAAUGCUGGCAACCCAAGAUUUCGUCCCCAUUAGGAAACCCAAAUCCUUUCGAACGACAAAUUCAUCAUUCACUCCGUCUCCAUCUCUGUCUCUCCGGCAAAGAAGUUCCAGCAUAAAGGCCUCCAUCUCUGUCUUUCACCGACUGAACCAUUACUUCAGGUAUUUCUUCUAUUUCCUUAGUCUCGGAUAGUUGUAGAUAAUUUCUCUUCUCUUUUGCUUGGGUAGUAGUUGGUGGUGGUGUUGUGGUUAGAGCUUAGGGAAUGUCGAAAGGCAAAGAGAAUGUCAUUGAGGUUGACGACGAUGAGUUGGACUUCCUGCCUAGUUUGCUCACCGAUCCUGCUUUUGACCCCGGGAUCCCCUUAGAGCUCAUUAGAUCUAGUGUUGGCACUAGCGCUAGGAGGAUGUCCCCCCAAACAACCUCCACGAGUGGAAGUAGUGGUGAGGAGAGACCCUCUGGCUCGGAAGACACCCUAAGUGAGGAUCAAUGAGGUGACUCUGGGGAGGGGUCUUCACCAGGAACACCGCGACCAGAAGGGUGUAGUACAGUAGGAGGUAGAGCCUUGUCGCGGGAUUAUGCCAUUGAUUACAUGACCUGUACGACCACAUUCAACGAGCUGGAUGACCUCCGGCUCAGGUAUAGCAUUCCUGGUGAAAUUCCUCUCAAGAUCCCAGGAAAGAAGGAUACACCUAGCCGGCCUCCUCGGGGAUACGUUACCCUAUUUUUGGAGAGUUUUAGGCAUGGGCUGAGGUGUCCCUUGCAACCCUACUUUGCCCGGAUUCUUAACGGGCUAAACCUAGCUCCUGGUCAGCUGAACCCCAACGGGUGGAGAGUGCUCUCUGGUCUGUUCAUACUGUGGGACAGAUGUUGUCAAAGCGAGCCCACGGUCGACGAGGUGAAGCACCUGUACCAACUGAAAAGCAGCCCCAAAGACGUCGGCUGGUAUUACUUCCAAUCAAGUACCAAGAUCAGAAAACCCAUAACCGAUCUUCUUACUGGUGAUGGUGGGAAUUGGAAGAGGAAGUUCUUCUUCGCAGGGGGUCCCUUGUUGUUUGCACUUCACUGGUUUGUCUCUAAUCAAAUGUUUGUUUGUGUUGCAGGUUCUUGGGGUGUCCACUUCCCGCUUAAACCUGACCAGCUCAAACGAGUCGAGGCUGUACUAGCCAAUUCCUGCUCGAACCGAGAGCUGUUAACUAUAUACAACUUGCUCGAGUCUCGCUUGAUGCUUCCUGGCCAUAGGAUGGAGGACGCUGUGAUUGGGGCUCUGACCAGGAAACGUUCUCGACCUCCAACCACGAAGAGGGACCAGAGUAAGGACGCCCCUACUGCAAAGCGGGCCAACGUCGUGCAGCAGGUCUCUCCCUUGAAGACUUUACCUCCUGCUCCUGUCAAAGUCGGGGAAACUAGUGGAGCAGCCACAGAUCCUGCUUCCUCUUCUUCUCCUGUCGGCACUCGGUCUCGCUUACCUGACAGCCGAUCAGAACAAUUGGUCCCCUAUCUCAAUGAGUUAUCUAACCUCGUGAGCAAGAAUGACAUGGAGGACUUCGAUGGCUGCACCUUGGGUGAGCUGGUGGGGGCCAUGCAGUAUAGCGCUUUUCACCUCAGCUGCAUGACCACCUAUUACAAGGCCAAGGUUGGGCGCUACGACCGAAAGAUGAAGGAGGACAUUCAAUCGGCGACGACUAGAGCUGGCGUUGCCGAGAAAAAGGCAGGGGAGCUGAAUGUUGAGAACCUCAAGCUGAUGGAGCAGGAAUCUCUUGCUCAAGCAAAAGCCAUUACCCUCGAGGAGGAGCUGACCAAGGUCAAGGGGGAUCUGCAAAGGCAGAAGGCCACGUAUGAGGCUCAGCUCGAAUCCCUCCGCGACUCCCACCGGGCUCACGUCGAGAACUUGGAGAGGGAGGCCAAGAACCAGUAUGACCAGGGACUUCGGCAUUCCUAUCGUUGCAUCAUGGCCGUCCUCGGGAAGCAGCACCCUGAUCUGAAGAUGGAUGAUCUUGCAGUUGGUGUUGCUCAACAUAUGGACGAGGAAGCGGCCAAGGAAGAUGCCGAAGGGGUAGAGCCGAUCGUGAUUGAGGGGGAAAACUCUCCUCCUCGCACAAUCCCUGCUGACGUUGGCGAGGCGAGCACCGCUACUGAUGUUGGCGAGGCGCGCACCCCCCCGGACGCAACUGGUGAUACCCCCCCCCCGCACCUGAGGAGGUCCAGCCAACCAAUGCUGCUCGGCUUACUGAUCCGCCAUCUUCUUGAUAUAUUUCUUGUAUUGUAAUGAACAACGUUGAUGGAGAUUAUCUCCUCUGUUAAUUAUUAACACAUAAAUAAAGAUGUUUUUGAUUAUUUUCGUGUUGUAAUCAUGAGUUAUUUUUCGUUUAAUAAUCUGCCCGUCAUCGUCUGGUUGAGCAGGUUCUGGCCUGGCAUAUGGUUUUACCACAUGCCCUAGAAAAUUCUUCAAUGAUUGAGAUUCUGCUCGCCUUCGCGUGGUCGAGCAGAUCCUGGCACGCUUGGCUUCUGUCUCGCCAUAAACAGGCUUUGAGACUCGACGAGCCUUUGCAUGCCUUAGAAAUAUUUUUUUUUUUCGAUGCUUGGGGGUUCUGCUCGCCUUCGCGUGGUCGAGCAGACCCUGGCACGCUUGGCUUCUGUCUCGCCAUAAACAGGCUUUGAGACUUGACGAGCCUUUGCAUGCCUUAGAGAUUUUUUCGAUGCUUGGGGAUUCUGCUCGCCGUCACGUGGUCGAGCAGAUCUUGGCACGCUUGGCUUCUGUCUCGUCAUAAACAGGCUUUGAGACUUGACGAGCCUUUGCAUGCCUUGGAGAUUUUUUCGAUGCUUGGGGAUUCUGCUCGCCGUCACGUGGUCGAGCAGAUCCUGGCACGCUUGGCUUCUGUCUCGCCAUAAACAGGCUUUGAGACUUGACGAGCCUUUGCAUGCCUUAGAGAUUUUUUCGAUGCUUGGGGAUUCUGCUCGCCGUCACGUGGUCGAGCAGAUCCUGGCACGCUUGGCUUCUGUCUCGCCAUAAACAGGCUUUGAGACUUGACGAGCCUUUGCAUGCCUUGGAGAUUUUUUCGAUGCUUGGGGAUUCUGCUCGCCGUCACGUGGUCGAGCAGAUCCUGGCACGCUUGGCUUCUGUCUCGCCAUAAACAGGCUUUGAGACUUGACGAGCCUUUGCAUGCCUUAGAGAUUUUUUCGAUGCUUGGGGAUUCUGCUCGCCGUCACGUGGUCGAGCAGAUCCUGGCACGCUUGGCUUCUGUCUCGCCAUAAACAGGUUUUGAGACUUGACGAGCCUUUGCAUGCCUUGGAGAUUUUUUCGAUGCUUGGGGAUUCUGCUCGCCGUCACGUGGUCGAGCAGAUCCUGGCACGCUUGGCUUCUGUCUCGCCAUAAACAGGCUUUGAGACUUGACGAGCCUUUGCAUGCCUUGGAGAUUUUUUCGAUGCUUGGGGAUUCUGCUCGCCGUCACGUGGUCGAGCAGAUCCUGGCACGCUUGGCUUCUGUCUCGCCAUAAACAGGCUUUGAGACUUGACGAGCCUUUGCAUGCCUUAGAAAUUUUUCACAGUUUCAAGUGAAUGAAAUUCCUCGACGUUCCAUUAAUUGUAGGAUUCAACUUACAUGAAAAUGUUUGGUCGUAAAAUAAAUAACAGCAAAUACGAACAGAAAGAUCUUGAAAAUAUUAACGACUCUUACUGGAAAUAUUUCCUGAGAUGUGCUGCGUUCCAUGGGCGCUUCACCUCGUGGCCAUCCAUGCGAACCAGCUUGUAAGCUCCUGGUCCCACUAGCUGCUUGACUCUAUAUGGCCCCUCCCAAUUUGGACCGAGCACUCUUUGAGUCGAGUCUUUGGUGUUCUGAUUCACUCUCCUUAACACCCAAUCUCCGACCUUGAACUGCCGUAUGUUCACCUUCUGGUUAUAAUACCGGGCAACCCUCUGCUGGUAAAUGACUGAUCGCUCGGCUGCUUGCUCCCUCUUUUCCGUUAGCAGAUCAAGAUUCAAACAUAUCUGCUCGUCGUUCUCCUGUUCAUUGAAAUGAUAUGUCCGGUGCGUGGUCGUUCCUAUCUCAGUUGGCACGACCGCUUCAUGUCCAAAAGCCAAGGCGAACGGUGUCUCCCCAGUUGCUGUUUUGUGGGUUGUUCUGUAUGCCCAUAGCACACCUGACAGCUCAUCAACCCAUGCACCCUUUUUUGCUCCCAGCCUGGUUUUCAAAAGCCUCUUGAUGGUCUUGUUGGCUGCUUCUACUUGUCCAUUCGAUUGGGGGUGAGCAGGCGAGCAAUACUUCAGCUCUAUUCCGAGGUUCUGGCAGAAAUCCCUGAAGCUGUGAUUAUCGAAUUGUCUGCCAUUAUCCGUUACCAGGGCAUAAGGGAUCCCGUAUCGACAGACCAGGUUUCUCCACACAAAGUCUGUUGUUUUCUUCUCUGUGAUCUUGCUAAGGGCUUCUACCUCUAUCCAUUUCGUGAAGUAGUCUAUAGCAACUAUUGCAUGUGUUGCUGCUCCUCGUCCCUUUGGCAGCGGGCCGAUCAGAUCAAUUCCCCAUUGAGCAAAUGGCCAAGGGGAGGCCAUAGAGGUGAGCUUUUCUGGUGGUUGGUUGGAGAAACUUGCAAAACUCUGGCAACUUACACAGCUCCUGGUCUUCUCCUGUGCAUCCUGGUGCAUUGUCGGCCAGAAAUAUCCCUGCCUUAGAACCUUGUGGGCCAGGGACCUCCCACCAGAAUGAUUCCCGCAAAUUCCUUCAUGUACUUCUCUCAGUACGUAAUCUGCGUCGUCCUCAUCCAAACAUCGGAGGAAAGGUAGUAUAUAUCCUCGCCGAUACAGUACCCCAUCAAUCAUCGUGUAUCUUGAGGCCUGGGCUCUAACCUUCCGAGCUCGCAGCUUAUCUGGUGGUAAUACCCCGUCUCUGAGGUAUGAAAUUAUCGGGUCCAUGCACGAGCAUUUUUGUUCUAUCCGCAACACCCCCAAAUUCUGCUCGAUACUUGGGCUGGACUUCACCUCCAGAGGGACCGACUUUGGCAUUUUUGGGUCGGCUACUGCUGCCAUCCUGGCCAAAGUGUCUGCUCGACUAUUCUGCUCCCUGGGGAUCUGUAUCACCUCCACUGCUUCAAAUUUCCCCAUCAUCUGCCUGACUAUCUUCAGGUACUGCUCCAUCUUCUUCUCUCUUGGUUGGAAUCUUUCGCUGACAUGAUUCGCAACCAGCUGGGAAUAAGUUCUGAUCUUCACUCUGUCUGCUUUCACGGCCUUAGCCAAUUCCAAACCUGCUAUCAAGGCUUCAUACUCUGCCUGGUUAUUUGUGGCUCCAAAUUCCAACUUCACAACAUAAGAGAUCUCCUCCCCCUCCGGGCCUUCCAAGACAAUCCCUGCUCCAGAACCCUGCUCCCCUGAUGACCCAUCCACAUACAUCUGCCAUACUUGAGCUUCGCCACUGUCUGUGACUACAUCUGGUCCAUCUAAACAUACUUCGGGCUCUGUGAAUUCAGCUACGAAAUCGGCCAUUGCCUGAGCCUUUAUCGCUGCUCGGGGUUUGUAGUCUAUGUCGAACUCGCUCAGCUCUAUAGCCCACUUGACGAGCCGACCAGAAGCAUCUGGCUUGUGCACAGUUUGACGCAAUGACUGGUUUGUUAUUACCGAGACCGGGAAUGCUUGGAAAUAUGGCCUCAACUUCCGAGCCGCAACCACAAGGGCAAGUGCCCAUUUCUCCAACGGUGGGUAUCUGGUCUCAGCGUCGAGCAGGGCCUUGCUUGUGUAGUAUAUCGGAUACUGAACUCCUUCUUCCUCUCUCACCAGAACAGAACUGGCGGCCCGAUCCGAUACCGCCAAAUACAGAUAUAACUUGUCCCCAUCCCUCGGUGUGGACAGUAGUGGAGCUUGCUGCAAGUAUUGCUUCAAGUUCUGGAAGGCUUCCUCGCAUUCUGGUGUCCAUUCUGUUUUCUUUCCCCUCCUUAUCACUUAAAAGAAUGGCUGACACUUGUCUGUAACCUUGGAUAUGAAUCUGCUCAACGCAGCCAACCUCCCCGUGAGGCUCUGCAUCUCCUUCAGGUUACGAGGAGACCUCAUCUGCACAAUUGCCUGGAUUUUCUCCGGAUUUGCUUCAAUCCCCCUAUGGCUCACCAUGAAUCCAAGGAAUUUCCCUGACUCGACCCCAAAAGCACACUUCUCCGGGUUGAGCUUCAUCUUAUACUUCCUCAAAAGCCCGAAUGUCUCCUCGAGGUGCCUGACAUGUUCCUUCGAGAUUUUGGAUUUGGUGAUCAUGUCGUCCACGUACACCUCCAUGGUUUUCCCAAUCAACGGCUUAAAGACUUUGUUCACCAGCCUCUGAUAGGUGGCCCCAGCAUUUUUUAGACCAAAUGGUAUUACCCUGUAACAGAACAAACCCUGGUUAGUGAUGAAAGCCGUGCUCUCCUCAUCCUGCUCGUACAUGGGGAUUUGGUUGUAUCCCGAGAACGCGUCCAUGAAACUAAGCAGACCGUGUCCAGCCGUUGAAUCUACUAGUUGAUCGAUCUUUGGUAAAGGGAAGCUGUCUUUUGGGCACGCCUUAUUAAGGUCUGUGAAAUCCACACACAUCCUCCACUUGCCAUUUGCCUUCUUUACCAACACCACAUUCGAUAUCCAUUCAGGGUAAUUGACUUCCCGAAUGAACCCUGCUCUCAAGAGCUUCUCCACCUCGACAUUUAUAGCCUCAUACCUCUCCUGAUUGAAGCACCUCCUCUUCUGCCUUACUGCCCGAGCACCUUUCUUUAUUGCCAGCUUAUGACAUGCUACCUCAGGGUCAAUCCCUGGCAUAUCUUCAUGUGUCCAAGCAAACACAUCUGCAUGAGCCUGUAAGCAUUUCACUAACUCCUGCUUUUGCUCUCCCUUAAGUCUCGACCCGAUUCUGAUUGUUUUUCCCGGAUUCUCUGGUCCCAGGCUUACUGUUUCCAGAUCCUCUACAGGUUCUUGUCUGCCAUUCUUGUUUUCCACUCGGGUAUCGAGGGAUGUUAUCUGCAUUGCUUCCCUUGCUGCUGAGGAGUAGCAGCUUCUUGCGAUCCUCUGAUCUCCUCGUACCACUCCAACUACCCCAUUCACCCGGUACUUCAGAGCCAGAUAAUGGUUGGACAGCAUCGCUUUGCUCAUCCUCAGAAAUGGCCGACCUAGGAUCAUCUGGUAAGGACCUUCCUCAUCCACUACCAUAAAGUCCAGUAUCAUUGUCCUUUCUGUCGGGGAGCUCCCAAUCGUGAUAGGCAGCUCGACCAUGCCCAGAGGGACCAGCCUUCCUCCUCCAAACCCCUUCAAGGAGGUAUUGGUGUAAUCCAACUUCAGGUCUGCUAUUCUCAUCUCCUUCAGGGUUGACUUAAACAACACAUCAACUGAACUCCCUGUGUCAACCAGUAUCCUGUCAAACUUCUUGCUAGCAACAGUGGCCUUGAUGACCAAAGCAUCCUCGUGGGGGUAUAUGAUCCCUUCUUCAUCCUCAUCUGUCCACAUGAUUGGCACUUGCCUGACUCUUGCACGUUUGGCUGCUGGGGUGUUGAAGAAUACCUUUUUGCUGGUCAUGGCGUAUCUAGCAUAAUUUUUCCUCGAUCUGUUAGAAUCUCCGGCCAAUGUUGGGCCCUCAGCUAUAACCCUUACUGCAGGCUGCUCGCGCCUCAAGUUCCUGUCACUCUGCUCCCCUUCACUUGUUGAGGCUACCAUUGGGAAGGUCCCAUCUACGAACUCGUCCAGAUACCGAUUUCUCACUAAAUCUUCAACCUGGGUCUUAAGAUCUCUGCAAUCUGCUGUGGUGUGGCCAUGAGUGCCAUGGAACUUACAAUAGCGUCCCCUAUCCCUCAUGCUGGGUAGCUUGGUUAUUGGAGCAGGGAGGUAUAGCAACCCCCGAUCCUUUAUGGCCUCGUACACCUCGUCCAGGGACAUCUUCAAGGAAGUGUACCGCCCAUAGUCCUAGUUCUGGUCGAUCAGGUGUACUGCUCUUUCUCUGUUUGCUCCGUUCUGGGUUGGGGGCGGUGGCAGUACUUCUGGUCUGCUCCCUCUGCUACCGUGGGAGUGUUGAUGAGCACCAUAUGAUGAAUCAUGCCUUCUCCAAGGCUCCCUAGCUGUGGAACGAGGAGGCUGCGCCCUGCUGCGCUGAUACUGUGGUGGGCUCUGAUGAGGCUGGUAAGCAAUUACCCGACCUCCUGCUCCAUUACCCGAGGCCUGGUGGUCCCUCCUCCUGAUCGGCCCAUUCCCCGGUAAUGCUUUCUUCUCUUUCCUCCCCAACCCUUCUAACUGGUCUAUCUUAAUUCGUGCUGCCUUCUCCUCUUCAAUCUCAAUGUCUCUCUUAGCCUGCUCGUAUGCGGCCGCAUACGUCUGGAUAGCUGGGCUUCUCAAAUUGUACCACAGCCUUCCUAUCUUCACCCUUUCUUUCAAUCCCCUUAACGCCUGAGGGUGGUUGAAGGCUCCCAAGUCGAGGACAGCCCGAUGAAACCUCUUGAUGAAUUCCCGAAGGGUUUCUUGCUCCCCCUGUUUCAUGCUUUUCAGCUCCAUCAUGUCAUCUUCUGGGGCCAUUGCCCCACUAAACUGCUCUGCGAAUUCCUGGCACAUCUGCUCGAAGGUUUUAAUGCUGCCCCGAGGAAGUUUCCUGUACCACUCGCGUGCACGUCCCUCCAGGGAUAGUGGAAACACCCUGCACCUUUGGGGCUGAGAUAAUCCUUGUACCCCCGUUAUGUCAUUGAAGCGUUCUAUGUGCACCAGCGGAUCAGUUCGUCCCGAAUAUCUAAGGUCCGGGAGACGGAAAUCCCUCGGAAUAAUUGCCCUCAUGAUCUCUGCUGCGAGCAGUGAUUCUCCGUCCAGCAUUAUCCUCCAACCAGGAGCUCUGCUCCUUCCUUGCAUAUCGUCAAUUAUCUGCGCUAGUCUGCGCACUUCCUCCUCCAGCUGUACUGCACGACCAGGGUCACGUGCUGCAACUUGAUCCCUCUCUUGCUCUACAUCAUGCAAGUGUUGCCUCAACUCUGUUUCUUCUGCAUUCGCCACCCCGUCGUCCUCGUAAAAAAUCUGUCUUGCCGGGGAUUGCUCUUCUUCUCUAUGAAAUUCUCCCCGUAGAGGUAUGUUACCUCUCUCACCACUAAAUCUCCCGGUGGUUUGACUUCUCCUCGUACCAUCGGGACCUGGUGUCACUCCACCACCUCUCACCAUUUCCUCCUGGGUUACCCUUCGUUCACUCCGCAACUCAUGCAGGAUGGUUGUCAGGGUCUCCAUCUGCUUUUCCAUCCGUUCCAUCCGGUCGAACAUGGCUUUUUCCCGUGCUUCGCUGGCUAUCUCCCUCAGCGUUACAGAAUCGUUAAGCCUCAUAUCACCCCCUUGUGCACUACUUCCUCCUGCCUCCAUUGCUUUUCACUUGCUUCACUCCUCUUCUUGCUAUCAACAGAAGCUUUUUGCUCAGCUCCCCACAGACGGCGCCAAAAUGUUGAUGCGAGAUUCUGGUUACACUCUUCCGGCUACCAGGACAUCUGCUCAAUCAACCUCACCUCGACCAGGAUCUCUCCUCGUAUGCUUUCUUCUCCAAGUACUCCUGCGUUCACAGAAACAAGUCAGAGCACGCCGGUUGUUUUCCCGGCGUAAACCCUCCGACGCUCAAGUCAGAUAUGAAGGCUUUGGGAACGCUUGCCACAGAUCUUAUGGCUUUGGAAAUAGUUUUCUCUUCUUUUCAAUUUCCUUAAUCUCUAUUCUAAUCUCGAAAUUGCUAACCCUUUUACCUUCGCUGGCUACCUUUUUAUAGGCCACUUCUGAGCCCAAGCCUUUUUCCCUUUGCGCUCGUCAUCCUCCCACUUCUCGAAAGUGGAUGCUCCAUUUCUGUAGUCGUGGGUGGUUGCGUGGCCCUCGUGCCUAGAUUCUCAGACUGGAAAGCAUGCCACGCCAACUGUCGUUGACCGGGUCUUCUCGAAUCAACCCUUAGCAGGAAUACAGCAGGAAUGGCUUCAGGCUUCUUACAGGAGAUUGGCCUCGCGGAUGACGUGCUCGUGGACGAGCAGGGUAUUCCUGCUCCUGCUCCUGCUCCCCCGGAUGCCAGGCUCUUACGGGACCCAUCGGCUCGCAGAACUCUACCAUCAGAUAUCUGCUCAUCAUGCCUGGUCUCGUCGACGUAUUUCUCCCAAACACUUACCACAUAUAUGUCACCUUUCAAUCAAUUGUUGAAAAAUUCAAAUUUGGAAUUCAAAUACAUGCAUUCAAAUUUGGAACACUUUGAACGGUCCGAUUCAAAACUUCAUAUUCCAAUUAUAUUCAUAAGACAAAUGGAACACUUUGAACGGCUUGUGUCCGAGCAUUGUAGUUUGAUUUAUUUUGAUGACAUUACCUUUUGACAUUGAGAUUCUUUCAGGAUUUAAACAUUCUUUUUAAAACCAAAUUAUUAAAAAAAAAUAACUAACAUAUAUUAUUUUAUUAGUGCUUUUUAAAUCAAAUAUACAUAGGAGAACUGUAAUUCUUAGCAAUCAAUUUUCCACUAAAUACACCUGCAACAAACUAUUAAUAACAAAGUGAUAGAAAAUACCUGAUUUUUCAUACUUUCUAAUUUCUUUUGGUCCUAAAAUAUGGGCAUUUGUGUAAUAAUAAGCCCAUGUGGAUCUCUAUGCCAUGAGUUUGAUAAAUAGCUAUCAAGGAUCACUUAUUAAGCUAAAAAUAUUUGGAGGACAAAAUUGUAAAACUAAAAGGGUGGAGCAAAUAUGGCUAUCUAGGAUUAAAUAGUAAGUCAACUAUAUUUAAAGGAUAAAAUAUUAAAACUUGAAUUGUGAUAUUAAAAAUAUCUCAACUAUUAUAUUAUUAAACCAUAUGUUCUAAUAGUUUUUUUUUUAAGCUUCAAAAUGUUCAGGAUUUUAGAUUGAAACAUUUUCAAUUGAAAUAAUUUGGUGCAGUCACAAGUUAAGAAAGAAAAAGUUGUCCCAUUGGUCAUUUCACAAAAAUGAAAGCCCUGUAUAACAUGGACGUGAAUGGAAACCCAAUUGUUUGUGUUUGAUUAAUUGAUUUCAAGCUUUAUCUAACCUUUGGACCUGGAUACUUUACUGCGGCCUCUAAGCGCUAUAAAUUUUUUUGGGGAUAAACGGCGCUUCAAUGAGGGCAUCUCCAAUGCUUAACACCAUUUUGGUGUAACACCAACAUUAAAAAUAUACAUUUUUCACACUAAAUUACUAUUUCAUCUCCAACCCAUUUACACCAAAUUUUACACCAAAAAUAAUAUUUUUUUUAUUCUUUUAAUUCUCAAGAAUUAAUUCAAUUAACACAAUAAAUACUACUAUUAACAUAGAUAAUUAAGUAAUAAGUAAUUUUAUCAAUUAACAAAAAAAAUAGAAAAUUAUUAAAUUUGCAUUUAAUUAACUAAAUUAGUACAUUAUGAAAAUUAAACAUUACAUUAAUAUAGAAAAAUACAAUAAAAAUAAUAAUAAUUUUAUAUCUAAUAUUUUGAUGAUAUUGGAGGAUCUAAUAAUGAUCUUCCAGAUUAUUAAAUAAUUGUUCUAAUUUAUACUAGUAGUAGUAGCUUUUUUAAUUUGUGUUAAUUUAAUUUUGUAAUAUGUAAUAUAGUAAUUAAUGUUAUUGGCAUUUUAUUUUUAUUAUUAAUUUUUGUGUUGAAUUUUUUUAUUUAAAAUAUUAGUAUAAUAUUAAAAAAUUAAAAAUGAAAUAAAUAAUAACAAAAAUAAUAAUAAUAACUUAAAAUAUUAUAUAAAAAAGGACAUAUAUGUAAAUAAGAAAAAGUAAUAAAGAUAUUUAGGACUCUUUUUUCCUAGCACCAAAUGAAUAGUGUUACACCAUAUUUGGUGCAAUACUAUUCAUAACACCAAUUUGCUGUUCGUUUUGAUGUUACAUUGGAGAAGCAUUUUACACAAAAAAUGGUGUAAAAGGUAGUUUGGUGUUAGUUUUGGUGUCACAUUGGAGAUGGCCUGGAAAAACACUUGAAAACUUUGGAUUUUUGGUUCGUCCAGUUACGGUGUUAUGCUAAUGGGGUUAAAAGUUCCGAUCCAAUGAGUUAGGAUGGAAUAUGAAUAUAUAAAUUCCAUAGCAUGUAAGGACUAGGAUUUGUUUGUUCAUAUCAAGAAAAAAAAGAUCCGAAAAUUUGAUGAUCAGAAGAUGAAGACACGUUUAUUACAGAGAAACAAACGACAACAUGAUACUAGUAGUAGUUAUUCUUUUCAUCCGAUAUAUUACAUGGUAAUAUCACUACUCGUUCCACUGGUUUCAUAUACACCAUCGAUCAGCAACAUGAUAAUUUUGUGUCAGUUCAUUUUGUUUGUAGGAAAGAGCAGUGUAUUUCUUAGAGCUUGAAAAUAAUAAAAAGAUUUUAAAAUAUAAAUUGCAUAUUUGUUUAUUACAGUUGUUUGGUCUAAUUUCUUAUGUAGAAUUGCUUGUCAUUCUUUGGACGUUAUUGAUUAUAUUUUUGUCAGACUUGGCGUAUAUAUUCACACAUACGUUUUAUUUUGUCAUUUUGUAGAACAUUUUUACACGCCAUAUUAUCACGACUCUUCUCUGUCUGAAUAAGAAGAAAGCAUAAUGCGACCCUCCAAUAGCUUAAUCUAUGGAAUUAUCGUGUUUUGUAAGUUGAGGUCCAAUGGCGUUUUGGCACAUCAUAUGAUAGCCCACUAUAUUGCGUUGCUUUACAAAAGAUUAAUAUUUUGAAAAUUAUUAGGUAAGUUUAGGCUCAGUGGCACUUUAACUCAUGAUAUGAUUGUCCAGGUUUUCGAGGACCACUAUAUUCUAUUGAUUUAAAAAAAAUUAAUAUUUUUUAAUAUUAAUAUUCUAAAUUAUAUUCAGUUCAAAUAUUAAAUAUUAAAUACAUUCUUAAUAUUAAUAUUCUUAGAUGAAAUUCUUUUGCUGACUUAAGAAUAAAAUAUUAAAUAAUUUUAUUUUUCUUUUAUUCUGUAACGUGGACCCAAUAAAAAAAGGAAAUGAAUUUAAUAAAACCUUCAUUCAAAAUCUUCAUUCCGCCACCAUGCAUGUUAAUUGUUUCCAAAUUCCAACCUCCGUACUCUCUUGAGGAGUUUCCCAUUCAUCAAUUAUUAUUUUUUAUAAUCCAUACCAUCCUGAUAUAAUUAAACACCAUUAAUAAUGUACCAACCUUUAAAUAGUAAUUAAUUUAUUUAUCUAAUUCACCAAAUGUUUUUUCCGGUACAUAUCUCCAUUGGUAUCAAGAAGAAGCAGAACCCAAAGAAAUGUUUCUUGCAUCUUCAUAUUUGUGCGAAUUCAUCCUUUCAUUGAGAAUAACCAUUUCCAGGCAGCAGUUGGCAAUCAAUUCAUGCGCACGUCGAUGCUAUUCAUAGAUACUAAAGACAAUGAUGAACCAAAGGUGAUAAAUCAUAAAUGCAUAAUUACCAAACCUCCAUCCUUCUCUCAUUAUGAUUUGAUUUUAAAUGAAUUAUUGCUUGGUAACAUUAUUUCCAACCAUUGCAAGACCUUUUUUUUGGAGAAAUUUCAAUUGAAAGUGAAACCUUUAGACAUUUACCUAAUGAAGUUAGUUAAUCGGGAGGGUCGGAAAAAAAAAGUUGACGCAAGUCAAUACACAAUAAUCAAUUAAAUCCGGAGUGACUAAAACAGAGCCACUACUUUUUAAAAAAUAUCUGCAUUAAUCACUUUCUCCAGCAACUAGUCAGCUACACACGAAUCAAUUUCUCUCCUCGUUUGUCAUCCAAAAUUAUUCACCAAUACCAUGGCUGAUGCAAUCGUUUCCACUAUCUUGGAGCAGCUGAUUUCCUUCGCUGCUGAAGAGAUAAAACAACAGGUGAUCGAAGUUUCACCCCUCAUAUUACAAAUACUUCCAAUGAUUUUAAUUGGCUUUGUUUUUAUCAAAAACAUUAUAUAUUUUUGCUUUUUUUUUAUUUAUCUGAUAAUUUUAUAUUUUGAAAUUUGAAUUGAAUUUAAUUAAAAGGUGAUGUAGUAACCACUCAUUUUUAUUUUAUUUCAUUUCUAUUCUCGAUAACUAACCAUAUUUUGGUAACUUAAUAUGACUCUCGUACAUAAGAAAUGAUCAAAACCCACAAUUUUAACUAUGUAUAAAUAUUCAACGUUGAGCUAAGGUUUUGCAGAACAUUCAAGUUUAUCAAAUAGUCAUUAAUUUAAUGUUUUAGUAAAACCUCAACUCAUCACUGAAUCCCAUAGCUAUUACUUAGACUCUAUGAAAAAUUUCAUAGUUUUCUUACAUUCUUUCAGUUUGGUAAGUGAUUUCAUAUAAUUUCUGUUCAAUAUAAAUUUUAAUUUGGUUUCUUAUAUACUCUCUUUGCUGAAUUUGUAUCUUUUAUGAUUCUUAGAUUUUGGGCUCUAACAUUUUAGGAUUUGAUAGUCACAUUUUAUGCCAUGCUUAGAUUGAUUUUCAUGAUUUUUACUACCCAUUAAGUGACUUAGAAUUUGACAAAAGUUUGAAAGGAAAUCUGCUUCAGGAUUCUGUUUUAAUUGACCUUUUAGUGGAAAUAGGAUGCUUAUAACUUAAUGUGGAUGGUUCGUAAAAUCAUGAAAUUUGGAUAGAAUUAACUAGAAAUAUGUACAAGACUCUCCAUGAAGUCUCAUAAUUUUUCAUUCGGUCUGGGGUGGUACAGGUGAAACUUGUGGUUGGUGUUGAAAAAGAAGUGAAAAGCCUUACCAGCCAUCUUCAAGCCAUUCAAGUUGUGCUCGAUGAUGCAGAGGAAAAGCAAGUGAAGGAAAAAGCUGUUAGUCUUUGGCUGGGUAGGCUCAAGUAUGCAUCCUACGACAUUGAAGAUGUGUUGGAUGAGUGGAUCACAACAAGACGCAAAUUGCAAAUUGAGGGUGGCAUUGGUGAAAAUGCUCUUGUUGUUCCUCAUAAGAAAAAGAAGGUAUGUCUCUGCUUUCCCGGCUCUUGUUUUGGAUUCAAACAAGAAGAAUUUGGUUUCAAACAAGUCUUUCUCCGUCAUGACAUUGCCGACAAGAUCAAAGAAAUCAAUGAAGAGCUACAUGAUAUUGCCGCUCAAAAAGACAUGUUUGAUCUUGUUAAGAGUGGCAAUAAAAGUAGUGAAAGACCAAGGCGUGUACAGAGUACCUUCUUGAUUGAUGAGGAAGAGAUUUGUGGCAGAGUUGGUGAGAGGAAUGAACUCUUAAGCAAGCUGUUGUGUGAGAGUAGCGAGCAACAAAAAGGCCUUCAUAUCAUCUCAAUCGUUGGUAUGGGAGGCAUAGGGAAAACAACUCUUGCACAACUAGCUUGUAAUCAUGACGAGGUGAAGAGAAAGUUCGACAAAAUUCUGUGGGUGUGUGUAUCAGAAACUUUUGAGGAGUUUAGGGUUGCCAAAGCGAUCGUUGAAGUUUUGGAUGGUCGUGAAUCUCAUUUAGCUGAAUUCCAUUCUCUUCUUCAACAUAUUUAUGAAUCCAUUGCAGGGAAGAGCUUUCUUCUUGUCUUAGAUGACGUGUGGGAUGGAAAUUACUUGAAAUGGGAACCAUUCUACCGUUGUCUAAAGAAUGGUCUCCAUGGAAGUAAAAUUUUAGUUACCACACGUAAAGGGUCAGUCGCAUCCAUGAUGGGAUCCAUAGAUAUUAUCUCCGUUAAGGAGUUAGCUGAAGAGGAAUGUUGGUUGUUGUUUAACAAGAUAGCAUUUUUUGAUCGGUCCAUCGAGGAACGUGAAAAAUUAGAACAAAUUGGGCAAAGAAUUGCAGGCAAGUGCAAAGGUUUACCUCUUGCAGCAAAGACAAUAGGGAGUCUCAUGCGUUCUAAACAAACUGAAGAAGAGUGGAAAAGAAUUUUAAAUAGUGAUUUAUGGAAAGUAGAAGAGAUUGAGAAAGAUGUUUUGUCCUCUUUAUUGUUGAGUUAUAAUGAUUUGCCAUCUAGAGUAAAAAGAUGUUUUUCAUAUUGUGCUGUCUUUCCAAAAGACUACAAUAUAGAAAAAGACAAACUAAUCACGUUAUGGAUGGCUCAAGGUUAUCUUAGUGCAGAAGAAGAUGAAGAGAUGGAGACAGUAGGUGAAGAGUAUUUUGGCAUCUUAGCUUCUCGCUCAUUUUUUCAAGAGUUUAAGAAAAGUUAUGAUAAUCGGAUUAUAGAGUGUAAGAUGCAUGAUAUGGUACAUGAUUUUGCCCGAUUUGUAAGUCAAAAUGAAUGUUUUUCGAUGGCAAUCAAUGGUAGUGAAGAACCAAACGCCACAAACUCUCUUGAUGAGAAGGUCCGUCAUUUAAUGUUAAUCUUUAGUAUAGAGGCUUCAUUACCUGUUUCCACUUGUAGAGUUAAAAGAAUUCGUAGCCUCUUAAUUAACGAUAGUAGAUCUGAUCAUUCAUUAUUAAAUGGUGAGAUCCUAGAAGAAUUAUUUAGGGAAUUGACAAGUUUAAGGGCAUUAGAUUUUUGCAAAUCGUAUAACGCAAGUUGGUCUUCGACUCUGGAGAUUCCGAGAAACAUAGAAAAGCUGGUACAUUUAAGAUACCUUAAUUUGUCUUAUCAGGGAAUAAAGAAACUACCGGAGACAUUAUGCGAGUUGUAUAAUCUAGAAAAGUUAGAUAUUAGUUAUUGUUAUAAGCUAGAAGAAUUACCUGAAGGGAUUGGGAAGUUAAUAAACAUGAAGCAUUUACGAAAUAGAGGUACUAGUUCUUUAAGGUACAUGCCAGUAGGGAUUGGGAGAUUAACGGGUCUUAGGACCUUGGGUGAGUUCCACGUGAGUGCAGGAGGAGGUGUUGAUGGUAGGAAAGCAUGUAGGCUUGAAUCUCUUAAAAACUUGGAACACCUUCAAGUAUGUGGUAUAUGUAGACUGGGUGAUGUAUCAGAUGUGGGCGAGGCUAAGCGAUUAGAACUUGACAAAAAGAAAUACCUCUUCAGUUUGACCCUCGAGUUUGAUAAGACGGAAAGAGGAGGAGAAAGGAGGAAGAACGAGGACGAUCAACUUCUUCUUGAAGCCUUGCGACCACCCCUGGAUUUAAAGGAAUUAGAGAUACGGUACUACCGAGGCAACACUGUUUUCCCCAGCUGGAUGGCGUCAUUAACCAACUUAAAGAGUUUACAUCUCCAUAGGUGCGAAAAUUGCGAGCAGCUGCCUCCUUUGGGAAAAUUGCCGUCCCUUGAAAAUCUCUACAUAUGGCGCAUGGAGAGUGUGAAGAGAGUGGGUGAUGAAUUUUUGGGGAUAGAAAGUGAUCAUCAUGACUCAUCGUCAUCUUCAUCAGUUACUAUUGCCUUCCCCAAAUUGAAAUCACUCACAAUUUAUUCGAUGCUGGAAUUGGAGGAGUGGGAUUAUGAGAUUACAAGAACAGGAAACACCGUCAUCAACAUCAUGCCACGUCUUUCUUCCUUGACAAUUGUUGAUUGCACCACAUUAAAGGCACUGCCCGACCACAUUCAUCAAACGACAACGUUGAAGGAAUUGAGCAUUUUUAUGUGUUGGCUUCUGAACAAACGUUACCGCAAGGGGAAAGGAGAAGACUGGCCUAAAAUAUCACACAUUCCCAACCUCCGUAUUGGGCUUUGACAAGUAAUUUCUUCUCUCACUCUGAUUUGCUUUGUUGUUGUUUUUAAUCUAAUUAAGAAGCGAAAAUAGCAUUUUGAAUCAAACUCUAUAUCAGAAAUCUGCAAUACUUACUUUCUAAUAUUCUGAUUUUCAUAUCCUAUGAAUAUACGAUUUUUAAUUUGUGAGAUGGGUAACGUUACUGUAAAAGAUUAUUAAUGCAAUAUGAGUAAUUCUUUUGCAGGACAAGUGACCUACAUUUAGUUUGGCUUUGGAGUUGAAUAAUAACCUUUCGUGGUCCCGACAACCAAAAAACAAAGCUUAAUUUGCCACAGAUUGAACGUAUUGCCAUUAUUGACAAUUUUCUGCACAAGCGUGACUGAACUUAGGUUGAUGUCAAAAGAGGUAAAUUAUUGGCAUGCCUGACUAUUUUGACCAUUACAUGAUUCAUAAGUUUACAUUAAUUUUGAUUUUGAGUUGAGUGAUUAGUUUUCUAGGUUUGCUUACUUUAACUGGGUGACCAAUUUCUUGUAACUAAAUGUAUGAUGUGAUGCAGGAAGCAGGGCAGGAUAUGAAAAGAGAAGCUUAUUAGAGGAAGGAUUGCCAGUAACAGAAUCCAAAGAAAAAGAAACCAUUUCGAGGCAGCUGUUGGCAGUUGGCAGUGAAUGGAGCCCCUUGAAAAAAUUCCCAGGCCGUUGCACUGCAAUUACGAUCAUCCUCGGCCUCAGGUAAUUUCUUCUCCUGCAUUUUUGUUAUUUGCUAUCAAGUGACUAUUUUAAGUAUGAUUGCAUUAAGCUUCUGCUGGGAAAUUUGAGGUUUUGAUGACUGCCCAUGCUAUUGUCAGAAGCUGCGGUUCUUUUCAUCAGCCUGAACCUGGACCUGCCGCUAUGGAUAACUCAGGUUUUUUUUUUUUUUUUAAUCAACUGCCAUCUUUUCCACUGUUUAGAAACUCUUAAGAUUAAACUUUAGUAAAGUUGUUUUAGUUAUCCAUGUAAUCAGGCUGAGGAUACUUAGCUGCCUAUUUAGGCAAAUGUCAGAAUUUAGUUUGUUCGCUGGGAACUGGUGUGGACUGGCAAAGGAUGAUGAGAUAGUUUUUUGAGUGAGUAAAUUUUGGGAGCUUGAGUGUAUUGGGAUUUGCAAUUACAAUCAUCGUCUGCCUCAGGUGAUUUCUUCUCCUGCUCUGUCAUUGUUUGUUCUCUAAUUCAAAAGCAUAAAAUAUUUCAAUCAAUUUUUAUGCCAGGAAUAUGCAAAAGUUUCUAAUAUUUUAUUUCCAUCUGUUACAAGAUCAAACUGAAGCAGAACUCAAACAAAAGUAUGCUACUUCUUGCGGAAAUCUUGCCUUUGUUCAGAUUAUGAAACCAUUUCCAUGCAGCAAAUUCAUCCAAAAGUUUGAAUAAGUUUCAUGGUUGGACACUGUUGGCUUCUUUUUCUUCUGGGGUGCAUUUAGGUGCUAUCAAGUGACAGCUGUAAGUAUGAUUGCACUAAGCUGCCGCUGGGAAAUUUGAGGUUUUGAUGGCUGCCCAUGUUAUUUUCAAGAAACUAUUGAUGUAAGAAGCUGUGGUUCUUUUCAUCAGCUUGAACCUGAAACUGUCGCUAUGGAUAACUCAGGUUUUUGUUAUCAACUAUAUCAUCUUUUUCACUAUUUUGAAACUCUUAAGAUUAAACUUUAGUAAAGUUGUUUCAGCUAUUCAAAUGAAAAACUCAUUGAUUUGAGACUUCCUUCAUUAUUGUUUCUAAUUACAAUGCUAACGAUCCAGAUAAAAUAAUAUUUAAUCGGCGAAGGUGUCCCUUGGAAGUACAUCCUUCUUUUUCUUUUAUUAUAUAAAUUCUUGCAAUGAGCUUAGUGAAGCUGUUGUGCUAAUCAUGCCACUGCAUAAUUUGGCCCCUAAUGUGGGUACUCUGUUACAUUGUUCUGCAAAUUCUCCAGAAGUUAAAAUCAAUAAAUUUUCUAUUAGCUCUAGUGCUUUGACCUAAAUGCCAUUCUAUAUUUUGAUUACAAUGUUUUAACCUUUAAAUUAACUACCCCUAGAUGUUGGAUUUUCUAGAACUUCAAAAUGAUUAAUGGAGAAAGAUCCCAUUAUCGUUAUUGCUAUAAGAAAUUGAUUUAUGCAUCCAAAGAUACAUUAUAUAUUUCUGUGUCUCUAUUUGUAGAUGACAUUUAAGCAUCCAUAAACCGUCAGACAGAGGAAGGGGGUUCAGUGCAAAGAUUCUGUUGACCUAGGGUUGACUGCAUAAUGUCACUUGUUCGCAAUCUAUUAUUUAUUUUAUAUUUUGAAGAAUUUAAUGGGUAAUCCUAAUUGUUUGUUUUGGCAGGUAUGUGUUGUUAUCUCCUUCUAUCUAACAGUCGUACCUAAAUAGCAUAGUUUCAUCUGUGUUACCAUGUGAUGUACAUAAUUUCACAUUUGCCUCAGAUUAAGCUUAAUUUCCCACAGAAUAGAGCUGUCGCGACUGGACUUAGGUUGAUGUCCAAAGAGGUAAAUUAUUGGCAUGCCUAGAUAAUUUGGCCAUUUCCUAAUUCAUAAGUCUACAUUAAUUUUGAUUUUGAGUUGACUGAUUUCUUUUCAAGGUCUGCUUCCUUAACGGAGUGACCAAUGUUUUUCAACUAAAUUUAUCAUAUGAUGCAGGAAGCAGGGCAGGAUAUGAAAUGAGAAGCUCAUUGGUGGAAGUAUUGCCAGUAACAGAACCCAAAGAAAAUGAAACUAUUUCAAGGCAGCAGUUGGCAGUUGCAAGUGAAUGGAGGCCCUGACAAAAUUCUCAAGCGGUUGCAAUGCAAUUACGAUCAUCCUCAGCCUCAGGUAAUUUC